This 155190-nucleotide long non-coding RNA is filed under the name Eucalyptus grandis. RNAcentral describes it as "long non-coding RNA (EGRA_LNC000486)". Lineage: Eukaryota; Viridiplantae; Streptophyta; Magnoliopsida; Myrtales; Myrtaceae. The record is from RNAcentral.
GAGGUUAUAGUUCAUUCAGUUUCAAGAAAGAAAAAUAGCCUUGAUCGAGUGGAAAGAUUACAAAUUCACCGGUUUGGCUUGGUCCUCAUCUUGAAAAUUCCAUGGAUAAAUUAGUGACAUCUUACCAGAAGAAAUUGGAAGCACAUGCAAAUGGAUAUGUGGCUGAUCGACUAACGAGUAUAGACAUUAGCUAAAAUCCUGAAUUUCUACAGCUAUCAGGGAAUGAACAGGAAGACAGGAAAUUUCUUUUUCUUGCAGGAAUAAAAGUAGCAAACACUCUGCAAUAUGAUCAACAAUGUGGUAUCAGACGUGGAGAUAAAUAGAACUUUCUGUGCCACCAAUUGAAUGGGCGGUAUGUUUCUAGACGUGUCUCAAAACUUUAGGCUUCUAAGCAGAACUAUCGUUCUGCUGAUAAAAGAAGUGGGCAGCUCUCGUUCAGGCAAGAACUUUCAAGCUUCUUCAAUCAUGAACACCCAAUUGAUGACUAGAAAACUGUUGCAGAGAGAAAGAAACAUGAACAUUUCCGUUACUCUUCUUUCAAUUCCUCCAGGUUCGUGAACAUCAAAAUCUACGAGGUUCUGAUAAGUUAUCUUGGAACCCAGGAGACCAGAGAGUUUCAUUUGCAGCAGUAAGCUGAGUCUAGAAUCUAACCUAAGGUGAAGAAAUUGAAGAAGUUCAAGGACGUUAUACACAGCACGUAGAAACGAAAGAUCAAGCAAAACAGUGGACCCGAAAACUCAGCCAAGAAAAUAAAAACCGAAUUACCCAUGCAUUUACCAUCAUUGCAGGUUUGAGAAUGAGGGUGAUCUUGGCAAAAGCAUAUGAAAGUAUUGUUCUCGAACCCACACCGUCCCUCACUUUCCUCGCAGUUGCUGCAAUUAAUUGCAGUCCAGUUCAAAAGGAACCCAAUCUCCAUAAUCUCACUGUAAUUCAUAGUCGCCAAGCUAGCGUUAUUUGCAUUGACAUCAACGUGUACACUAACUGCAGAGUCGCAGGUGCUGAUGACAGAAUUCAAAUAUGUUUCCUGCGAUACUUCCUCGUGAAAAGACGCAAAGGAGUGGUGGGUGGAGUUCCUAGCACAGUCCACCGGAUAUGUAGAAUCUGGCGGUUGCAAGGUGCAAUUAUAGUAGAAGAAGAAAUCAGCAUUUGUGGAACUCAGAUUGAAAGGCGUUCCUUUGAAGCUGAUAUUAUGCCGCGGAGCAUCACAGGUGUCAUGGUACACGAAGGCAUCAACCAGGAGGAUAGAAUGGUUGGCGUAGAAGAUAUCCUUGAUGAAGAACUCACUGUCCGAGAAAUUCAGGAAAGGAAGAAUCCCUACACAGGUGAUCUCGAAAUUCGGAUGGCCACAAUAGGACUCAGGUUCGCCCGAAAUCCAAAAAGGGUAGCUGAUGUUUGGGCCAUAUCCGCAGCUCCGAGGCGCGCAGGCCUCGUACUGCGCAUCCUCCGACACAGCCCUAUAGACUAAGCUGGCGAAGAUGACGACAAGGGCCAACCGGCGACAACCAGCUCCGCAGAUGAAGCUCUGGAGAUUCAUCUGGGACUGGAAGGAGGAGGCAGAGGACAGCAGAAGAUAGGAGAAAGAGGCAGGAGAGGGUGUGGAAAGAGCAAUUUGCAGAAUAUUCAAAAUGGGGUUGGUUUGAACCGGUCCUGAAACUCCAGUCGCUGUCGUUGUGCUGGUUCAUCGACUUUGAAUCGAAGAAUGCCGAGCGGAGACGGAAAGUGGCUCCGGGGCGCGCAUUAGUCAAACGCCUCAUGGCUUACGCGGGGGAAUUUUUCGCCCCUGGAAAAAAAAACCUUUAAGAGGAACAAACCAGGAAACUUCCUAGUCAAAGGGGACUUAGGUUGGAGUACCCACCAACGUUUUUUCCGAAAUGUUGACUUUAAUGAUCUUACCUAAUCAUUAAGAACAUAUCCUAACUAAGCAAUGCAACUUAAUUAUUGGUUCUUGAUCUUUUUUAUUUUUAAUUUUUUUAAUUUUCCGAUACCAAACUUUAGUGCUAAUGAAAAAUUAAUCACAUUUCCCUGGAUUCUUAACUCACUUCGAAGUUCCUACAACCCUAAGCGUAGCUUACGACCCAACGGAGUCUUGGAAUUAGUCAACGUACGUUGACUUCGAUGAUCCUAUACUCUAAAUUAUGGGCCCAAAUCCACAUCGAUGGGCCCAUUUUUGGGCUCCCUUUCAUGGGCCUGAAUUAAGAGUCAAAUGGGGGCUAAAAGGAAGUCCAAUCUAAAUUGCUUUCCUCAGGAGCUCCUCCUCCGUUGACCGUUGACAAUUCAACAUUGUGACGUGUUUGGCAAACAACGGACCUUCGUGACUAGUCAGCGAAAACGACUCUCUCUCAUCCUCUCUCUCUCUCUCUCUCUCGGGAAGAAUUGCUGGCCAAGCUGUAGCUAGGUUGAAAUUUCCUCUUGCCUUGUGCCACCAAAGAGAAAAACGAGAGAAAAGUCUUAAUUCUUGUCCCGAGAUAUUCUUAGAUGGAGGAAAACAAAAUAAAGAGCAGCGCCAUCGAAUUUUCAACAAAAGAAACAAGCGGAUCACAUUCGGUCAAAUUGGAUUUUUCUCUGGACAAAUUCUUGGGGUUCAUUGGCCAUAUGAUCUCUGUGGAAGUAAUCGAAACUAACUCCGCAGAAGCUCAAGGUUUGGUGAUUUCGUGCAUAUUCCACAUGGUCGAUAAUAGAAUCCCAUGCGCCGGUAUGAACAAGAACCCACCAAAUGAAGUAGAGAAUUAUCACUUGGGAAUGCUACCUAAAGAACGUACCAGGGUCAUUGCAGGUACGAGCGUUGGGUUUGUUUCGGCAAUAACAUGUGAAACUAGAUGAUGAAGAAGAGGUGUUGCUACCGCAAAACCCGAGAGAAGUACAAGUUGGUCACUCAGGGUGGUCACUAUACUGAACAUCGAACCCUUGAUUCAAAGCUUCCUGCAAGCUGAUAUCGCGUCUUCCGACAUCAUUGAGUGCACUCCAAAGAACAGGACCUUGAUGCUCGUGACACAGUUGGUGAUGAAACUACAGAGCCCUCUGUCCAAGAAGAUGUCAUCUAUGAAGAAAGCCGACUUCCUGACGACAUCGUAGAAGCACUUGAACUCGUUGCUUAUGUUCUUCAUUGUGUCCAAACAUCCAUAGAAGAUGUUGAGGCUCUUAACGACUAGGGUCAUAUGGAAGAGAGUGGAAUCCAUUAUGCUAGUAGUCCUAAACUCGUGCAAACACGUACCCUCCGUCAGAUCUAUCCUAGUGAUUGUCAUCGUACGAAGAUGUUGAUCAAUCUUGAGGACUCGAUACUUCUGCUCUUGGUACUCAAAUAUAGGGAAUUCGUUCUCAUAGCAGUCGACCCUGAAUGCUAGAAGUCCACAGAAUUGGGGUCGGCUGCUUCCCCAGAAAGGAUAAGUAUUAUUUGAGACGGUUCCGCAAUUAAAAGAGCGGCGGCAUUCAGUAUAGUGGACAUUGUCGUCUCCCUCGCAUAAAAGAACUUGUGGGAUUAUGAGGCCGAUGAGGAUGAAGACGAGGAUGGAGCAUGAAGGGGAGGAGAGAAGGAGAGUGGCUGUGUUGCCCAUUUGAGUAAGUUCAUGCUCCCAUGGGUAGAGAAUAAUUGUGGAACGAGUGUUUAGAGUUCAGAGGGGCAAGCUGAGAAUGGAGAAAUUCUUUUUGUAUUCACUUUCUGCGGACUCAAGUGUGAAAGAGAUGGAUGUCGUUAAUUCUUCCUCACUAUAAUACAGAAAACUAUUCUGACUGUUGACUUUGAUUGAGAUCAGUUUUAGUCUCCUAAAUUUCGUGGAGGUAAAAUCAAAGGGAUGGCUAUCGAGCGUUGAGACUGGGUCAGGGGAAGUGAUGAGGAAGACAGAGGAAACAUGCCAAGCAAUUUCCUCCGGAGUUCUUCCUAUGUAGUUGAAAAUGUAAAGUGAAACCUUUUUUAAGGUUCUCACUGUGGAAAAAGUCUAGCCCUUUCGAGGGGUCAAGAGUUGAUGAUGUGGAAAGUAAUGAGCAAGUCAAACCUAAAUUUUAGGUUAAUUGACUUGUCCGUGAUGUGAAAUAUUACACUAAACUCGGAACAUCUUCGCUCGUCGUAUUUAAACCGUUGGAUCUUGCGGGUUUGCAGAUACAGACCUAAUGAUCCAACAGUUAAGGCAGGGAAGGCUGUUGAGAAUGGGGUGAUAAAGUUUUAGGACUUGGAGUCUAAAUUUUGGCAUGAUUAUGUCGCAGUGAGAAUGAGAUUACUGCACUUUAUCCUAUCAGAGAGAAGGGCAUGCCCAGCCAAAUGAGACUAUCAGGCUUUUAGGGGGCAUGAGCGGAUCGUUUUUCCAAAUAACAAUCAAACCCAGCAAUCCCUCCCAUGGAAUAAUAGUAACUAAUUGAAAUCCACAAGUUAGGGGAGAGUAAGCAUACAUACCCGGUCGGCCGCAAGUCGUUGAAUAGACUCUGUCAGGGCAAAAACAAUUGAAUUCUCGCCCUGGCCAGCCAUACCCGCAUCUUCCCCCGGAUUUAUUGCAACUUUCGCACUGCAAAGUGUUGAGAAUCCAGGUGAUCUCAAAGCUUCUGUUGAGGAUCUCGCUAAUAGUAGAUUUGUUGUUGCCGUCCAUUGAAGGUGGUGGAAAACCUAGAAGUUCACUUUUGGAAAUCGGGACAUGAACAAUGGAACUGCAUGGGUCGCGCGGUGGCUUUGGAAGGUCAACCCCGGGAACAAAGUAGCCAUCUUGAGAAUUGGGACAAGAGAACCGAUAAGGUGGAGAGGUCGGCGGUAUGUGGUUUGGCCAUGAGUCGCAAUCGAAGAAUAAGGUGGAAUUGAGGUCAUUGGAAGUGUAGUCGAAGAGAUCCAAGUCUAAAGUGGUUUCAUUAUAUGUUUCAAGACAUAUAUCUUCUGGUAAAUCCAACCUCGCCACCACAAGGAUCUUUGUGCUGGUAUUCAUGUGGAUCACUCGAUAUUCCAGGGACUCCAUGGACAGGGUCAGUUCAUCUCCAUCGCAGUUGAGCUCGUAGUCUGGAUGCCCACAGUGACUCGGUCGCAUAUUAUCCCUAAAAGGAUAGCUGAUUUCUUGACCUCCGCAAUUAGAAGGAGCGCACUUUUGGAACAAUGGGAACGCGCUGGCAGCUGGCGCCAGGAAGUGAAUUUGGAGGGAGAUGAGGAAGAAGAGCAAGGAGAGAGAGGAACAUGACAUGGUAAGAUCCAUUUGAAGGGAGCUGGAGUUGAAGCAAAACAAGGAGGAGGGUAUAUAUAAAGGAAGAGGAUGCAGAGAGACAAAUAAUAAUGCUGGUUUUGGAAUGGAGGACUUGACCCGAUGCACUAAUGAGAACCUCUCGCCUUGGCCUCACGAAAGACCAAGACUUUGGCGCGGUGAGACAAAAGCUAAGAGGAAAAGAAGGAGAACAAGGCACGUGGAAACAAAGCCAAGUAGCUUGAGCUGCCAGCUAAUUGUAAAGUUGACUUGGGACGACUUGGACUAAUAUUCCCCAAUUUACAAUUCCUACAGGCAGCCCCUGACUAAUCAAUGAGCUUUGCCAAUUUCCUUCACGGUUCACUUUGAGGAAACUUCAAUAAGGACCUCACGAACGUCGUUUGCAGCGUCUAGACAGAAGCAUGGCCAUCACCUAGACUAUAGAACAGAAGGGAUUGGAGCCUCAGAACUGAGGCGGCUAAACUUCCUCUGGAGGAGUUUCUAUUUAUUUUGCCUAGUCAUCUUUUUUGAACUGAUUUGACAGGUGAUAUUGACAUAUCAUCAGCCCAAACUGCAACUUAGGUAAAAUCACCGGGUCGAAAAGGGCCGCAACUCCUCGGCCAAGCUGAAUUGAGCCCAUCUCUCGUGAUUUACGAUGAUGAUGAUCCACAUUGGAUCUUUAGUUAGGAAGCAAUAGCUUGCCAUCUUUUUCAUGACGGAAAUUGCUCAGGACUCAAGUACUGAAAAUAAGACUUGAGCAACGGCAGUUAGUAUAAUGGACAUCGUUUUCUCCCUCGCAUAAAAGAACUUGUGAAACGAUGAGGACAACGAGGACGAAGACGAGGAUGGAGUGUGAAGGGAAGCAGAGAAGGAGAGUGGCUGUGUCACCCAUUUGAAUAAGUUCAUGCUCUCAUGGAUAAAGAAUAUCAUGUGGAGUGAGGGUUUGGAGUUCAGAGGGGCAAGCUGAGGAUGGAGAAAUUCUUUUUUUAUUUACUUACUUUCUCCGGCCUGAAGUGUGAAAGAGAUCGAUGUGGUGAAUUCCUCGGUAAAUAGAGGAAGCUAUUAUGAGCAUGGACUUUGACCGACAUUAGUUUCAGUCUUAUGAUAUAUCGUGAAGGAGGGAAAUAAAAAGAAAGAAUGGCUAUCGAAUGUCGAAACUGGGUGUGGGGGUGGAAGUGACGAGGAAGACAGUGGCCAGGAAAUAUGCGAAGCAAUUUCACCCGAAGUUCUUCCUAUGGAAUCGAAAUUGACAAGUGAAACCUUUCUUCAAGGUUCUCACCGUGGAAAAAGACAAGUCCAUUUGAGGGGUCAAGAGUUCAUGUUGUGGAAAGUAAAGAACAAGUCAAACCUAAAUUUUAGGUUGAUUGACUUGUCAACUAACUCAUUCUGAUUUAAAUUACUUGUCUAUGAUGUGAGAUUUUACAGUAAACUUGAAGCAUCUUCGCUUGUCGCAUUUAAAUUGUUGGAUCUCGGGGGUUUGCAGAUCCCGAGUUAAUGAUCCAACAGUUAAGGCGAGGAAGGUUUUUGAGUAUAGGGUGUUAAAGUUUUAGGACUUAAAAAGUCUAAAGUGUAACACAAUCAUGCAAGUCACAGCAAGGAUGACUGCACUUCGUUUGAGGGAAGAAUAUGCCCAGCAAUUCUUCUCAUUGAACAACUUUUAGCUAAUUGAAAAACCACAUGUUAGAUGAGAGUAAGCAUACAUACUUGAAGGGACGAUUGCCGGUACUGGUGGUAUUGAAGGGACGCUCGCCGGUAUUGGCGUUUUGUGGCAGAUUGCCGGAUAGGCUGCAUCACGGCAAAAACAAUUGAAUUCUUGCCUUGUCCAGUCAUACCCNNNNNNNNNNNNNNNNNNNNNNNNNNNNNNNNNNNNNNNNNNNNNNNNNNNNNNNNNNNNNNNNNNNNNNNNNNNNNNNNNNNNNNNNNNNNNNNNNNNNCUUCACAUAGCGAUGUGUUGGCAAUCCCAGGUGAUCUCAAAGCCUCUAUUGAGAAUGUCGCUAAUAUUAUCACCAAAGUCGAUGCCUGCCGAAGGUGGUGGUAAACCUAUAGGUUCACUUUUUGAAAUCGGGACAUGAACAAUGGGACUGCAUCGCUUGGGCAGUAGGUUUGAUAGGUUUACACUGAGAACAAAGUAGCCAAAUUGAGACUCGGGACAAGAGAACCCAUAAUAAGAUGGAAGGGUUGGCCACAAGUGGCAAUUGUAAAUUAAGGUGGAAUUGAGGUUAUUGGAAGUGUAGUUGAAGAGAUUCAAGUCUAAAGUGGUUUCGUUAUAUGUUUCAAGACAUAUACUGUCUGAUAAAUCUGACCUCGCCACCACAAGGAUCUGCGCGCUCCCAUUCAUGUGGAUCACUUGAUAUUUUUGAGACGCCAUGGACAGAAUCGGGCUAAAUCCGUCACAGUCAAGCUCAUAGCCUGGAUACCCACAGUAUUCUGGUUGCCUUAUAAGCCUGAAAGGAUAGCUGAUUCGUAUAUAUCCACAAAGAAAAGGAGCGCAUUCUUGGAAUGGCCGGAAGUAGCCGGAAGCUCGCACGAGGAAGUGAAUUUGGAGGGUGAUGAAGAAGAGCAAGGAGAGAGAGGAACGUGGCGUGGUAAGAUCCAUCUGAAGGGAGAUGGUGUUGGAGCAAAAUAAAGAGGGGUACAUAUGAAGGGACGUGGAGGGUGGAAAUGAAAAAAGAUGGCUAUCGAACGUUAAAAUUGGGUCUAGCAGAGGAGGUGAUGGGGAAGAUGCGGUCCGGAAACAUGCAAAGCAAUUUUCUCCGAAUUUCUCCCCAUGUUAUAAUCGAAAAGUGAAAACUUUCUUCUAGGUUUUCACUGAAAAAGUCUAGCCCUUUUAAGGGGUCGAGUUCGUGUCAUGUGAAGUAAAGAACAAGUCAAACUUAAAUUUCUCAUUACUUGACUCAUUGGCUACGUCUGAUUUAAAAUACUUGUCCACAAUGUGAAAUUUACGUUAAGCUCGGAGCAUCUUCACCCACUGUAUUUAAACUGUUGGAUCUACCGGGUUCGCAUAUACCAACCUAAAGAUCCAACAGUUGAGGCAAGGAAGGUUGCUAAGAAUGAGCUGAUAAAGUUUUAGGACUUGGGAGUCUAAAUUGUAACAUGAUCAUGCCAUAGCCAGGAUGAGAUGACUGCACUUCAUUAAAUAUUCGAGGGAAGGGCGUGCACAGCAAAAUGAGAUUGUCAGGCUUUUAGGGGCAUGAGCGGGUCGUUUUCCAAAUAACAAGCAAGCCCAGCAAUCCUUCUCAUGGAAGAACAUUAGCUAAUUGAGAACCACGCAUUAGGUGAGAGUAGGCAUACAUACCUUGUUUGCCACAAGUCGUUGAAUGGACUCCGUCAGGGCAGAAACAAUUAAAUCGUAGCCUUUUCCGGUCAUAACCACAUCUUCCCCCUGAUUUGUUGCAUUUUUCGCAUUGCGAUGUGUCAAUGAUCCAGGUGAUCUCAAAGCCUUUUCUCAGGAACUCACUAAUAGCAGCAUUAGAAGCACUAUGAUGGCUGCCCUCCGGUGGUGCUGCUAGACCCGGAGCUUCACUAUGUGAAUUUGGGACAAGGACACUGAAGUUGCAUCGCUUAUGUAGUGGUUUUGCACGAUUAGCAUAUAGGGCAAAGUAGCCAAGUCCAUACAGGGGACAAUGGAACCAAUGAUAAUGUCGAGGGGGCCACAAUAAAUUGCAAUUAUAGAAUAAGGAGGAAUUGAAGUAACGUGAAGUGUAGUUGAAGAGACUGAAGUUUAAAGAGGUGUUGACAAGUAUUCUAGGACAUACAUCGUCCCAUAAAUCUGUCCUCGCCACCUCAAGGACAUGCUCGCUCCAAUCUAUGUGGAUCACGCGAUAUUUCAGGGACUCCAUGGACAGGGUUGUGUAAUUUCCGUCACAGUCAAGCUCGUAGCCUGGAUACCCACAGUAACUUGGUCGCCUGAUAUGCCUGAAAGGAUAGCUGAUUUGUUGCUUUCCGCAAUCAAAAGGAGUGCAAUCUUGGAAUGGCUGGAAUCCGCCAGAAGCUGGCAUAGGGAACUGAAUAUGGAGGGAGAUGAAGAAGAAGAGCAAGGAGAGAGAGGAACACGACAUGGUAAGAUCCAUCCGGAGGGAGAUGGUGUUGGAGCAAACAAGGAGGGUACAUAUAUAAAGGAAGAGGAUGCAGAGGGAUAAAGAAUGAUGUUGCUUUUGGAACGACUUGACCCCAAUGCACCAACGAGAAUCACUUGAUAUGGCCUCCCGAAGACCAAGACUUUGGGGGCGGGGAGACAAAAGCUGAGAAGAAAAGCAGAACAAAGCACGUGGAAACAAAGCCAAGUAGCUUGCGCUGCUGGCUAAUUGUGAACUUGACUUGAGGAGGACUUGGAAUAGUAUUCCCCAUUUCCCAAUUCCUACGCGCAGGCGUAGCCCCAAUUAAUCAACAAGCUUUGCCAAUCUCGUAGACAAUUCAAUCGAGGACAAUUCAAUAAGGAUCUCAAGAACAUAGUUAGCAACGUUCUAGACGGAUGCAGGGCCAUCGCCUGGACUAGAAAAUAGAAGGGGAUUAGAACCUCGGAACUAAGGCGGUUAAAUUGUCAUCUGGACUAGUUUCUCUUAAGCUUUGCCAUCUUUUUUGAAUUGAUUUGACUGAUGAUAUCGACGCAUCAUCAGCCCAAAGAAGCAGACCAGGUUAAUAUCAGUGGAUCCCAAAGGCCCAAGAUUCCUUGGCCGAGCUGAAUUGGGCCCAUCUUUCGUGAGUUACAAUGAUGAUGAUCCACAUUGGAUCUUUAGCUAGGAAGCAAUAAGCUUGCCAUCUUUUUCACGACAGAAUUUGCUCAGUUCCAUAAAUCGCUUAGGCUUUAAGUAUUGAAAAUAAGAUUUCUGCUCUCGGUACUCAAAGAUAGGGAGUUAUCCUCAUAGCACUCGACCUUGCACAGAAUUGGGGUGGGCAGCCUCCCUAGAAAGAGUAAAUUAUAUUUGCAACGAUUCCACAAUUAAAAGAGCGGUGGCAGUCGGUUUAGUGGACAUUUUUGUCUCCCUCAUACAAAAGAACUUGUGGAAUGAUGAGGUUGACGAGGACGAAGACUAGGAUGGAGUGUGAAGUGGAGGAGAGAAGAAGAGUGGCUGCGUCACCCAUUUGAGCAAGUUCAUGCUCUCAUGGGUGGAGAAUAUCAUGUGGAAUGAGGGGUUUAGUGUUCAGAGGGGCUAUUCUGACCAUGGACUGAAGUGUGAAAGAGAUGGAUCUGGUUAAUACCUCUUCAGUAUAAUAGAGGAAGCUAUACUGACCGUCGACUUUGAUCGAGAUCAGUUUCAGUCUUCAAUGCGAAAAAGUCUAGCCCAUUUGAUGGGUCAAGAGUUCAUGUCACGUGAAGUAAACAACAAGGCAAACCUAAAAUUUGGGUUAAUUGAUUUAUCAUCUAACACAAUCUAAUUUAAAUUACCUUUCCAUGAUGUGAAAUUUCACAGUAAAUUUAGAGUAUCCUCACUCAUUGUAUUUAAACUAUUGGAUCUUAAGGGUACAAAGAUACUGGCCUAAUGAUCGAACUGUUAAGGUUGUUGAAUGGGGUGAUAAGGUUUUAAGGCUUGGACUCUAAAUUGCAUCAUGACCAUGUCAUAGCGAAGAUGAGAUGACUGCACUUCAGGCAUGCCCAGCAAAAUGAGAUUGUCAAGCUUUUAGGGGCAUGAGCGGGUCGCUUCCCAGUUAACAAGCAAAGGAAAGAGUAUGCGCAACAAUCUUAUCACUCUCAUUGAACAACUUGAGCUUAUUAGAAACCACUAAUUAGCAACCGUGACUCUAGCAUACAUACCUGAAGGUGCGGGGCAGGUCGUUGGAUAGGCUUUGUCACGGCAAAAACAACUGAAUUCUUGCCUUGUCCAGUUAUACCCACAUCUUCCCCCUGAUUUAGUGCAAUUUUCGCACAGAGAUGUGUUGGCAAUCCAAGUAAUCUCAAAGCCAUUUUUCAGGAUGUCUCUAACAGUAUCACGACUAAUGUUAGCGCUCUUGCUGCCCUCCAAUAUUGGUAUAAAUGGGACGAAGACACUGAAGUUGCAUAGCUUGCGUAGUUUGCUUAGGGGGUCCACUUUGAAAGCAAAGUAGCCAUCUCCAGACGCAGGACAAGAGAACCGAUCAGGUUGAGGGGUUGACGGUGAGUUGCAAUUGUAGAAUAAGGUAGAAUUGAGGUAAUGGGAAGCGUAGUUGAAGAGACUGGAGUUUAAAGUGGUGUUGACAGGUGUUCCACGACAUAUAUCUUUCAAUAAAUCCAUCCUCGCAACCUUAAGGAUCUGCUCGCUCCAAUCCAUGUGGAUCACCUGAUACUCCAGGGACUCCAUGGACAGAAGGGUCAGGUUACCUCCAUCACAGUCAAGCUCGUAGCCUGGAUACCCACAGUAACUCGGUCGCUCAUUAUGCUUGAAAGGAUAGCUAAUUUUUUUAUCUCCGCAAACGAAAGGAGCGCACUGUUGGAAUGGCAGGAAUUUGCCGGAAGUUGACACCAGGAAGUGAAUAUGGAGGGUGAAGAUGAAGAGCAAGAACAGAGAUGAACACGACAUGGUAAGGUCCAUUAGGAGGGAGAUGGUGUUGGAGCAAAACAAGGAAAGGGUAAAUGUAAAUGAAGAGGAUGCAGAGGAUAAGAACAAUGCUGCUUUGAGAAUUAUUUGAACCCAAUGCACCAAUGAGAGCCACUUGAUUUGGCCUCCCGGAAGACCAAGACUUUGGCGCAUUGAGACAAAGGCUGACAAGAAAAUAAGAAGCACAAGGCGCGUGGAAACAAAGCCAAGUAGCUUGAGCUGCUGGCUAGCUGUAGACUUGACUUAAGGACGACUUGGACUAUUAUUACCCAUUUUACAAUUCGUACACGCGGCCUUCAACUAGUGAACGAGCUUGGCCAAUCUCCUUGACAAUUCAAUCAAGGACACUUCAAUAAGGACCUCGAGAACAUAGUUAGCUGCAUUCUAGCAGAAGCAGGGCCAUUGUUAGACUAGAAAACAGAAGGGAAUCGUAGCUUCCGAAUUGAGGCGGCUAAAUCGUCAUCAGGACGAAAUUUAUUAAGCUUUGCCUAUUCAUCUUUUUUUGAAUUGAUUUGACUGGUUCUAUCCAGGUUGCAAUCAAUGGAUAGAACCACUUUCCAAAUUGCACCCAAAAAAAAAAAAAAAUUUGUCGCUUCCAUUCGUUACACACAAGUCCUUAUACUUAAUCAAUCUCAAGAGAAAAUUUACUUUAAAUCAGAGUGUUAAAGUAUCCCACAUCAUUUAUCUACAAAAAUUUGUAUUCUAUUUAUAUACAUAUGGUCUUCAUCCACAUAUUGUUUUUAGUUUUUUAAUUAGACAUUAAACAUGACAUCGGAGUCAAAUUCCUGUUCAAUUUAUUUCGCGUGUACUGUCCCUUGUUAAUUAAAUUAUUUGUGCCGUUCAUAAUCUAAUUUAUAUGGGAGAGGGUGUUAAAUUACUUUUUCAUUUUCUUUAUAUACAUGUUAUUUCUCCCAAUUUAUUAGUUUAAAAUUUUAUAUUAAACUUUCUAACAGGGGGAUACACGCGCACAAGUGACUACCAUUCUAAAUUUGAAAAGGGAUAAAUUGACCAGCCAAAUAUAUACUUUUCUAAUUCUUAAAGCUGCGGAAACUUCAAAAAAUGCAGAAUAAGUAACGAGCGUUGAAAAAACAAGCAUGGCAAGCGGACCAUUUCCCGAGAAAGACAGAAAAUAAACAGGCACAAACCUCAAUCCUACCUUUGCAAACCGAACCGUCCGUGUGAUUUGACCCGUCCUUGCAGAAGCACAGCAAGUCCCCUGUCUGGUUGAACGCGCAUCGCCCGCCGGAGUGCUCGCACUUGCCGCACUCCUUUGCCACCUUCCAGUCCAGCACAAACCAUUCCCUGAUCGCACCAGCGUACUCCUCCGCCGCCGUGACCUCCGUCCGCUUCACCACUGCCACCUCCUCCUCCUCGCAGCUCCGCUCCUUAUCGAAAUCAGCCGCCUCCUCCGGGCUCAUGUCCACAAACACACACGACUGGUUAUCACCAGAUCGCAAGCAAUCGUUGGCCCCUUCGGCGGGGAGGGGCGACCCUAGAGGAGCGCUGCAGUUGAAGAAGAAGGUCAGAUUGACGAUGGAGUUGUAACCGAGGGGGAGCGAGUCAAUCGUGAGGUUGCGGUGGGUCCUGGGGCAUUCCUGGCGGGCGACGGGAAUGUCGACGAGAGUUAGGGUUGCUUCGGUGUAGUUGAUAUCGGUGACGAAGUAGGCGUCGUCCGGAAGGAGGAGGAUUGGGUGAGGGGAGCCAUACGGGCAAUCGAGGCCGAGGCCUGGGAAUCCGCAGUGCACGGGGGCAUCGCUUUCGAUCCAGAAUGGAUAUUGGAUGAAGACGUUGCCGCAUGGGAACGAGGACAAGACGGGGUCGCAAAUGGUCGAGAAAUUGGAGUGGACUCCAUGGAAGCUCGCGGAGGAGACGAAGAAGAAGAGGAGGAGGGAGAGAGAAGGGGAGAGAAUGCAGAGUAGGUGGUGGCUUGGCAUUUUCUUUGUCCUUCUCUUGGCGAGGAACAAGAUGAUCGUCUGGCGAUUUAGAAUGGACGGCCUAUUUAAUAAAAGUGGUCAAAGUCUUGCAUUGGAAUUUGGGACUAAAGGUUACAAAUUUUUUUUUUUGUGGUCAAUGCCUACACAAAUUUGACUUUGAUAUGUUUUUUUUUUUUUUUGUGUGCAACGUUCAAGUAAUCCUACGUGAAAAAAAAAUUUCUAAUACAUUGAUAACGAUUUAAUAUGGUCAUAAGUCAUUGGCGAAAAAAUAAUGUAUAAUUACACCAUUGUGUAUAAUUUUAUGUGUUGGUCUUUAUGCAUAAUCUCCUUAAGUUCUGCUACUGCUUUGGUCUGAGUUUUUCCCCAAGGUGGGGAGUUCUUCUUCAGCAUGGAUUGCAAAGGGAUCAGAAGUUUUGCAAUAUUUGGGACAAAGACUCUGAGAUAAUUGAUUAUCCCGAGAAAUUGCUGAACUUGCUUUGUUGUGAAAUUGUCCUGAGGAAACUUCAAUAAUUCUUCCACAAUCUCAUGGUUGGCUUAUUCAAUUAAGGAAGAAGUUGGAGACUUCAUUGGACCAUAAAUUUUUAUUUAUUUAUUUAUCUUGUUUAUUAUUUUUUCUAAUAUCAAUUUUUCUUUCAAAGGAAAGGCAUGAUUUAGAGCUUAAUACAGCCUUUUUUGAAAAUCAAUUAGGGCUUGAUUGCACUUUUUAUAAAAUAUAUUUAGGGGACUUUAAUUUAGUGUAAUUAUUCAUGAUUAAAUUUUAUGAAUUACAGUCUUUAACAAUUAAAGUAGCGGUCGUCGGCAUUUUCUAUGUUGAGAAAUCUUGAAGAAGUUGAUGGAUCUUGCAAUUCAAAUCUAAUACGGAGAGGAAGAAAUUACCAGAGAAAUUUAUGGAUUUUGAAAUUCAAACUCAACGUGUUAUAUUCUCUUUAAGGUUGUAGUCUUCAAUAAGUUCAUGACUUGAUGGAGUUUGAUUCAAUAGCUUGUGUCAUAUAUGUGACCACAUCGACAUUAAGCCACAAAUGAUUUUAAAUCAUUGCAAGUAAAUUUUGAUAUGCAACGGGGACUAUAAUCGUUGUAAUGCUCUAGUUGCAUUAAAAUAGACGAAGGGCCCGUGAACUUCACAUUCAUUUUGGAUAUUAAAGCUAGAAAUCAAAUAUAGGUGUGAACUUGGCGUAGAUUCUUUCACUUUUGUCCCUUUCGUUGAGAUAGUUUCCAGGAAACAUGACAUUUGGAGAUAGUCGUCAAGUCCGACUUUAAACAAUUAAUUACGCCUCAAAAUGCCAAUGCACAAUUGCCCUUCUAUUUAGAGGUGAAUCUCUUUGGUGGGUUUCUCAAGUAAAGAAAAUUACCCAAUUAAUCUCCAAAUUAUUGUACGAAAGUAAAUUAAUCUUAAAAUUUUCAAUUUUACCAAUUUAGUCAUAAACUUCUGCACGCAAUUCCAAUGUAGUAUUUCCGGUUAAUUUAUACUAGAAAUUAUUGAUGUGAUAGCCCAUUUAUCACCAUCCGUCUUAUGUGGCACAUUGCCAUGUCAACGAUUUCAGGUGAAAAUCGAUCGAAAAGACUUUAUUGGAAUUUCCCAUGAAGAUAUAAAAUUAGAAAGUUUAGAACUAAAUUGACAUUCACACAAUAAAUAUAUGACUGAUCAGCUUGUUCUCCCUCUCGAGGAAUUAUGUCUCUAGGAGAUACAAAAUUCCACAUCAUGCUGAUGAAUUAGAGAAAACACAGCAAAUAAUCAAAGCAUUAUGUUGUUGUGUAUCAAGACAUAAUCAACAAUCGGAAUAAAUCACGUCCGAGGGACAUUGCAAUAUGUGAAUUUCAGUGGUUAUUAUAGACAUUUAAGAUGUGCAACACUUUCCUUCUUUCUCAAUUUGGUAAGCUAGGCGAAAUUUCUUUCCAUGACUCUUAAGAGAAUGUUCAAUUCAUCGAAUCUAGAAGAAGUGGCCAAACAUAUUUCUCAUAAAAAAAAAUUAACAAUAACAAAAGAGAUGAUCACAUCAUCUCGACAGGGAUUGGGUUCAUGUGGGUCUAGAUUGGCAAGGUCAUGUGACCCUUGGUGUCACCUUGCUUGAGAUCGCAAGACCUUGGCAUCGUCUCAUCUAGCCUCUAAGACAGUUCGUUCCUCACCGAUGAUUGAUCUGUUUCCAAGACGGAGAUAAUGAGCAGUAGCUGUGUGCUCUGUUUCACCUGUUAAUUUAUUUAUUUAUUUUUUUUUCAACUUAAAAACUAUUUUGCAAAAAUACACCAAAAUUCACUUAAUUUAAUGGAAUUUGCUUUAAGUAAAUGCACCUUGAAUCAAAGAUUUUCGAGAAAUUAUUUUGCAUGUUUGAGCAGUCCUAUGUGUAUAAAAAGUUCCAAUAUAGUAAUAACAACAUACUAUAGUCAUAGGUCACUAAUGUAGAAAUAGCAUUUAAAUAUGCGAGCAUAUAGAAUUAUAUGUUAGUCUCUACGUCGGUCUCUACAAAUUAUCAUGAGCCGUUCACUAGAAUUUGACUUGUAUGUUGUUUGAUCCAUCUAUUGGGUUAGUGUUCCUCACAAAUUGGAUCCUGCAACGAAAUAUCUUUCAUCGGAAGUUGUUCUUCAGUUUUUAUUAGAGGAGAGAGGUAUUGUGGCAACUUCAGAUAGAAAAUAUCAUUAGUCAACAAGAAAAACCCGAAGUUUACUUCAAAUAUAUGUACAAAAAUCGUGCUGAAAUUUAAUCAACAAUAAAUCUUGAGAAUGCAAAGAUGCUACAAUAGAAUUUAACUGAUGACGUGACAAUUGGGAUAGACAUACACACUAAAAUUUAAUUGACGAUGUGGAUUUGGAAACUACAUCUAAGAAAUAUGCCGAAGUUUAAUUGACGAUGUGAGUCUAGAAAAUAAAACUACAACGCAGAAAAGUAAAGAUAACUAAAGAAUAGUAGACUUAUUCAUUUGUGUGUUGGGGGGCCUUCACAUACAAACAAUGGUAUGUAUAGUGGUUGUGCCAUAACCAUCUCUAACCAGUUCUCCUACAUUUAUAGCCAUGUUCCCUCAUCUCUGAAAAUCUUGGGCUCAUUCUCUCAUGAUGCCAUGAUUUAGUCUUCCAAGUGAUUAAUCCCUUAAAAUUGCAUUUUGGUUACUCCGCGACUUCUUGAACCCUAUUGCCUCACUCACCAAUGAUUUCAAACUCAUAACAGCUUUUUGACAUCCUCUAGGUAUCCAACUUACUUUUGAUACCUCAAAUUGGUAAUCCGUAGUUCCUUUUAAUCAAUACCCUUAUUGACUAUCACCUAUUCAUUUGUCAUCAUACAUCGACAACUGAUAAGUAAUUGCUCAUAUCAUUUGAAAUAAUUAUUUGAUAAAAAUAAUUUUAUUAUCGAUAAUAAAUUAUGUCUAAAUACUUUUAUAGACAAUAUAAAUAUUUUUUAUUUAUUUAUUUUUACAACAAUAUAAGUAAUUAUUUUUAUAAAAUGUAUUUCAAUUUAUUCAUUUUUUGUGAAAUAAACCAAAGCUUUUAAAGUCUAAUCAAUGGUUUAAAGUUCGACUAUUAUAUCACUCUCUGCAAUGUCAUGUUUCGUGGAAAAUGUCUCGAUGGAAAGACAAAAGUGAGAGAGUCAAUGCUCCUUUCGUGCUUGCUUCCUUGGCGUCCACAUGCAAAACCGGAAAGGCAGCCAAAAAGGAGAAACUAAGGAAGACCAGAAAAGUACACUUUAAUUGUUCAGCGUUUACGCUGAUUUGAAGGAGUAAAAAAUCGAAGGUUUUUUUUUUUUUUUCCAACCAGGUUGAGUUACUAGGCUGAAGCCUGGUGAGGUCGCCCUGAGGCUGAAACUCACCUAGGCGAGGGUGACCUCUGGCGAGGACUCCCCUAGCUAGAUUUGGCGAGGCCGGCCCUCGCUCAAGCCAGGGUGACCUCACCCGAUGUUGCCAUCGCCCGGCCGACGCCUAGCGAGGCUACCCUAGCCUAGGUGCAGAUCAACCUCGCUUGGCCUGGGCGAGGGUCGGCCUCGCUUAGGCAACCCUUGCCGAGCCGCGCUUGGGCAAGGGCUUCCCUCGCCGGGGCUCACCCUUGCCUAAUCGGGCCUCGCUUGUGGUGGGCGAGGCUAGCUAGUUGGCUGUGGCCGGUGGUUGGCCAGCCAUUGGAAAAGGCCAAGAAGAAAGCCAAAAAGAAAAGAAAGAAAAAAAUUCAAAAAAUAUUAAAAUAUUAUUAAAAUUGUCCACGUCAGCGCCGACGGUCCUAUGUGGCACCGUUGGCAUCCAUGUCCAUAUUUUCUUGCCAAAAUUGUAUGAAUGGACUCAAUUGGUAAGAAGUGAAAAUGUUUAGGACUGAAUUGGCAAAAGUACAAUAAGUUUAAGAUUUUUUGGACAAUUUUUCCAAACCGAGUUGAUUCUAACAUUGGAAUGGAAAGGAAACGACCAGGCUUGUCCUGGCUUUGACCUUAAAGGGUUCGAUUUGAUGUCAACACUAAAAGGAGACAACCAUGCUUAUUCUCAAGAUCACUAAUUUAGCAUAGAUAAUAAGGAAUUGCUAAAAAUUUGAUCACACUUAAUCAUGAAGGAAGUUGGUGUGUUUACAAUUGUAACAUUUGCUGCCUAGCUAGUUCUUAAUCCAUAAUAAAAUCUUUAAAUGAAACGACAAAUCUCUCAACUAUACUUGUUAAAUGAAUUGAGCCUAUCUGAUUCAAGAGUUCAUGUGAAUUGGAUUUGCAUGCCUGCAUUAUUCGAGCAGCCAAUGUUGAUGUAUCAAUGACCCACACAGAAAAUUUGCCCUGAAAAGUCUUGAGGAACAAACCAUGAAACUUCCUAGUCAACGGGACCUCUAAAUUACAAUUAGGUUGGAGGAUCCGCCAACGUGUUGAAAUUGAUGAUCUUCCACAUUCCAUGAAACUUCCGAGUUAGAGGAACCUCUAAAUUACUCUUAGGAACAAACCUCCCGUUAUACAAUUUCUACUAAGCAGUGCAAAUCAAUUGUAGAAUUUUUCUUUUUCUUUUCUUCCAAUAUACAAAACUUUAGUGCUAACAAAAAUCAAUUGUUUAAAUUAUGUUACACAUUUAAAUUGAAAUUCUUGUCCCGUUUCGGAGUUCCCACUCCCUUUAAUGUAAUUUAUAACCAAAUGUAGUCAUGGGUUUAGUAAACACCAGUGGCAAGUUUCUUGAAUCACAGUGUUUAUUAGUUUUUUAUGUGGUAACAAAAAUUUUCGUUGUGUAAUUUUGAUACAUUCUCUUUUAUACUUUUAGUCUUCGAUAAGAUAAUAACUCGAUGUCAAUGCAGAAACUCACAAAUCCCACAAAGUUGCAUGGAAUGUAGUAUGCUCACCAAAAAGGGAGGGAGGUCUAGGCUUGCUCGAUCUGAAACUUUGGAAUAAAGUAUUGAUGGCAUGCUUUAAAGCCUCAUCAAUCUUCCAUCCUCAUCCCUGUGGAGUACUUAGGUUCAAAUAUUAAAUGCAUAGGUACUCCCAUUAUGCAACUCAACAUAAAGGGCAAUAUGGCUUGAAAUUAACGAUGCAUUCUCAAGCUAAGACAUGCUCUAAUGCCUAUUAUCUCUAGCGAAACAUAUUGUUGCAAAGAGGUAUACGAGGAAUUUAGACAAGAGGACCGGCCGUGGACUGGUAUCAAUUAAUUUGGACCAGCGGUAUCAGCAAGCAUAAUUUUAUUGGUUGGCUUGUUUGCAAAGAUAGACUACUAACAGCAAUAGCCAUAUCAUGGUUGGUUGUCUUCAGUAGAUACUAAGGGCGCGUUUGGUAACGUUUCUAUUCUUUUUUUGUUCCAGGGAACAGAAACAAAAAAAAAGUGUUUCUGUUCCGGGGAACAAUUUUUGAACAAAAGAACGCGUUUGGUAACGUUUGUUCCGGGAAUAAAAAAUGAAUAGAAACACGUUUGGUAAAUUUUAUUAUUUUUUUGUUUCUUUUAAUUUUUUAAACAUUUUUAUUUUAUUUUUCAUUUUUUCCUUUAUUUUUUCUUUUUUCUUUUUUCGGCCGGUCACUGGCCUUCGGCGACCGGCCGACGGGGCCGGCAGCCUCGCCUAGCCACGGCGAGGCCGAGCCUCGCCGUGCCAAGGCGAGGCUCCGGCAAGGUCGCCGACCCUCGACGGCGUCGCUGGCCCUCGACGGCCGGUCGCCGACCAUGGCCGAGGCCGGCAACCGGCGAAAGAAAAAAGAAGAAAAAAAAGAAGAAGAGAAGAAGAAGAGAGAGAAGAGAACAGAAAAAUCCGUACAUAAGUGUUUCUUCAUUUUUGUUUAUGCAACAAGAAACAACAAUUUGUUGUUUCUUUUUUUUGUUCUUAUUUUGUUCCGGGAACAAAAAAACAAAAAAAGAACAGAUUGCGUUUCUGUUCUUUUUUUGUUCCCGAGAACAAAAUCCGUACAGAAGUGUUCCAGAAACGUUUCUUUGGAACGUUUCCAUGCACGCCCUAAGGCUGCGUUUGGUAGUCCGGAUUUGAGUCUGGAUAGGAUAAUUUGUUAUCCUAUCCAAUGUUUGGGAAUGUCCACCGGAUCGGACAAACCCGGAUACAUCCGGAUAAAACGCCGGAUAAAAAAUCCGAGGGAGGGGGUGGGAUAAGCUCGGAUUGGAUAAGAAUUUUUUUUUUUUUUUAAGGAAAGAAAAAACUUAACAAAAAGAGAAGAUAUCAUAAGCAUCUACGUCAAAUGGAUGCCUCCGUCUCUCCGAUUCAUUGUUAGCCCUCUUCUUCCACUUCUUCUCCCAUCUUCGCAUCUCGCCGUUUUCAAUGGUGGCCACAAUUCCUAGAUCUAGGGCUUUUCCAUGGCAUUUAAUUAAUUGAAUUUUCUAUUUUUUAAUUUUAUAAUUUAAUUGAAUAUCAUAUUUAUUUUUUAAUCUUAUCCUGAAAUGCACCAAACACUUGAUAGGAUUAGACAUGUCCGCAUUUAUUAUCCAGAGGAUUUAAUAUCCUACUUCAUCUAAUUAAUGAUAUUCACAUAUUUACACCAAAAAAGAUAAUAACUCGAUGGAUUGAGAUUGAUAUCUUGUAUCAUAUAUGUGGCUAUAGUGAGAGUAAGGGAUUAAUCAUCUUAAAUCUUGGACGAAUAAAACUUCAUGUGCAAUUGAGUACUACAAUAUCAAGGAUUUUUCAUUUUCUAGAAUUCUCGAAUAUAAUACAAUAAUAUUGAAAAACUAUUACAGAGCAAAGGUCCAAUUAUAGUGCCAAACACAUAAACAAUGUAUAUGAAGAGCAUUAUUACCAUAACAUAUAUGCGAAAGUAUUGAAGCUCGAAAUCAAUGAUCGUCACCAUUGAUGCAAUUAACAGCCAUAAUAUAAUAGAGGAUGUUAGUAUUCUUGUAUAUGGUAGCUAGCCUACGUGAAUAUUCAGAUGAUGAUGUGACGUUAGGUAAAUUAAAUUCAGUCCAUUAAAUUAAUUACUAAGUGAUGUCCCAAACUAUAUAAGUAAUUUUUUUUAUUUAUUUAUCUAGUAUACUUAGCGUAUUCUUCAACCUAUUUCUUUCACUUUCAACUUUGUAUAUGUAAUAUGCACCGCAUUGGGAAAAAUGUUUGGCUGUGAAGGAAUGUCUUGGUCUUGGUCAUCGAAAACAACCGUGUUUCCCAAGUUGCGCAUGAAUUAUGCGAACGGAUUGAAAGUGGAAAAAGCUGAGGAAAAGAGCGGCACUGGAGGAUUCUUCAUUUUCUAGACUUCUCGAGUAUAAUACAAUAAUAUUGAAAAACUAUUACAGAGCAAAGGUCCAAUCGUCAUGCCAAACACAUAGAACACUAUAGAUGAAGAGCAUUAAUACCACAGCAUAUGAAAGUAUGGAAGCUUGAAAUCCAUCAUCGUCACACCAUGCAUCAAUGCAAUUAACAGCCAUGAUAUAAUAGAGGAUGUUAGUAUUCUUGUAUAUGGUAGCUAGCCUAUGUGAAUAUUCAGAUGAUGAGGUGACGUUAGGUAAAUUAAAGUUGGUCCAUUAAAUUAAUUACUAAGUGAUGUCCCAAACUACAUAAGUAAUUUUUUUAGUCAUCUAGCAUACUUAGCGUUAUUCUUCGACCUAUUUCUUUCCCUUUCAACUUUGUAUAUGUAAUAUGCACCGAAUGGGAAAAAAUGUCUGGCGGUGAAGGAAUGUCUUGGUCUUGGUCAUCGCAGACAACCGUGUUUCCCAGGUCGUCUACCAGCUUCAAAGUUGAAAGCCGAAUCUUCACGUUGGAGUCAAAGUGGAAUAGGACUUUGACCGUAAAAAGAAAACAAUAAAGAAAAGGAAUAGUGCGGACUUGUUGAUUGGGUCAGAGAAAAAAAAGAAACAAACAGGAAAUGAACUCUUUGUUUGAGUCGACAAAAGUUCAGACGGAUGGCCAAUGCAUUCACCUUCGUUUGAGAGCGUGUGAGCAGCUACCAAAGCUCUCUCGUGGGCUAAAAACGGGCCUCAUUUUGAAGCCCAUCUGCUGGGUUAGCGCCCCGGCCCACUUGAGAGGGCCUUAAUUGGUAUGACAAGCUUAACGUGUUUGUGAAAUAUAAAAUGAUCCGUAAGCCUCGUUCCCGUUUAUUAUGGUAUAUUUUUUUAUUAUUUUGUAUUUAUUUUAACUUAUUAUUUUUAUUAUAGUUAUGCCUAUGAGAAAAUUUUAAAAUCAAAAUGUCCCUAAUCGUGAUGAGAAGUAGCAAGCAAUGUGAUUACUAAAUGAUACAUGCAAUUUUUUGGGUUAAGGGGCCAAUUUAUGUCAUAAAUUAGAUCCGUAAUAUUGAUAGAAAUGCUACGGAAAUCCAAAUGUGAAAAUUUAUAUGUCAACAAUACCCUUUUCACUCUUUUUUUAGUCACACUUGUAGAAUUCAACCGAGACAUCUCAUCACAAAUUUAUAAACAGCCCAAUUAUCAUUAAUUUUGCAAUUGCUUUUUUUUUUUUUUCCAAAUAGUAUGUUACAAACUAUGUUGGUCUCAUAUAAUUAAUAUUGAAUAACCCUAACUUGAGUUAUUACUCUCUUGUAGAGAUGAACUUACACAUGGACAAGCUGCAAGCAAUUUUGAGGGUGAUGACAAAAUGGGUUUGAGAGGAAUUUACAAGGCAUCAACACUACCUUUUAGCAUUUGCACAACUUGAGUCAUACAUGGUCAAGCUCUCAGAUUGAUUUGAAUGCACUAUGAGCCAAUUAUAAUAAUCUUCUUCACGAUUACUUUGUCCUCCUCAUUUGUGAUCCUGAGUAGUCCAAUCUCUUCUUGGAGCUCUAGACGUACCCAAUGAGGGAAGUAUGCUUCGAUGGUUUGAUCUACUGUGACUUUGAUACUUUUUUAGCUAUUCUGUUAGUUUGUUGCUGGUUUUGUGGACAAGGCAAGCUAUAAGUGGGCAACAUGGGUUUAUGGUUAAGUUUUAGUAUGUAUUAAGCAUUUUUUUAGUUUUCUGAAUUAUAUAUACAGCUUUUGCUGUCAACUCCUCUGUUCUUUCGAAAACAACGAUUGCGGAGGAUAAGAGAAAGAGGUAGGAGAGAGUGCGAAAAGCAUUUGUAAAAAAAUCAAAUGGAGUUGGUUUGAAUUGGUUCUAACUCCUAUCACUGUUGUGUGCUAGUUCUUCAACUUUGAAGCCAACACCAAGCAAGGCAGAAAGUGGGAAGCAUGCAUAUGUAUCGAAUCAAAGCAUGUAUGGUCCAUGCUUGGAUCCACACUCAUUAUAGUGCUUAUGCUAAUUAUAAAUAAGGUCAUGUCACAAUCAAAACAUAUAGCAUGAUAGAGUUAAUUAUAUGUAUAGUUCAAAUCGAUCAAUGUUACCUAUUUCGAUUGAACACCUCGUCAGAUUUUAGCACCACUAGAAUAGACGGGAGCUUUCUCUCUUUCCUUCCUUCCUUCCUUCCUUCCUCCUUCCUUCCUUCCUUUCUUUCUUUCUUGUUUGGUCGUAUGCACAAGAAAAUCCCACAAAAAAAAGCAAGUUAUUUUGGUCCAACAUUUGAAAUUUUUACUGUGAAUUUGGUGUAGCUCCAGCUUCACUUAAUACUUUUUAACUAUUGGAUCUUGUGGGACACAUAUACCAACCUCUGCAUGUUGAAAGGAAGAUCAAGCAAAACAAUAGAUAUGAAAACUCAGUCAAGAAGCAAAAACAGGAAAAAAAAAAAAAAAAACUCCCCCAUCCACUUACCAUCAUUGCAGCUUCGAGGAUGAGGACCAUCUUGGCAAAAACAAACAAAAUCAUCGUUCUCGAAUCCACACCACCCCUCACUUCCCUCGCAGUUGCUACAAUUAAAUGCGGUCUAGUUCAAAAGGAAUCCCACCUCCAUAAUCUCACAGAAGUUCAUAGUCGCCAAGCUAUCGAUAUUUGUAUUAACAUAAUCAGGUACACUAACUGAAGAGUUGCAGGAACUGAUGGCAUAAUACAAAUAUAUUUCCUGCGAUACUUCCUCGAGAAAAUAAGCAAAAUAGUGGUGGGUGGAGUUGCUAGCACAGUCCACUAGAUAUGUAAAAUUUGGCGGCGGUGAGGUGCAAUUAUAAUAGAAGAAGAAAUCGGCAUUAGUGGAACUGAGAAUGAGAGGCGUGCUUUCGAGGUUGAUAUUACGUGGUGGAGCACCACAAGUGUCAUGGUACAUGAGGGCAUCAACCAGGAGGAUAGAAUGGUUCGUGUAGGAGAUUUCCUUGAUGAUGAACUCACUGACCGAAAAAUUCAGGACUGGGAAUAUCCCUAUGCAGGUGAUCUUGAAAUUCGGAUAGCCACAAUAGGAGUCUUGCUCGCCCGAAAUCCAGAAAGGGUAGCUGAUGUUUGAGCCAUAUCCACAGUUCCGAGGUGUGCAGGCCUCAUACUGCGCAUCUUCAGAUACAACCUAAUAGACUAAGCUAACGAAGACAACGACAAGGGCCAACUGGCAACAAUUAGCUCCGUAGUUGAAGCUCUAGAGAUUCAUUUGGACUAGAAGGAGGUAGAGCAGGAUAGAAGAGAAAUCAAAUGGAGUUAGUUUGAAUUGGUCCUAGCUUCGAUAACUGUCGUGCACUAGUUCAUCGACUUCGAAGCAAAUGCCAAGCGAGGCAGAAAUUGGUCCCAUGCGUGCAUUAUUCAAGCACCCAAUGUAAAUGCAUUGUUGUCAUACACGGAAAAUCUGCACUAGAAAGUCUAGAGGAACCGACCAUGAUACUUCCUAGUCGAAGGGACCUCUUAAUAACGAUUACAUUGGAGGGCCUGCUUACGUGUUGAAGUGUCAGAAUUGAUGAUGAUCUACCAAAUCAUUAGGAACAAACCUUGAACCAUCUGAGCCAAAGGGACCUCUAAAUUACACUCGGAACAAAGUUCCCGUUACAAAAAUAUUAGGAAAAAAGUAUCAAUUCAGUUCUAUACCUAUUAUAUGAAUGUCAAUUCAGUCAUAAUUUUUUCAAAUUUAUUAUGAUAAUUAUAAGUUUGACAAGAUAUUCUUACGUAGUUUUUUUGACCGAUUGCUGUCGGAGAUCCUUGACGUGAGAAUCCACAUAUAGUACGAUCAGCGAUGAUUGGACACCAUAUUAGCAAUUUCCAGCGUCAGUUUUUCGGAAGAACUACUUUGAAAUUUUGAGUAAAUGUUUAGGACUACAUUGAUAAAAUUGAUAAAUGCAUGACAAAAUUAGCAUUUACACAAUAAAUUUGGGACUAACUAGGUAAUUAUCCCACAAUUCUUACUAAGCAACGCAAAAAAUUGUUCAUUUUUUAUCAUUUCAUCCACCAUACAAAUUUUAGUGCUUGCAAAAAAUAAAAAAUUAAAUAAUUUAUGUUGCAUAUUUCCUUGGGAGUUUUGUCCCACAUUGGAGUUGCAACUCCCUUUAAUGUAGCCUAUGACCCAAUGCUGUCAUGGUGUUAGUAAACACCUGCGUUUGAUUGUCUUAAAUCUCAGUUAUUAUUAGUAAGUUUUGAGGUAGCGAAAUUUUUGUGAUUAACUUUUAUAGAAUACAGUGUCUACGGAAAGUUGCAGGAAUUGGCAUUUUUUAUGUUCUCUCUUACACUUUUAUAACCAGUAAUUAUAUAACUCGGUGGCUCGUAUUAUAUAUGUGGCUACGAUUAAGAGAUUAACGAUCUCAAAUCAUUAUGAACAAAAUUUAAUACGUAAUCAAGAACUAUAAGAUUGUAGUAUUUUCAUUUUCUAAAUUCUCGAUUACAAUACUUUACAGAAUAAUAAUCCUGGGAAACUGAUAGAGAAAAAAUGUCUAAACAUCAUACCAAAUACAUAUAUACAUAUGAUAUACAUGAAAGCAUUGAAUUUCGAAAUUUGGACUGCCGGCACCGUGCAUUGACGCAAUAAAUUAUGUCUACAAUUUAAGUCAUGUACAAAAUCUGAUCCAUUUGGCGGAUUUAUUGAUAUUUUUUCAAAAUCUAAAUGCGCAUUUUUUUUUUAAUACGAAUCAUAGCUGGUUCUUUGGACUUGAGCAAGUCCUUAAAUUGCUCAUGGAAGGUAAAGGUGGGAGAACCGCCCUAGGGUGAGAGACCCCGUGCUUGCCUUCCCUAGCCUCCCAGUUGGCUGGAAAAUAUCAACUGGGAAUUAGGGGGGCUAAUGGUGAUGAAGGUAAACAUCAUUUUUUGAGCAAUCUAGGCUACGACUGGGCUGGCAUCGGGUAACCAAACCCUGUCCCUCGCCCGGCGUGAAUGAGUGAGGGUGAAAUGCCCUCUGCUGGCUGAACAUGCCUAUGGCACUUCUUGUAUUUUCAUUAUAUUACGUACACGAUGAGAAGACGCUUCUUUUGAAUAUAUGCAAAAGGAAGGGCUCAAAUAUAUUUUCUAAAAGAAGUCGUGGACGUCUCUGCUAAAUGGCACUUGAAGUAUAUGCGGGUCCAGGUCAGAAGCAGUAGAUAUGUUGACCCCUAUAAAUACUCUAUUACAAACUAUGUUAGUCUGAUGUAAUUGAUAUUGAAUUGUCCCAAGUCAAGUAAUUUCUCUCUGGCAUAGACGAACUUUCACAUUGACAAGCCUCGGGUGAUCUUGAGAGCGAUGACAAGGAUGGUUUAGGAGGAAUUUGUAAGGUCUCAACACUACUUUUUAGCAUCUCCACAACUUUGGUCAUCGAUGGUCGAGCUCUCGGAUCGAUCUGAAUGCACCAUAAGCCUAUUACAAUCAUCUUCUUUGCAAUUCCUUCGUCCUCCUCAUUUGUGAUCCCAUGUAGGCCAAGCUUUUCUCAGAGCUCCAAGCGUCGGCGGACCCAAUGAGGAAAGUAUAUUUCACUUGUAUGAUCUACCGUGACUUCAAUGUUUUUCCUCUUGCUAACCAUCUCUAGAACUAUCAUGCCAUAACUAUAGACAUCCGAUUUGUGAGAAACCCCUCCGAUGUUCCUUAUGAUUAGCUCCAGAGCAAUAUAUCCAGCGGUGCCUCGGGCACCAAGCAAUGACAUGAUGCUCUCUUCUCUUGGGCAUAUUUUGGAAAGACCAAAGUCGGAAAUCUUGGGAUGAUAGUUUGCAUCAAGAAGAAUGUUGUGAGGUUUUAUGUGGAAGUGCAAGAUCCUUGUAUUACAUCCUCUACGCAAGUACUCUAGCCCGUGAGCUAUGCUCAGCAAAAUCUGGUACAAUAUGUCCCAACUCAAUUGAUGAUCUACCUCCAAAGUGUUACUCCUGUUGAAUAUGAAUUUUUCGAGUGAUCCAUUGGGCAUGAACUCAUAAACCAAAGCUCUUUUGCUUCCUUCAAAACAAAACCCCAAAAGGUUAAGAACAUUGAUAUGAGAAGUCCUACUUAUGCUCACAACUUCAUUGAAAAAAUCUUCAGCAUUGCCUUUCGGCUUCUUUAGAAGCUUUACUACCACAAAUUGAUCAUCUCGAAGCUUGCCUUUAUACAUGCAGCCAUAGCCUCCCUCACCUAACUUUUCUUUGAAAGAGUUGGUCAUCCUCUUGAUGUCUUUGUAGGUGUAUCUUCUCGGACGAGUCCCUCAAUCUUCAUUUCGCCAUUGAAAUGUUCGCUCCUAUGCUUUAUCAAAUCCAUAAUAAUUUCAAUCACUGGUUUCUUCCUGAAGGGAAGCAUUAAAAUAAGGGUGAUCCCAAUUCCGGCUCCCGAUGCAGCCAUUCCUGAAAAAAAUGGAGAAUAAUUUUGAAUAGCAAUCUCACUUCUUCAAGGCUUCUAGAAUAUUUUGGAAAUAUUGAUUCCAUUGAGCAACGAUGCAAGAUUACUGCCAAAAAGUCGCAACAAAUUGCAGAGGAGAAUGUAGAGAAGCGGAAGAGAAAGUCUUGAAAUAAUUACCUAUUUCAAUUUUCAGUCCAACCCUUUGUUUUCUUGAGACAAUAGUCAUCAAGAGUGAAAAAUGUGUCAACGAAUUGCAAACUGAUAACUUCAAAGUGUCUAAGAGAUAUAAAGAUCAGGCACAUCAUGAGGUAAUAGAUCAUUCUGUUUCAAGGAAGUAAACCACCCCCCCCUACCCCGCCCCGAACGCGCCCCAAUAUUACAGAUUCCCCAGUUUGGAUCAAUUAGUGACAUUUUUACCAGAGUAAUUGGAAACACUUGCCAAUGGAUCCUGUGCCUGAUUGACUAACAAGUAUAGACAUUAGCUAAAAUCCUUAAUUCUAGAGCUAUCAGGGAAUGAACAGGAAGACAGCAAAAAAUAUUAGCUGGUCUAGAAGUAGCAAACACGCUGCAAUAUGAUCGACAAUGUGGUGUCAGAGGCGGAGACAGAAAUUUCUGUGUAUUGAAUGGGCGGUAUAUUAUGGACAUGUCUCAACUCUUUUAGCCUCUAAGCGGACCUAUAGGAUUGAAUAGAAGUCGUCCCGCGAAUAAAACAAGUGGGCAGCUCAUGUUCAGGCAAGAAUUUUGAAGUUUCUUGAAUCGUGUACACCCAAUUGAUGACUAGAUAACUAUUGCAGAAAGAUACAAACAUAGAAAGAUAGAAACAUCAAAAUAUGAGGUUCCCAUAAGAUGUCUUGGGACCCAACAGAUCGGACACUUUUGUUUGCAGCGGUAAGCGAGUCCACAGUCUAAGCUAGGGCGAAGAAAUUGGAAAAGCUUGAGGACAUUAUCCACGGCACGUAUAAAGAGUAAUUAAAUAACAGUGAAAACAUUUUCAGUAUUUAUUUCUCCACUAUCAUCAUGAACAAAAUUUUCAUUGAUUGUGCAAAGAUAGAAUUAAGUGCGCAGUUCACCUCUAUCAAUAAUAUAUUUCAACUAUCCGAGCGAUCAGAUUUUAGCACCAUUUGUGGAGACGUAGUUUUCCUUUUCAUUUGGUUGUGUUCAUAAUAAAAGCCCAAGAAGAAACCAGUAGUUUUAGCCCAACCCUUGCAGAAUUUUACAGUGAAGUUGGAGCAUCUUCACUCAAUUUAUUUAUACCUUUUGAUGUUAUGGGUAGCAGAUGCCGACCUAAAGAUCUAACUGUUAAUUGCAGUCCAGUUCAAUAGGAACCCCUUCUUCAAGCUAGUGAUUCAAGCUAGUGAAAUCGGCAUUAACAGAAACAGGAGUGCUAAAUGUGGAAUAGCAGGAGCGGACGACAGAAUAGUAAUCCAUUUCCUGCAAUGCUUCCUUGGGAAAAAAAAAGAAAAAGAAAAAGAAAAGCAAAAGAAUGGCGCAUGGAGUUGCCAACUCAGUCCACUGGACUUGUAAAAACAUGUUGGCUACGAGGUGCAACUAUAGUAAAAGAACAGAUCAGCAUUAGUGGAACUGAGAUUGAAAGUCGUCCUCUUGAGGUUGAUAUUAUGGGGUCGGAGCAUCACAGGAUUCCUGCUACACAGGGGCAUUAGCCUGGAGGAACCAAUUGUUCGCAUAAAAGAUAUCAUUGAUAGUGAAUUCCCUGUCCGAGAAAGUCAGGACAAGAUAUAUCAUUUUGCAGGUAAUUUUGAAAUUCAGAUAGCCCCAAUAGGACUCUUGUUCACCAUAAAUCCUAAAAGGGUAGCUAAUGUUCAGCCCAUAUCUACAAUUCCGAGGCAUGCAAGCCUCGUAUUGUGCAUCAUCCGAUAGAGCCACAUAGACUAAGUUGGUGAAGAUGAUGAUGAUGACUGAUUGGUGACAAUUAGCUACUCACAUGAAGUUUUGUGAUUCAUCUGGACCGGAAGGAGGCAGAGUAUUGCAGAGGACAGAAGAAAUAGGUAGGAGAGAGAGCGUGGAAAGCAUUUGCAAAAAAAUCAAAUGGAGUCAAUCUGAGUUGGUCCUAACUCCUAUCACUGUUGUGUCUCGUGUGCUGCCUUGUUUGGCCCUUCUCUCCUCUGCUGUGGCUGUUGUUUUAGCCUUUUUCUUUGCUGCUAUUCUUUCUUUCCCUGUUCUGCAGCUUUACCCCCAGUACCCUUCCACUCGUUUGACUACCUUGUCUUCUGAGUUUAAGCUUUUUGGUUCCAGGGUCCUUAGCUGUACAAUUGUAUAGCCUCUUGGUUCAAAAGUCAAUAUAAUACUUACCUUUUACCAAAAAAAAAAAAAAAAAAAACUCCUAUCACUGUUGUGUGCUAGUUCUUCAACUUCAAAGCCAAUAUCAAGUGAGGCAAAAAGUGGCCUGAAGCGUGCAUAUGUAUCGAAUUGAAGCAUAUAUGGCCAUGCUUGGAUCCACACUCAUUAUAGUGCUUAUACUAAUAAUAAAUAAGGUCAUGUCACAAUGAAAACCUAUAGCAUGAUGGAGUUAAUUAUAUUACAAUUCAAAUAUAUGAAUGUUACAUAUUUCAACUCAACACUUCAUCAGAUUUUAGCACCACUAUUCACGGAAGCUAUCUUUCUUUCUUUCUUUUGUUUGAUCCUGUGCACAAGAAAAUCCCACAAAGAAAAGCAAGUUGUUUUGGUCCAACAUUUGAAAAUUUUUACUAUGAAUAUGGUGUAGCUUCAGCCUCACUCAAUACAUUUUAACCAUUGGAUCUUGUGGAAUGCAGAUACCAACCUCCGCACAUAGAAAUGAAAGAUCAAGCAAAAUAGUAGAUUUGAAAACUUAGUCAAGAAGAAAAAACCGAAAAAACUCCCCCAUGCACUCAACAUGAUAGAAGGUUUGAGAAUGAGGACCGUUUGGGCAAAGGCAAACAAAAUUAUUGUUCUCGAACCUGCACCGUCCCUCACUUCCCUCGCAGUUGCUGCAAUUAAUUGCAGUCCAGUUCAAAAGGAACCCCAUCUCCGUAAUCUCACUAUAAUUCAUAGUCCUUAAGCUAGCGAUAUUUGGAUUGACGUCAAUAGGUAGUAGCAGGAGCUGACCGCAGAAUACAAAUCUAUUUCCUGCGAUCCUUCCCUACGAUCCUUCCUCAAGAAAAAAAAAGCAAAAGAGUGGUGGGUGGAGUUGCUAGUACAGUCCACGGGAUAUGUAAAACCUAUGGGCUGCUAGGUGCAAUUGUGGUUGAAGAAUAAAUCGGCAUUUGCGGAACUAAGAUUGAAAGACGUCCUUUCAAUGCUGAUAUUACGCAGCAGAGCACCAUAGGAGUCCAGGUACACGAGGGCAUUAACCAGAAGGAACGAAUGGUUUGCAUAGAAGAUAUCCUCGAUCAUGAACUCACUGUCCGAGAAAGUAGGCUAGGGUAUAUAUCUUUGAGGUAAUCUGGAAAUUCGGAUAGCCACAAUAGGACUCCUGCUUGCCGGAAAUCCAAAAAGGGUAGCUGAUGUUUGCGCCAUAUCCGCAAUUCAGUGGCACGCAGGCCUCGUAUUGUGCAUCCUCUGCUACAGCCUGAUAGACUAAUCUGGCGAAGACGACAACGAGGACUAAGCUGAAGCUUUGGAGAUUCAUUUGGGACUGGAAGAAGGAGGCAGAGCAGGAUGGGUGAGAAUUCAAAUGGAGUUGGUUUGAAUUGGCCCUAGCUCAAAUGGCAAGCGAAGCGAGGUAGAAAGUGGUCCUAUGCGUGCAUUAUUCAAGCACCCAAUGUAAAUGCAUCAUUGUCUGCAUCGGAAAAUCUGCCCCAGAAAAUCUUGAGGAACAAACCAUGAAACUUCAGUCAAAAGGACCUCUUAAUUACAGUUAGGCCGGAGGGCCCGCCAAGGUGUUGAAAUGUUGACAUUGAUGAUGAUUUGGCUAACCAUUAGGAACAAACCAUGAAACUUCCGAGCAAAAUCUCACGUUUUACAAAUCCUGGGAAAAUUACCAAUUGAGUUUUAAAUUUAAUAUAUGAGUGUCAAUUCAGUCCUAAAUUUUUCAAAUUCAUUAAUAUACUCUUUAAUCUUUGCUAGAAAUUCCAAUACACUUUUUCCGAAAAAUUGCGAUCGAAUAUUGCUGAUAUGGCGAUCCUUAAGUUGUUAAUGUCAACUUGCCACUUAAGAUGAUCGGUGAUAAUUGUACGUCAUGCCAACAAUUUCUUGUAUCAAUUGAUCAAAAUGAUUAUAUUGAAAUUUCACGUAAAUAUUUACCAUUAUAUUGGCAAAAUUGAAAAACUUACGACUAAAUUGAUAUUUGUACAAUAAGUUUAUGACCAAUUUGAUAAUUAUCUUUUUUUAUAGCAUAUUUCCUGGGGGUUUUUUCUAAUAAUAUAUACUGCUAAGAAUAAUAUUAAUACAUAUAUAAUGGGGAGAUUUCGUCCAAAAUUAAUUCAUAAAAAAUCGAGUACUUGAGUUAUCAAAUGCUGUUCGUCUUGUAAAUAGAAUCGAGCCCCUGAUAAUUUUGUCUAUCAUGGACGGAAUUAAUCACCGAUCUGAUGAGAACGAGUCAUACUGUGGCGUUGGUCCGCAGUGACGUCAAGCACGAAGAAUUCAUAUUUAUCUGCAAGAGGCGGGGACUCUCGUCCACUUUCGAUUUCAUUCAUAUGACUUACUGCGCUACGCGGGAAACAUGUUUGCCUGGGAAGGAAUAUCUCAGUCUUGUACAUAAUUAUUUAAUAAAACAACCGUGUUUCCCUUCUGGCGCACAGAUUAUAUUAAGGUAGUUGAAAGUGGAGAAAGGCAGGGUAUAGUCACCCAUAAAAGGGAAAAAAAAAUGACCCCUAAGAAGCAUCCACACUUUUCAAAAGCCUUCGCGUUGUGUCGGACAUUUUGAUAUGUAUUCAACACUCUUGAACGCUCUCUGACACUCGAUAACUAAUCAACAUAAAAUUAUAAAAGACUGAUUCUACCAAAGAUAUUGCUGCUUGACGUUAAAACACAUACAUCUUAUCAAAAAGGAGCUUAUUACUUUGUAAGACCGUGACAUUUUGCUCAUAUUCGAAUUUGAACUCUGAAGUUUAAUCUCUAAUGAGGAUGAAUUGAGGAAAUAAAGAUUGAUACAAAAUAAGUACAUCGAUCUUACCAUUAAUACUUCCGCCAAGAUGAGCUCCUUCAAAUCAGAAUAGCAGAUUAGAAAUAUGCAGAGUAGAAAAUUGUGGAAUUUCUAUUAUUUGAUGAAUCAUAAUGAAGUAUGGAGUUUGUUGAUAGGUUUUAUGAGAUAACUAUCUAAGAUAAUAUAUCAAAUUUACAUAACCAAAUUUGUAACCAGCUGCCAUCAUUUCCAAGAUACUGGACAGGCAGUUGUCAAGAGGCUAGUGUAGCAGAGCUAGGAUCAGGUCGGGGGAGGGGGGUGUUUCCAAAUUUGGUUACAAAUUCCCCCCACAGUUAACCAUUCCGUUUUAUUUACGUGGAACAGGGGCUCCAAUAACCACGGCCUUUGUUUGAGGUCCUUAGGCUGGACCAAGCUCUUAGAUAUAUGUAUUAUUAUAAAAGAUGGAAAAUCAAGGAAAAAAUAUCGUCUAACCUACACGGAUGUGACUGAAGAGAGAGAGAGAAAGAGAGAGAGAGAGAGAGAGGGCAGCGGCCAAUACGUGCCUUGCCGUGUGGGUGGCCACCAAAGCUCUCUCCUGGGCUCUGAUGCACGAAUCCAACGGAUGGGCUUCAAAAUGAGGCCCGUUCUUCAUGGUUAAUUGGUGUGACAAACUUAAUGUGUCUGUGAAAUAUAAAAUGAUCGGCGACCUUUCCCUUUUUUCAUUGUAUAUUUUUUAUUUUUAUAUUUGUUCUAAGUUAUUAUUCUUAUUUGUUAUUAUUUUUAUUUCAGUUAUGCCUAUGCCAUGCCGUAGUGAAAAUUUUAACAUCACAAUGUCCCUAAUUGUGAUGGGAUGUAGCGAGCAAUGUGCAUACUAAAUAAUACGGGAACGAUUUUUGGGUUAGGGGGGCCAAUUUAUGUCAUAAAUUAGAUCCCUAAUAUUGAUAAAAAUGAAAUAGAGACCCAUAUAUGAAAAUUUCGGUGUCAACAAUACACUUUUCACUUAUUUUUGAGUCAUACUUGUAGAAAUUCAACCUACACAUCUAAUCAAAAAUUUAUGAAAAGCUCAAUAAUCAUUAAUUUUGUAGUUGCUUAGUCUGUUACAAACUGUGUUUGUCUUGUAUAAUUGAUAAUGAACAAUUCCAACUUGAGUCAUUACUCUCUUGUAGAUACGAACUUUCACAUGGACAAGCCGCAAGCGAUCUUGAGGGUGAUGAAAAAAUGGGUUUGGGAGGAAUUUGCAAGGCCUCAACACUUCCUUUUAGCAUCUCCACAACUUGGGUCAUACAUGGUCAAGCUCUUGGAUCGAUUUGAAUGCACCAUAGGCCUAUUAUAAUCAUCUUCUUCAUGAUUGCUUCAUCCUCCUCAUUUGUGAUCCCAAGCAGUCCAAGCUCUUGUUGAAGCUCUAGGCAUCAGUAGACCCAAUGAGGGAAGUAUGCCUCACUGGUUCGAUCUAUUGUGACUUCAAUAUUUUUUCUCUUACCGACCAUCUCUAGAACCAUCAUACCAUAGCUAUAGACAUCCGAUUUGUGAGAAACCACUCCAAUGUUCCUUAUGAUCAACUCUAGAGCAAUGUAUCCUACAAUGCCCCUAGCACAAAGCAAUGACACGAUGCUCUCUUCUCUUGGGCAUAUUUUGGCAAGACCAAAGUCAGAAAUCUUGGGACAAUAGUUUGUGUCAAGGAGAAUGUUAUGAGGCUUUAUAUCAAAGUACAAGAUCCUUGUUUUGCAUCAUCUAUGCAAGUACUCUAGCCCAUGAGCUAUGCCGAGCAAAAUCUAGUACAAUGUGUCCCAACUCAAUUGUUGAUCUAGCUCCAAAGUGGAAGAGAGAGUCUUGAAUUAAUUACCUAUUCCAACUUUAAGACCAAUCUUUUUGUUUCCUGGGACUGUCGUCAUCAAAAGUGAAAAAUGUGUCAACGAAUUGCAAACGGAUGAUUUCAAAGUGUCUAAGAUAUAUAAAGAUCAGGGUACAUCAUGAGGUUAUAGCACAUUCCAUUUCAAGAAAGAAAAUCCAUAGCCAUUAGGGCUAGGGAAAUUGGCAUUUAUGUAAACAGGUAUGCUAACUGCAGAGUAGCAGGAGCUGAUGGCAGAAUAGUAAUUCAUUUCCUGCAAUUGCUUCCAUGGAAAAACUAGGAAGAACAGAAGCCAUGGCUAUUCUAUCAGAUCGCUCUCGGUUCAUGUAUCGUUUUAGGCAGAAAUCCAAACAAAGCUUUUCGGGCAAUGUAGUGGAUGGUACGAACAAGACAUUCAACACACUACAGAAGUCGAUGUUGAACCGUUUCGUGGUCACGUACCUACCCAAAAAGAGAGGCUAAGCUCUCAUGCUCAAUUCAGAAGAGAAAACAAAGACGAAAGUGUGCCAACUGCUAUGUCUCAUCCACAUAAUAUUGCCAUCUCAGUAAAGAUGCCCGGUAUGGAAGAAUAUGAUAACAAACAAAGGAAAAAUACCAUAAUGUGGCUGUCCUCUUUACCUCACUCAUGCACAUUACCUCACUACUGUACAUAUCGGCAAUCUUCAGAAGAUCUCGUCUCCUGCAAUGGCAACCUAACCACUGGCAUUGGGUGUCGAAUCAUUGCUAACCCAUUUCGCUGCAACUGAAACCGGUGAAAAUGUUAAUGGAUUGUUCUUCAACAGAACAGCAUCAUCUGAUAUAUUAUUCGUUUGGUCUGACUUCUCCAUGUUGUCUCCACGGUUUUGUAUUUCCUUUAGUGUAUCCAAUACCUCUUCCAUGGAUGGCCUCAUGUCGUGGCCUUCUUCCAAGCACUGGAACCCCAACUCUGCCACCGCAGUAAUCAUUUCUCUAGUCCUAUUGUCUGUAUCAAACCCAAGAUUUUGAUCUACAAGCUCGUGCAACGCGUGGCUUUGGAUCUUGUUAAUGGCCAGGGCGGAUAGAUUUAUCUCAUGGCGAUGCCUCAUGAUAUCAACGGCUGGCAAGGAAGAUAUGAGCUCCAUUAAGACUACUCCAAAGCUAUAUACAUCGCUCUUCUCAGUCAAUUGGUAGCAUUGAAGGUAUUCUGGAUCAAUAAAACCUGGUGUUCCUUGCGGAGCAGUUGAAACAUGAGUGACAUUAACUGGGAAGAGGCGCGACAAAUGGAAAUCCGCAACCUUGACUCUAAAAUUCUCGUCCAGUAGGAUGUGGCUGGUCUUCACAUCUCGGUGGAUAACAUCAGAUGCGUGGAGAUACACCAAUGCGUUUGCGGUUUCUAUGGCUAUGUUCAAACGGGUGGACCAUGGGGGUGAGCUGGGUUUAGCUAAAUCGCCAUGAAUAUGAUCAGCCACUGUGCCGUUUGGCACAUAUUCAUACACAAGCAGGAGUCUACGGCUCUGCCGGGAGGUGCAGCCAUACAGUGAGACUAGAUUUGGGUGGCGUAAGCAAGCAAGUAUUUCGACUUCAUUCAUGAACUGCUCAACUCUUUUGUAGUUGCUUUCAUACAAUCUCUUGACUGCAACUACACGUCCAUCUUGAAGUUUGCCUGCAAAACUUGUUAAGGUUAUGGCAAAAUCAUUGAUGACGGGUUCACUAACUAUGGACAGUUUUAGUGUUGCUCUUACCUUUGAAAACGGUGCCAAAGCCUCCAUCACCAAGUUCUGCUGCUGGAUCGAAAUUGUUGGUAGCAUUCUUAAGUUCGUUGUAGUCAAAGAUGGGCAGUCCAUGGUAGACACUGCCCUUCUCAAAAUCUGUCCUGGAGGAGUAAAUUGAGGAGGUGCUUCUCGAGGCAAAGGAUGACUGCUUAUAUUUUUUUCUUUGGCGAGAUCGAUAGAUGAAGAUAAUAAUUGCUAUGAUCGCAAUUCCGCCUGCUGUUCCACUUGCUGAAGCAAAACCUGAUUUUAGGGGAGAGAGAGCACAUCAUUAGAAAUAUUGAUUCCAUUGAGCAAUGAUGCAAGCUUACUGUAAAAAAUUCGGGACAAAUUGCAGAGGAGAAUGUAGAGAAGUGGAAGAGAGUCUUGAAAUAUUUACCUACUACUAGUUUCCGUCUUUUCUUUGAUUCUCCUGAGACAGUAGUCAUCAAAAGUCAAAAAUUUGUCAACGAAGUGCAAACAGGUCAUUUAAAGGUGUCUAGGAGAAAUAAAGAUCAGAGCAUAUCAUGAGGUUAUAGCUCAUUCAGUUUCAAGAAAGAAAAAAUGCCAUGAUCGAGUGAAAAUAUUACAAAUUCAACAGUUUGGCUCGAUCCUCCUAUUGAAUUUUUCACGGAUCAAUUAGUGGCAUGCUACCAGAAGAAAUUGGAAACACAUAAAAAUGGAUAUAUGGCCGAUUGACUAACGAGUAUGGACAUUAGCUAAAAUCCUGAAUUUCUAGAGUUAUCAGGGGAUGAACAGGAAGACAGGAAAAUAAAAUUUCUUGCUGGUAUAAAAGUAGCAAACACCCUGCAAUAUGAUCAACAAUGUGGUAUCAGAUGCGGAGAUAGAUAAAACUUUCUGUGCCACUAAUUGAAUCGGCAGUAUGUUUCUAGACAUGUCUCAAAACUUUCGGCUUCUAAGCAGAACUAUCGUUCUGCUGAUAAAAAGAAGUGGGCCGCUCAUGUUCAGGCAAGAACUUUCAAGCUUCUUGAAUCAUGAACACCCAAUUGAUAACUCGUAAUUUGUUGCAGAAAGAAACACGAACAUUUCCAUUACUCUUUCUUUCAAUUCCUCCAGGUUUGCGAACAUCAAAAUCUACGAGGUUCCAAUAAGUUAUCUUGGAACCCAAGAGAUCAGAGAGUUUCAUUUGCAGCAGUAAGCAAGUCUAGAAUCUAAGCUAAGGCGAAGAAAUUGAAGAAGUUAAAGCACAUUAUCCACAGCACGUAGAAACGAAAGAUCAAGCAGAACAGUAGACCCGAUGUUGGUGUUUGUGCGGAAGCGUGUGUUUGAUGUGUGUGCAAGGUGUGUUAAUGUGUGUGUGCAAGGUGGUGUUAGAAGAGAAUACAAGGGAACAAAAAAGGAACUUUUAUUUAUUGUUUAUUGUAGUACAAAGGGAAGGGGAGGAGCUUGCUUACAUUUCUUCUUCUACUAUGCUCUCCCCUCUUUCUUAUUUAUAAGGUGCUCUACCAACAUUCUAGAUUUGUGUAGAAUGUUGUCCACUUAGACUUAAUCCAGAGAGUUCUAGAUUGUAAUUUAUCAUCUCUUCUUCUAGAGAGUUCUACACAUAUGCUUCUACAUUUUUCUUUGCCACCUAAGCUAGAUUUUCUUAAGGAUUUUUCUUGACUUUUCUAGCUCAAAUCUUUAAUGAAGUUUCUAGAAUUUGGAUCAAUAGUUCAACACCCGAAAACUCAGUCAAGAAAAAAAAUAAAACCGAAUCAACCAUGCAUUUACCAUCAUUGCAGGAUUGAGAAUAAGGACCAUCUUGGCAAAAGCAAACGAAAUUAUUGUUCUCGAAUCCACACCGUCCCUCACUUUCCUCACAGUCGUUGCAAUCAAUUGCGGUCCAGUUCAAAAGGAACCCCAUCUCCAUAAUCUUACGGUAAUCCAUAGUCGCCAAGCUAGUGGUAUUUGCAUUAACAUGAACAGGUACACUAACUGGAGAACUGCAGGAGCCGACGGCAGAAUACACAGCCGUUUCUUGCAAUGCUUCCUUGGGGAAAAGAGCAAAAGAAUAGUUGUAGUUGCUAGGACAGCUCACUGGAUAUGCAAAAUUUGGCGGCGGCAGUGAGGUGCAAUUAUUGUAGAAGAAGAAAUCGGCAUUAGUGGAACUCAGAUUGAAAGGCGUCCUUUCAAAGCUGAUAUUAUGUGGCGGAGCACCGCAGUUGUCAUUGUACACAAGGGCAUCAACCAGGAGGAUAGAAUGGUUUGCAUGAAAGAUUUCCUUGAUGAUGAACUCACCCUCCGGGAAAUUCAGGACAGGGUAUUUCUCUACACAGGUAAUCUCAAAAUUCGGAUAGCCACAAUAGGACUCUUGCUCCCCUGAAAUCCAAAAGGGGUAGCUGAUGUUGGGGCCAUAUCCAUAGUUCCAAGGUGCACAGGUCUCGUACUUCACAUCAUCCGCUACAGCCUGAUAGACUAAGCUGGCCAGGACAACGACAAGGACCAAGCGGUGACAACAAGCUCCGCAGAUGAAGCUUUGGAGAUUCAUUUGGGACUGGAAGGAGGCAGAGAGGAUUGCAGAAACAGGCAGGAGAGGGUGUGGAAAGCAAUUUGCAGAAAAGUCAAAAUGGGGUUGGUUUGAACUGGUCCUAGAACUCCAGCCGCUGUCGUUGUGCUGGUUCAUCGACUUAGAAGAGAGGAAUACCGAACGGAGACGGAAAGUGGCUCCGGAGCGCGCAUUAGUCAAACGCCUCAUGGCUUACGCGGAGGAAUUUUUCGCCCCUUGGAAAAAAAAAAAAAGGCUUAAGAGGAACAAACCAGGAAACUUCCUAGUCAAAGGGGCCUUAGGUUGGAGGACACACCAACAUUUUUUUCGAAAUGUUGACUUUGAUGAUCUUGCCUAAUCAUUAGGAACAUAUCCUAACUAGGCAAUGAAACUUAAUUAUUGGUUCUUGAUCUUUUUUAUCUUUUAUUUUUUAAUUUUCCAAUACCAAACUUUAGUGUUAAUGAAAAAUUAAUCACAUUUCCCUGGAUUCUUAUCUGACGUCGAAGUUCCUACAACCCUAAGUGUAGCUUACGACCCAACGGAGUCUUGGAAUUAGUCAACGUACGUUGACUUCGAUGAUCCUAUAGUCUAAAUUAUGGGCCCAAAGCCACAUUGAUGGGCCCAUUUUUGGGCUCCCUUUCAUGGGCCUGAAUUAAGAGUCAAAUGGGGGCCGAAAGGAAGUCCAAUCUAAAUUGCCUUACUCAGGAGCUCCUCCUCCGUUGACCAUUGACAAUUCAACAUUGUGACGUGUUUGGCUCGCAACGGACCUUCGUGACUAGUCAGCGAAAACGACUCUCUCUCUCUCUCUCUCUCUCUCUCUCUUUCUUUCUGUCUGUCUCUCUCCCUCUCUCGUGAAGAAUUGCUGGCCAAGCAGUAGCUAGGUUGAAAUUUCCUCUUGCUUUGUGCCACCAAAGAGAAAAACGAGAGAAAAGUCUUAAUUCUUGUCCCGAGAUAUUCUUAGGGGUGCAUGAUAACCAAAAUUUAUGUUCCAGAAAUAAUUUUUCUAUUCCAGACCUGUUUUUGGAAUAUAAACCUAUUUGAUAAACCUACUCAGUUUUUUUAUUUCUGAAAUAGAUUUCUAUUCCAGAAAUUGAUUUGGAAGAGAAAUCAGAAAUAAUUUCUCCCACUAAACCCUAAUUUCGGUGAGUCCUCCCUCAUCUCCUCUAUGUCUACCUCCUCCUCCUCCUUUGCCUCUCCUCAUUUUAUUAAAAAUAAAAAUAAAUAAAAGUAAAUAUAUUCAUUUUAUUCAUUUAAAAAUAAAUAUAAAUUUAUUCAAAUAAAUUUAUUAAAAAUAAAUAAAUUAUUUUUAUUUAUCAUUUUAUUUUUAGUUUAUUAAAAAUAAUAAAUUAUUUUUAUUUAUCAUUUUAUUUUUAGUUUAUUAAAAAUAAUAAAUUAUUUUUACUAAAAAUAUUUUUAUUUGCCUUGAGUGUUUUGCCAAAUAAAUUUAUUUUUAUUUUUAAUUUUUAUUCAUUUUAAAAUAAAUUUAUUCGUAAAAUAAAAUAAAAUAAAUAAAAUAAAAUAAAUUUAUUUUUAAGGAUAUUUUUAUUUUAAAAUAAAAUAAUAUUUUUAUUUUAUUUUUUAUGAUUUAUUUUAUUCUUUAUUUUUUUGUAACUAAAUCAUUUUUAUUUUUAUUUUUUAUAUUAAAGGUCGUCAGUCGUCGCCACGGCCAUUCAAAAGAAAUAAAUUUUAUGUCGUUAUCAAACGGUUAUUUUUGCUUAGAAACUCUUUUAGAAAUAGAAAUAGAAAAAUCUAUUUCUGUUCCAGAAACUAUUUCUAGAAUAGAAUGAUUGUCAUGCGCGCCCUUAGAUGAAGGAAGACAAAAUAAAGAGCAGUGCCAUCGAAUUUUCAACAAAAGAAACAAGCGGAUCACAUUCGGUGAAAUUGGAUUUUUCUCUGGACAAAUUCUUGGGGUUCAUUGGCCAUAUGAUCUCUGUGGAACUAAUUGAAACUAACUCCGCAGAAGCUCAGGGUUUGGAGAUUUCGUGCAUAUUCCAAAUGGUCGAUAAUAGAAUCCCAUGCGCAAGUAUGAACAAGAACCCACCAAAUGACGUAGAGAAUGAUCACCUGGGAGUGCUACCAAAAGAACGUACCAGGGUCAUUGCAGGUACGAGGGUGGGGUUUGUCUCGGCGAUAACAUGUGAAACUAGAUGAUGAAGAAGAGGCGUUGCUACCGCAAAAUCCGUCAGAAGAAGCACAAGUUGGGCACUCAGGGUGGUCACUAUACUGAACAUCGAACCCUUGAUUCAAAGCUUCCUGCAAGCUGAUAUUGCGUCUUCCAACAUCAUCGAGUGCACUCCAAAGAACAGGAACCUUGAUGCUCGUGACACAGUUGGUGAUGAAACUACAGAGCCCUCUGUCCAAGAAGAUGUCAUCUAUGAAGAAAGCCAACUUCCUAACGACAUUGUAGAAGCACUCAAACUCGUUGCUUAUGUUCUUCAUUGUGUCCAAACAUCCAUAGAAGAUGUUGAGGCUCUUAACGACUGGGGUCAUAUGGAAGAGAGUGGAAUCCAUUAUGCUAGUAUUCCUAAACUCGUGCAAACACGUACCCUCCAUCAGAUCUAUCCUAGUGAUUGUCAUCGUACGAAGAUGUUGAUCAAUCUUGAGGACUCGAUACUUCUGCUCUUGGUACUCAAAUAUAGGGAAUUCGUCCUCAUAGCACUCGACCCUGAAUGGUGGAAGUCCACAGAAUUGGGGUCGGCUGCUUCCCCAGAAAGGAUAAGUAAUAUUUGAGAUGGUUCCGCAAUUAAAAGAGCGGCGGCAUUCAGUAUAGUAGACAUCAUCGUCUCCCUCACAUAAAAGAACUUGUGGGACGAUAAGGAUGAUGAGGAUGAAGACGAGCACGGAGCUUGUAGGGGAGGAGAGGAGGAGAGUAGCUGUGUCACCCAUUUGAGUAAGUUCAUGCUCUCACGGGUGGAGAAUAAAUUGUGGAACGAGGCUUUAGAGUUCAGAGGGGCAAGCUGAGGAUGUAGAAAUUCUUUUAGUAUUCACUUUCUCCGGACUCAAGCGUGAAAGAGAUGGAUGUCGCUAAUUCUUCUUCAGUAUGAUAUAGAAAUCUAUUUUGACCGUCGACUUUGACCGAGACCAGUUUUAGUCUUCUGAAAUUUCGUGGGGGGAAAUCAAAGGGUUGCUAUCAAGCAUUGAAACUGGGUCUGGGGGUGGAAGUGAUGAGGAAGACAGAGGAAACAUGCAAAGCAAUUUCCUCCCGAGUUCUUCCUGUGAAGUUGAAAUUGAUAAGUGAAACCCUUUUUUCAAGGUUCCCACUGUGGAAAAAGCCUAGCCCAUUUGAAGGGUCAAGAGUUGACGCUGUGGAAACUAAAGAACAAGUCAAAUUUAAAUUUUAGGUUGAUUGACUUAUGCUAACGUGUUCCGAUUUAAAUUACUGGUCCAUUAUGUGAAAUUUUAAGGUAAACUCGGAGCAUCAUCGCUCGUCAUAUUUGAACCGUUGGAUCUUGCAGGUUUGCAGAUACAGACAUAAUGAUCCAACAGUUAAGGCAAGGAAGGUUGCAGAGGAAAAUGAGAUUGUGAACCUUUAGGGGCAGGGGUGGGUCGUUUUCCAAUUGGGUAUGCCCAGCAAUACUUCUCAUUGAACAACUAUAGCUAUUUGAAAACCACAUAUUGGGUGAGAGUAAGCAUACAUACCCGAAGGGAUAAUUCUCGGUGCUGGCGGUUUCGAAGGGACAUUUGCUGGUAUUGGCGAUCCGGGGCAGGUCGUCAGAUAGGGACCAUCAGGGCAAAAACAAUUGAAAUUUUCCCCUGUCCAGCCAUACCCACAUCUUCCCCCAGAUUUAUUGCAACUUUCGCACUGCGAAGAAGUGUUGAGAAUCCAGGUGAUCUCAAAGCCUUUGUUGAGGAUCUCACUAAUCGUAGCACUCUCGUUGCCAUCCAGCCAAGGUGGUGGAAAACCUAGGGUUUCACUUUUUGAAAUCGGGACAUGAACAAUGGAACUGCAUGGGUCAGGCAGUGGCUUUGGAAGGUCGACCCCGAGAAAAAAGUAGCCAUCUUGAGACUCGGGACAAGAGAACCGAUAAGGUGGAGAGGUUGGCCACGGAGGGUUCGGCCAUGAGUAGCAAUCAAAGAAUAAGGUGGAAUUGACGUCAUUGGAAGUGUAGUUGAAGAGAUUCAAAUCUAAAGUGGUUUCAUUAUAUGUUUCAAGACAUAUAUCUUCUGAUAAAUCCAACCUCACCACCACCAGGAUCUGUGUGCUGGUAUUCAUGUGGAUCACUCGAUAUUUCAGGGACUCCAUGGACAGGGUCAGGCUAUCUCCGUCGCAGUCAAGCUCGUAGUCUGGAUGCCCACAGUAUGUCGGUUGCUUAUCAAGCCUGAAAGGAUAGCUGACUUCUUGACCUCCGCAAUUAGAAGGAGCGCACUCUUGGAACAGUGGGAACGCGCUGGCAGCUGGCGCCAGGAAGUGAAUUUGGAUGGAGAUGAGGAAGAAGAGCAAGGAGAAAGAGGAACAUGUCAUGGUAAGAUCCAUUUGAAGGGAGCUGGAGUUGAAGCAAAACAAGGAGGAGGGUAUAUAUAAAGGAAGAGGAUGCAGAGGGAUAAAUAAUAAUGCUGGUUUUGGAAUGGAGGACUUGACCCGAUGCACUAACGAGAACCUCUCGCCUUGGCCUCACGGAAGACCAAGACUUUGGCGCGGUGAGACAGAACUUAGAGGAAAAGAAGAACAAGGCACGUGGAAACAAAGCCAAGUAGCUUGAGCUGCCAGCUAAUUGUAAACUUGACUUGGGACGACUUGGACUAAUAUUCCCCAUUUUACAAUUCCUACAGGCAGCCCCUGACUAAUCAACGAGCUUUGCCAAUCUCCUUUACAGUUCACUUUGAGGAAACUUCAAUAAGGACCUCACGAACGUCGUUUGCAGCGUCUAGGCAGAAGCAUGGCCAUUACCUAGACUAGAGAACAGAAGGGAUUGGAGCCUCAGAACUGAGGCGGCUAAACUUCCUCUGGACGAGUUUAUCUUUACUUUGCCUAGUUAUCUUUUUUGAACCAAUUUGACAGGUGAUAUUGACAUAUCAUCAGCCCAAACUGCAACUUGGGUAAAAUCACUGGCUCAAAAAGGGCCACGACUCCUCAGCCAAGCCAAAUCGAGCCCAUCUCUUGUGAUUUACGAUGAUGAUGAUCCACAUUGGAUCUUUAGCUAGGAAGCAAUAGCUUGCCAUCUUUUUCAUGACAGAAAUUGCUCUGGCCUCAAGUACUGAAGAUAAGACUUGAGCAGCGGCAGUCAGUGUAGUGGACACCGUCGUCUCCCUUGCAUAAAAUAACUUGCGAAACGAUGAGGAUGACGAGAACGAUGACGAGGAUGGAGUGUGAAGGGAAGGAGAGAAGGAUAAUGACUGCAUCACCCAUUUGAGUAAGUUCAUGCUCUCAUGGAUGGAGAAUAUCAUGUGGAAUGAGGGUUUGGUAUUCAGGGGGGCAAGCUGAGGGUGGAGAAAUUCUUUUUUUAUUUACUUACUUUCUCCGGACUGAAGUGUGAAAGAGAUGGACAUCGUUAAUUCUUCCUCAAUAUAAUAUAGAAAACUAUUAUGACUGUUGACUUUGACCGAGACCAGUUUCAGUCUUCUGAAAUUUCUUGGAGGAAGGAAAUCAAAGGGAUGGCUAUCGAGCGUUGAAACUGGGUGUGAGGGUGGAAGUGAUGAGGAAGACACAGGAAACAUGCGAAGCAAUUUCCUCAGGAGUUCAUCCUAUGUAGUUGAAAUUCUAAAGUGAAACCUUUUUUAAGGUUCUCACUGUGGAAAAAUUCUAGCCCAUUUGAGGGGUCAAGAGUUCGUGUUGCGGAAAGUAAAGAACAAAUCAAACCUAAAAUUUAGGUUAAUUGACUUAUUGGUUAAACGCUUUCCAAUUUAAAUUAUUGGUCCAUCACGUGAAAUUUUACGGUAAACUUGGAGCUUCUUCGCUUAUUGUAUUUAAACCAUUUGAGCGAGUUCAUGCUCUCAUGGAUGGAGAAUAUCAUGUGGAAUGAGGGUUUGUUUAGACUUUAGAGUUCAGAGAGGCAUGCUGAGGAUGGAGAAAUUCUUUUUUAUUCUCUUUUUUCCGGACUAAAGUGUGAAAAAGAUGGAUGUGGUUAAUUCUUCCCCAGUAUAAUGUAUGAAACUUUUUUGAGCGACGACUUUGACCGAGACCAGUUUCGGUCUCCUGAUAUUUCAUGGAGGAGGGAAAUGGAAAAAGAUGGCGUGGUUAAUUCUUCCCCAGUAUAAUGUAGGAAACUUUUUUGAGCAACGACUUUGACAGAGACCAGUUUCGGUCUCCUGAUAUUUCAUGGAGGAGGGAAAUGGAAAAAGAUGGCUAUCAAACGUUAAAACUGGGUCUGGGGGAGGAGGCGAUGGGGGAGGAUGUGGUUAGGAAACAUGCGAAGCAAUUUCCUCUGGAUUUCUUCCCAUGUUGUUGAAAUCGAAAGGUGAGAAGCUUUUUCUAGGUUCUCACCGUGAAAAAGUCUAGCCCCUUCGAGGGAUCAGGAGUUGGCGUCAGGAGAAGUAAAGAACAAGUAAAACCCAAAAUUUUCGUUACUUGACUUAUAGGCUAACGCAUUCCGAUUUGAAGUACUUGUCCAUGAUGUGAAACUUUACAGUAAGCUCGGAGCAUCUUCGCUUGUCGUAUUUAAACCAUUGGAUCUUGUGGGUUUGCAGAUACAGACCUAAUGAUCCAACAGUUAAAGCAAGGAAGGUCGUUGAGAAUGGGGUGAUAAAGUUUUGGGACUUGAGAGUCUAAAUUGUAUCGUGACCAGAAAAAUGAGAUUGUCAGGAUUCAGGGGCGUGAGCGGUCGUUUUCCAAUUAACAAGCAAAGGGAUGGGUAUGCCCAGCAAUCCAUCUAAUUGAACAGCUUUAGCUAAUUGAAAACCACAUACUAGGUGAGAGUAAGCAUACAUACUCGAAGGGAAGCUUCCCGGAACUCGCUUUCCGUGGCAGGUCGGUGAAUGGGCUCCAUCAGGGCAGAAACAAUUGAAUUGAUGCCUUAUCCAGUCAUAACCGCAUCUUCCCCCUGAUUUGUUGCAAUUUUCGCACUGCGAUGUGUCAGCAAUCCAGGUAAUCUCAAAGCCUUUCUUCAGGAACUCACUAAUAGUAGCACUAUCAUUGCUGUCCUUCGGUGGCGGUGGUAGACCGAGAGCUUCAAUAUGUGAAAAUGGGACAGGGACACUGAUUUUGCAUAGCUCGUGUAGCGGGUUUUCAAUGGUCGCAUUGGGAGCAAAGUAGCCAUCUCCAGACCAGGGACAAUAGAACCGAUAAUAAGGUUGAAGGGACGUUGAUGAAUCGCAAUCGUAGAAUAACGUGGAAUUAGAGUAAGUGGAAGCGUAAUUGAAAAGACUGCAGUUUAAAGUGGUGUUGACAUGUGUUUCAGGACAUAUAUCGUCCCAUAAAUCCGUCCUCGCCACCUCAAGGAUAUGCGUGCUCCAAUCUAUGUGGAUCACCCAAUAUUUCAGGGACUCCAUGGAAAGGGUCAGGUUAUCUCCAUCACAGCCGAGCUCAUAACCUGGAAACCCACAAUGAUUUGGUCGUUCAUUAUGCUUGAAAGGAUAGCUGAUUUCUUGAUCUCCACAAGGAUAGGGAACACAUUCUUGGAACGGCUUGAAGUAGCCAGAAGCAGGCACCAGGAAGUGAAUUUGGAGGGAGAUGAUGAAGAAGAGCAAGGAGAGAGAGAAACACGAAAUGGUAAGAUCCAUUUGGAGGGAGAUGGUGUUGGAGCAAAACAAGAAGGGUACAUACAUAAAGGAAGAGGAUGCAGAGGGAUAAAGAAUGAUGUUGCUUUUGGAACGACUUGACCCCAGUGCACCAACGAGAGUCACAUGAUUUGGCCUCCCGAAGACCAAGACUUUGGCGCGGGGAGACAAAAGCUGAGAGGAAAAGAAGGAGAACAAGGCACGUGGAAACAAAGCCAAGCACCUUGAGCUGCCGGUCAAUUGUAAACUUGACUUGGGACGACUUGGACUAAUAUUCCCCAUUUUACAAUUCCUACUCGCAGCCCUCGACUAAUCAACGAGCUUUGCCAAUCUCCUUGACAGUUCACUUUGAGGAAACUUCAAUAAGGACCUCACGAACGUCGUUCGCAGCGUUCUAGACAGAAGUAUGGCCAUCACCUAGACUAGAGAAUAGAAGGGAUUGGAGCCUCAGAACUGAGGCGGCUAAACUUCAUCUGGACGAGUUUCACUUUACUUUGCCUAGUUAUCUUUUUUGAACUGAUUUGACAGGUGAUAUUGACAUAUCAUCAGCCCAAACUGCAACUUCGGUAAAAUCACUGGAUCAAAAAGGGCCACGACUCCUCAGCCAAGCCAGAUUGGGCCCAUCUCUCGUGAUUUACGAUGAUGAUGAUGAUCCACAUUGGAUCUUUAGUUAGCAAGCAAUAGCUUGCCAUCUUUUUCAUGACAGAAAUUGCUUAGGCCUCAAGUACUGAAGAUAAGACUUGAGUGGCGGCAGUCCGUAUAGUGGACACCGUCAUCUCCCUUGCAUAAAAGAACUUGCGAAACGAUCAGGAUGAUGAGAACGAUGACGAGGAUGGAGUGUGAAGGGAAGGAGAGAAGGAUAGUGACUGCAUCACCCAUUUGAGUAAGUUCAUGCUCCCAUGGAUGGAGAAUAUCAUGUGGAAUGAGGGUUUGGAAUUCAGGGGGGCAAGCUGACGAUGGAGAAAUUCUUUUUUUAUCUACUUACUUUCUCCGGACUGAAGUGUGAAAGAGAUGAAUGUGGUUCAUUCCUCGGUGAAAUAGAGGAAGCUACUCUGAGUGUGGACUUUGACUGGCAUCAGUUUCAAUCUGAUGAUAUUUCGUGAAGGAGGGAAAUAAAAAGAAAGAAUGGCUAUCGGACGUUGAAAUUGGGUGUGGGGGUGGAAGUGACGAGGAAGACAGUGGCCAGGAAACAAGCGAAGCAAUUUCCCCCGGAGUUCUUCCUAUGUAGUCGAAAUUGAGAAGUGAAACCUUUUUUCAAGGUUCUCACCGUGGAAAAAGUCUAGCCCAUUUGAGGGGUCAAGAGUUCAUGCUGUGGAAAGUAAAGAACAAGUCAAACCUAAAUUUUAGGUUGAUUGACUUGUCAACUAACUCGUUCUGAUUUAAAUUACUUGUCUAUGAUGUGAGAUUUUACAGUAAACUUGAAGCGUCUUCGCUUGUCGCAUUUAAAACAUUGGCUCUCGUGGGUUUGCAGAUCCCGAGCUAAUGAUCCAACAGUUAAGGCGAGGAAGGUUUUUGAGUAUAGGGUGUUAAAGUUUUAGGACUUAAAAAGUCUAAAGUGUAACACAAUCAUGCAUGUCACAGCAAGGAUGACUGCACUUCAUUUGAGGGAAGAAUAUGCCCAGCAAUUCUUCUCAUUGAACAACUUUUAGCUAAUUGAAAAACCACAUGUUAGAUGAGAGUAAGCAUACAUACUUGAAGGGACGAUUGCCGGUACUGGCGGUAUUGAAGGGACGCUCGCCGGUAUUGGCGUUUUGUGACAAGUUGCCGGAUAGGGUGCAUCACGGCAAAAACAAUUGAAUUCUUGCCUUGUCCAGUAAUACCCGCAUAUUCCCCCUGAUAUAGCACAAUCUUCGCACAGCGAUGUGUUGGCAAUCCAGGUGAUCUCAAAGCCUUUAUUGAGAAUGUCGCUAAUAUUAUCACCAAAGUCGAUGCCUGCCGAAGGUGGUGGUAAACCUAUAGGUUCACUUUUUGAAAUCGGGACAUGAACAAUGGGACUGCAUCGCUUGGGCAGUAGGUUUGAUAGGUUUACACUGAGAACAAAGUAGCCAAAUUGAGACUCGGGACAAGAGAACCCAUAAUAAGAUGGAAGGGUUGGCCACAAGUGGCAAUUGUAAAUUAAGGUGGAAUUGAGGUUAUUGGAAGUGUAGUUGAAGAGAUUCAAGUCUAAAGUGGUUUCGUUAUAUGUUUCAAGACAUAUACUGUCUGAUAAAUCUGACCUCGCCACCACAAGGAUCUGCGCGCUCCCAUUCAUGUGGAUCACUUGAUAUUUUUGAGACGCCAUGGACAGAAUCGGGCUAAAUCCGUCACAGUCAAGCUCAUAGCCUGGAUACCCACAGUAUUCUGGUUGCCUUAUAAGCCUGAAAGGAUAGCUGAUUCGUAUAUAUCCACAAAGAAAAGGAGCGCAUUCUUGGAAUGGCCGGAAGUAGCCGGAAGCUCGCACGAGGAAGUGAAUUUGGAGGGUGAUGAAGAAGAGCAAGGAGAGAGAGGAACGUGGCGUGGUAAGAUCCAUCCGAAGGGAGAUGGUGUGGAGCAAAACAUGGAGGGGUACAUAUAAAGGAAGAGGAUGCAAAGGAUAAAGAAUAAUGCUGCUUGAGGAACGACUUGACCCUAGGCACUAAUGAGAACCACUUGAUUUGGCCUCCCGAAAGACCAAGACUUUGGCGCAGUUAUAAAAGCUGAGAAGAAAAGAAGAAGAAGGCGCGUGGAAAAAUAGCCAAGUAGCUUGAGCUGGUGGCUAAUUGUAAACUUGACUUAAAGGAGGACUUGGAAUAGUAUUCCCCAUUUUACAAUUCGAACACGCAGCCUCGACUAAUCAACGAGCUUUGCCGAUCUCCUCCAUGGUUCACUCUGAGGACACUUCAAUAAGGACCUCAUGAACAUAAUUAGCAGCCUUCUAGAUAGACGCAGGGCCAUUGCGUAGACCAGAAAACAGAAGGGAUCGGAGCCUCAGUACUGAGGCGGCUAAACUGUUGUCUGGACGAGUUUCUCUUAACUUUACCCAGUCGUCAUUUUUUGAAUUGAUUUUACUGAGAUAUCAACAUAUCAUCAGACUAAACUGCAACUUGGGUACCAUCAGUGGAUCGCAAAGGGCUGUGACUCCUCGGUCAAGCCAAAUCGAGCCCAUCUCUCGUGAUUUACGACAAUGAUGACCCACAUCAGAUCUUUAGGUAGGAAGCAAUAGCUUGCUGUUUCAUGACCGAAAUUGCUUAGGCCCAUAAAUAGCUCAACCCUCAAAGUAUUGAAAAUGAAGACUUCUGCUCUUGGUACUCAAAGAUUGGGAAUUCAUCCUCAUAGUACUCGAGCUUGAAUCUUGGAAGUCCACAGAAUUGGAGUUGGCCGCCUCCCCAGAAAGGAUAAGUAAUAUUUGCUACGGUUCCACCAUUAAAAGAGUAUUGGCAUUCGGUAUAGUGGACGUCAUCGUCUCUGUCAAUGAGGACAACGAGGACAAAGACGAGGAUGGCGUGUGAAGGGGACUGGAUGCCUCAACCAUUUGAGUGAGUUCAUGCUCUCAUGGAUGGAGAAUAUUAUGUGGAAUGAGGGUUUAUUUAGACUAUAGAGUUGAGAGAGGCAUAAGGAGGAUGGAGAAAUUCUUUUUUAUUAACCUUUUUCUGGACUGAAGUGUGAAAAAGAUGGAUGUGGCUGAUUUUUCCCCAGUAUAAUAUAGGAAACUUUUCUGAGCGACGACUUUGACUGAGACCAGUUUCAGUCUCCUGAUAUUUCGUGGAGGAGGGAAAUGGAAAAAGAUGGCUAUCGAACGUUAAAACUAGGUCUGGGGGAGGAGGUCAUGGGGAAGAUGAGGCCCGGCAACUUGCAAAGCAAUUUCCUCCGGAUUUCUUUCCGUGUUGUUGAAAUCGAAAGGUGAAAACUUCUUUCAAGGUUCUCACUAUGAAAAAGUCUAGCCCCUUUCUGGGGUUAAGAGUUCGGGUCAUGAGAAGUAAAGAACAAGUCAAACCUAAAAUUUUCGUUACUUGACUUAUAGGCUAACGCAUUCCAAUUCAAAAUACUUGUCCAUGAUGUGAAAGUUUACAGUAAACUUGGAGCAUCUUACCUUGUCAUAUUUAGACUGUUGGAUCUUGCAGGUUCGCAGAUACUGGCCUAAUGAUCCAACAGUUAAGGCAAGGAGGAAGGUUGUUGAGAAUAGGGUUGAGAAAGUUUCAAAACUCAGAGUCUAAACUGUAACAUGAUCAUGUCGUAGCGAGGAUGAAAUGACUGGACUUCAUUAUAUUAGAGGGAAGGGCAUGCCAGCAAAAAUGUGAUUGUUAGGCUUUUAGGGGCAUGAGCGGGUCUUUGUCCGAUUAACAAGCAAACCCAGCAAUUCUUCCCAUGGAAGAAUAGCUAAUUGAGAAGGACAUAUCAGGUGGGAGGUGGGAGUAAGCAUACAUGCUCUGUCGGUCGCAAGCUAGUGAAUGGACUCCGUCAGGGCAUAAACAAUUGAAUUCUUGCCUUGUCCAGCCAUACCCACAUCUUCCCCCUAAUUUGUUGCAAUUUUUGCAUUGCAAUGUGUCAACAAUCCAAGUGAUCUUGAAACCUUCGUUUAGGACCUUACUAAGAACAGCCCUAUGGUCGCCACCCUCCGAAUGUGGUGGUAGUAGACCUAGAGCUUCUCUUGAAAUUGGGACAAGGACAUUGAAUUUGCAUUGCUUGUGUAGCAGUUCUGCAAGGUCCACAUUGGGAGCAGAGUAGUGACAACUAAACAUGGGGAUAAGUAUACUAGAAGUGCUAAAAGUUGUGUACGGUGCUCACUUUAAUGCCAAAAGUUUUUGUUGACUUACUUAAGUACUAAAUUGAAAGAAAAAAGAUCACUUUAGUACUAACGGUGAUAAAUUCCAGCUAAACUGAUUACGUAUAAUUUAUAAUUAAAAUUAUAAUAUGACUUGGCAAAAUUUUUAAAAAAUCUAGUCCAUGUGGUAUUUUUCACGUGGUAUGCUUGGCACUGAAGUGAUUUUUUUUAAUAACAUCUGUCACUAAAGUGAUCAUUUUAAAUAAAAUUUGGCACUUAAAUAAUCACUUUUAAUAAAAUUUCGCACUUCAUGAUCACGUUUAAUAAAAUUUGGCAUUUAAAUGAUCACUAUUUACAAUUUUUAGACGAUAUCGUUUGGGGGUUAUAUGCUGACUAGGCACGCCAACGAGCCACGUAGGACUGAAAAAUUAAUAAAAUUUAGUCACGUCGGAUUUCCGGUAAUCCGAACUUGAAUUGACACUUAAAUGAUUGUUUUUAAAAAAAAGUAACACCGGCGUACACAACUUUUAGCACUUCUAGUAUACUUACCUCACUAAACGCUGGACAAAAGAAUGGAUAAGGUCGAGGGAUCAACGAUGGGACACAACCAAAGAAUAAGGUGGAAUUGAGGUCACUAGAAGUGUAGUUGAAGGGAUUCUAGUCUCUAAGUGGUGUCAAAAUGGGUUUGAAGACAUAUAUCUUCUUAUAUAUUUGUCCUCAGCACCUCAAGGAUCUUCGCACUCCUGUUCACGUGGAUCACCCGACAUUUCAGGGACGCCAUGGACAGGGUUAGGCUAUCUCCAUAACAGUGGAGCUCAUAGCCUGGAUAACCACAGUAACUUGGUUGCUCUUUACACCCGAAAGGAUAGCUGAUUUGUUGCUCUCCACAAUCAAAAGGAGCGCACUCUCGGAAUGGCAAGAAUUCACUAGAAGCUGACAUCGAGAAGUGAAUAUGGAGGGAGAUGAGGGAGAGCAAGAAGAGAGAGGAGCAUGACAUGGUAAGAUCCAUCCGAAGGGAGAUGGCGUUGGAGCAAAAGGAGGAGGGUACUACAUGUAAAGGAAAGAGGAUGGAGGGGAUCAGAAUAAUGUUGCUUUUUGAAUGAAUGACUUGACCGAAUGCACUAACGAGAACCUCUCGACUUGAUGUCCCGAAAGACCAAGACUUUGGCGCGGUGAGACAAAAGCUGAGAAGAAAAGAAGGAUAACAAGGCCCGUGGAAACAAAGCCAAGUAGCUUAAGCUGCUAGCUAAUUGUAAACUUGACUUGGGACGACUUGGACUAGUAUUCCCCAUUUUACAAUUCCUAACCGCAGCCCCCGACUAAUCAACGAACUUUGCCAAUCUCCUUCACGAUUCACUUUGAGGAAACUUCAAUGAGGACCUCAAGAACGUCGUUUGCAGCGUUCUAGACAGAAGCAGGGCCAUCGCCUAGACUGGAGAACAGAAGGGAUUAGAGCCUCAAAACUGAGGCAACUAAGGUAGCGCAUGAGAACGUUUCUGUUUCUCAUGGUUUCUGUUCUUUUGUUCCCCGUAACAAAAAAAGAACAGAAUCCCGUUUGGUAAUGCUAAGUUGUUUUUCUAUUCCCGGGAAUAGAAAGUUAGACCAGGAAUAGAUUUGGAGCAGAAACGAGAAGUAAAAAAAAGUUGCUUCUUGUUCCCGGAAACAAUUUCUAGAAAUAAGCUAUUUUUUUUUUUAAUUUUUCUUUUAUUUCUCUUUCUUGCCGCAGCCAUCAUCAACCGCCCGGAGCCACCGCCCACCGUCGGCUGCUGUUGCCGCCAGUCGCCGGCUGCCGCCUCUUGCGGCCGGCGGUUGUCAGCGGUCGAUGGGCAACGGCGGCGGUCGGCGGUGACAGUCGGCAGCCGGCGGUCGUGCAGUGGCGGCGGCGAUCCGUGAACAAAAAUAAAAAAUGAAUAAAUACAAAAAAGAAAUUGUUGCGUUACCAAACGCAUUUAUAUUCUUUUUCUAUUCCAAGAGUAGAAAUUUUGUGUAGUUACCAAACGGGUUCUUUUACUCAGAAAUUAUUCCCCGGAACAGAAAUAGAAAAGAACUAUUUCUGAAAAAAAAAAAAAAAAAAAAAAAAAAAAAAAAAAAAAAAAAAAAAACUCUUCCCGAAAACAGAAGCGUUGUCAUGUGCAGCCUAAAAGUCAUCUAGAUGAUUCCUCUGAACUUUGCUUAGUUAUGUUUUUUGAACUGAUUUGACUGGUGAUAUCGACGUAUCAUCAGCCCAAACUGCAACUUGGGUAAAAUCAAUAGGUUAAAAGGGCCAUGACUCCUUGGCCAAGCCGAAUCAGGCCCAUCUCUUGUGAUUUACGAUGAUGAUGACCUAGAGUGGAACUCUAGCUUGGAAGCAAUAGCUUGCCAUCUUUUUCACAACAGAAUUUGCUCAUGCCUUAAGUUGAAAAUAAGACUUGAGCUGCAGCAGUUAGUAUGGUGGGCAUCAUCGUGUCCCUCACAUAAAAGAACCUGCAAAACGAUGAGGACGACGAGGACAAGACAAGGAAGGAGUGUGAAGGGAAGGAGAGAAGGAGAGUGGUUGCGUCACCCAUUUAAAUUCAUGCUCUCAUGGAUGGAGAAUACCAUGUGGAAUGAGGGUUUGGAGUCUAAAGGGGCAAGCUUAGGAUGGAGAAAUUCCUUUUUUAUUUACUUGAAGUGUAAAACAGAUGGAUGUGGUUAAUUCCUCAGUAAAAUAGAGGAAGCUAUUCUGAGCGUGGACUUCGACCGACAUCAGUUUCAGUCUUAUGAUAUUUUGUGGAGGGAAAUAAAAAGAAUGGCUAUCGAACAUUGAAACUGGGGGUGGGGGUAGAAGUGACGAGGAAGACAGUGGCCAGGAAACAUGCGAAGCAAUUUCCUCUGCAGUUCUUCCUACGUGGUCGAAAUUGAGAAGUGAAACCUUUUUUCAAGGUUCUCGGUGUGGAAAAAGUCUAGCCCAUUUGAGGGGUCAAGAGUUCAUGUUGUGAAAAUUAAAGAACAAGUCAAACCGAAAUUUUAGGUUGAUUGACUUAUCAGUUAACACGUUCUGAUUUAAAUUACUUGCCAUGAUGUGAGAUUUUACAGUAAACUUAAAGCAUCUUUGCUUUUCGCAUUUAAACCGUCGGAUCUCGUGGGUUUACAGAUAUGGACCUAAUGAUCCAACGAUUAAGGCGAGGAAGGUUUUUGAGAAUGGGGUGAUAAAGUUUUAGGACUUGAAGUCUAAAUUGUAACACAAUCAUGCAUGUCAUAGCGAGGAUGACUGUCCUUCAUUUGAGGGAAGCAUAUGCCCAGCAAUGCUUCUCAUUGAACAACUUAUAGCUAAGUGAAAACCACAUGUUAGAUGAGAGUAAGCAUACAUACUUGAAGGGAUGAUUGCUGGUAACGGCGGCAUUGAAGGGACGCUUGCCGGUAUUGGCGUUCUGUGGCAGGUUGCUGGAUAGGCUGCAUCAGGGCAAAAACAAUUGAAUUCUUUCCUUGUCCAGUCAUACCCGCAUAUUCCCCCUGAUAUAACACAAUCUUCACACAGCGAUGUGUUGGCAAUCCAGGUGAUCUCAAAGCCUUUAUUGAGAAUGUCGUUAAUAGUAUCACCAAAGUCGAUGCCUGCCGAAGGUGGUGGUAAACCUAUAGGUUCACUUUUUGAAAUUGGGACAUGAACAAUGGAACUGCAUCGCUUGGGCGGUAGGUUUGAUAGGUUUACACUGAGAACAAAGUAGCCAAAUUGAAACUCGGGACAAGAGAACCGAUAAUAAGAUGGAAGGGUUGGCCACGAGUUGCAAUUGUAAAUUAAGGUGGAAUUGAGGUUAUUGGAAGUGUAGUUGAAGAGAUUCAAGUCUAAAGUGGUUUCGUUAUAUGUUUCAAGACAUAUACUGUCUGAUAAAUCUGACCUCGCCACCACAAGGAUCUGCGCGCUCCCAUUCAUGUAGAUCACUUGAUAUUUCUGAGACAUCAUGGACAGAAUCGGGUUAAAUCCGUCACAGUCAAGCUCGUAGCCUGGAUACCCACAGUAUCUUGGUUGCCUUAUAUGCCUGAAAGGAUAGCUGAUUCGUAUAUUUCCACAAAAAGAAGGAGCGCAUUCUUGGAAUGGUGAGAAGUAGCCGGAAGCUCGCAUGGGGAAGUGAAUUUGGAGGGCAAUGAAGAAGAGCAAGGAGAGAGAGGAACAUGGCGUGGUAAGAUCCAUCUGAAGGGAGAUGGUGUUGGAGCAAAAUAAAGAGGGGUACAUAUGAAGGGACGUGGAGGGUGGAAAUGAAAAAAGAUGGCUAUCGAAUGUCAAAAUUGGGUCUAGCAGAGGAGGUGAUGGGGAAGAUGCGGUCCGGAAACAUGCAAAGCAAGUUUCUCCGGAUUUCUCUCCAUGUUGUUAUAAUCGAAAGGUGAAAACUUUCUUCUAGGUUUUCACUGAAAAAGUCUAGCCCUUUUAAGAGGUCGAGUUCGUGUCAUGUGAAGUAAAGAACAAGUCAAACUUAAAUUUCUCGUUACUUGACUCAUUGGCUAACGUCUGAUUUAAAAUACUUGUCCACAAUGUGAAAUUUUACGUUAAGCUCGGAGCAUCUUCACCCGCUGUAUUUAAACUGUUGGAUCUACUGGGUUCGCAUAUACCAACCUAAAGAUCCAACAGUUGAGGCAAGGAAGGUUUCUAAGAAUGAGCUGAUAAAGUUUUAGGACUUGGGAGUCUAAAUUGUAACAUGAUCAUGCCAUAGCGAGGAUGAGAUGACUGCACUUCAUUAAAUAUUCGAGGGAAGGGCGUGCACAGCAAAAUGAGAUUGUCAGGCUUUUAGGGGCAUGAGCGGGUCGUUUUCCAAAUAACAAGCAAGCCCAGCAAUCCUUCUCAUGGAAGAACAUUAGCUAAUUGAGAACCACGCAUUAGGUGAGAGUAGGCAUACAUACUUUGUUUGCCACAAGUCGUUGAAUGGACUCCGUCAGGGCAGAAACAAUUAAAUCGUAGCCUUUUCCGGUCAUAACCGCAUCUUCCCCCUGAUUUGUUGCAUUUUUCGCAUUGCGAUGUGUCAAUGAUCCAGGUGAUCUCAAAGCCUUUUCUCAGGAACUCACUAAUAGCAGCAUUAGAAGCACUAUGAUGGCUGCCCUCCGGUGGUGCUGCUAGACCCGGAGCUUCACUAUGUGAAUUUGGGACAAGGACACUGAAGUUGCAUCGCUUAUGUAGUGGUUUUGCACGAUUAGCAUAUAGGGCAAAGUAGCCAAGUCCAUACAGGGGACAAUGGAACCAAUGAUAAUGUCGAGGGGGCCACAAUAAAUUGCAAUUAUAGAAUAAGGAGGAAUUGAAGUAACGUGAAGUGUAGUUGAAGAGACUGAAGUUUAAAGAGGUGUUGACAAGUAUUCUAGGACAUACAUCGUCCCAUAAAUCUGUCCUCGCCACCUCAAGGACAUGCUCGCUCCAAUCUAUGUGGAUCACGCGAUAUUUCAGGGACUCCAUGGACAGGGUUGUGUAAUUUCCGUCACAGUCAAGCUCGUAGCCUGGAUACCCACAGUAACUUGGUCGCCUGAUAUGCCUGAAAGGAUAGCUGAUUUGUUGCUUUCCGCAAUCAAAAGGAGUGCAAUCUUGGAAUGGCUGGAAUUCGCCAGAAGCUGGCAUAGGGAACUGAAUAUGGAGGGAGAUGAAGAAGAAGAGCAAGGAGAGAGAGGAACACGACAUGGUAAGAUCCAUCCGGAGGGAGAUGGUGUUGGAGCAAACAAGGAGGGUACAUAUAUAAAGGAAGAGGAUGCAGAGGGAUAAAGAAUGAUGUUGCUUUUGGAACGACUUGACCCCAAUGCACCAACGAGAAUCACUUGAUUUGGCCUCCCGAAGACCAAGACUUUGGGGCGGGGAGACAAAAGCUGAGAAGAAAAGCAGAACAAAGCACGUGGAAACAAAGCCAAGUAGCUUGCGCUGCUGGCUAAUUGUGAACUUGACUUGAGGAGGACUUGGAAUAGUAUUCCCCAUUUCCCAAUUCCUACGCGCAGGCGUAGCCCCAAUUAAUCAACAAGCUUUGCCAAUCUCGUAGACAAUUCAAUCGAGGACAAUUCAAUAAGGAUCUCAAGAACAUAGUUAGCAACGUUCUAGACGGAUGCAGGGCCAUCGUCUGGACUAGAAAAUAGAAGGGGAUUAGAGCCUCGGAACUAAGGCGGUUAAAUUGUCAUCUGGACUAGUUUCUCUUAAGCUUUGCCAUCUUUUUUGAAUUGAUUUGACUGAUGAUAUCGACGCAUCAUCAGCCCAAAGAAGCAGACCAGGUUAAUAUCAGUGGAUCCCAAAGGCCCAAGAUUCCUCGGCCGAGCUGAAUCGGGCCCAUCUUUUGUGAGUUACAAUGAUGAUGAUCCACAUUGGAUCUUUAGCUAGGAAGCAAUAAGCUUGCCAUCUUUUUCACGACAGAAUUUGCUCAGUUCCAUAAAUCGCUUAGGCUUUAAGUAUUGAAAAUAAGAUUUCUGCUCUGGGUACUCAAAGAUAGGGAGUUAUCCUCAUAGCACUCGACCUUGCACAGAAUUGGGGUGGGCAGCCUCCCUAGAAAGAAUAAGUUAUAUUUGCAACGAUUCCACAAUUAAAAGAGCGGUGGCAGUCGGUUUAGUGGACAUUGUCGUCUCCCUCGUACAAAAGAACUUGUGGAAUGAUGAGGUUGACGAGGACGAAGACUAGGAUGGAGUGUGAAGUGGAGGAGAGAAGAAGAGUGGCUGCGUCACCCAUUUGAGCAAGUUCAUGCUCUCAUGGGUGGAGAAUAUCAUGUGGAAUGAGGGGUUUAGUGUUCAGAGGGGCUAUUCUGACCAUGGACUGAAGUGUGAAAGAGAUGGAUCUGGUUAAUACCUCUUCAGUAUAAUAGAGGAAGCUAUACUGACCGUCGACUUUGAUCGAGAUCAGUUUCAGUCUUCAAUGCGAAAAAGUCUAGCCCAUUUGAUGGGUCAAGAGUUCAUGUCACGUGAAGUAAACAACAAGGCAAACCUAAAAUUUGGGUUAAUUGAUUUAUCAUCUAACACAAUCUAAUUUAAAUUACCUUUCCAUGAUGUGAAAUUUCACAGUAAAUUUAGAGCAUCCUCACUCAUUGUAUUUAAACUAUUGGAUCUUAAGGGUACAAAGAUACUGGCCUAAUGAUCGAACUGUUAAGGUUGUUGAAUGGGGUGAUAAGGUUUUAAGGCUUGGACUCUAAAUUGCAUCAUGACCAUGUCAUAGCGAAGAUGAGAUGACUGCACUUCAGGCAUGCCCAGCAAAAUGAGAUUGUCAAGCUUUUAGGGGCAUGAGCGGGUCGCUUCCCAGUUAACAAGCAAAGGAAAGAGUAUGCGCAGCAAUCUUAUCCCUCUCAUUGAACAAGUUGAGCUUAUUAGAAACCACUAAUUAGCAACCGUGACUCUAGCAUACAUACCUGAAGGUGCGGGGCAGGUCGUUGGAUAGGCUUUGUCACGGCAAAAACAACUGAAUUCUUGCCUUGUCCAGUUAUACCCACAUCUUCCCCCUGAUUUAGUGCAAUUUUCGCACAGAGAUGUGUUGGCAAUCCAAGUAAUCUCAAAGCCAUUUUUCAGGAUGUCUCUAACAGUAUCACGACUAAUGUUAGCGCUCUUGCUGCCCUCCAAUAUUGGUAUAAAUGGGACGAAGACACUGAAGUUGCAUAGCUUGUGUAGUUUGCUUGGGGGGUCCACUUUGAAAGCAAAGUAGCCAUCUCCAGACGCAGGACAAGAGAACCGAUCAGGUUGAGGGGUUGACGGUGAGUUGCAAUUGUAGAAUAAGGUAGAAUUGAGGUAAUGGGAAGCGUAGUUGAAGAGACUGGAGUUUAAAGUGGUGUUGACAGGGGUUCCAUGACAAAUAUCUUUCAAUAAAUCCAUCCUCGAAACCUUAAGGAUCUGCUCGCUCGAAUCCAUGUGGAUCACCUGAUACUUCAGGGACUCCAUGGACAGAAGGGUCAGGUUACCUCCAUCACAGUCAAGCUUGUAGCCUGGAUACCCACAGUAACUCGGUCGCUCAUUAUGCUUGAAAGGAUAGCUAAUUUUUUGAUCUCCGCAAACGAAAGGAGCGCACCGUUGGAAUGGCAGGAAUUUGCCGGAAGUUGGCACCAGGAAGUGAAUAUGGAGGGUGAAGAUGAAGAGCAAGAACAGAGAUGAACACGACAUGGUAAGGUCCAUUCGGAGGGAGAUGGUGUUGGAGCAAAACAAGGACAGGGUAAAUGUAAAUGAAGAGGAUGCAGAGGAUAAGGAAUAUGCUGCUUUGAGAAUGAUUUGAACCCAAUGCACCAGUGAGAGCCACUUGAUUUGGCCUCCCGAAAGACCAAGACUUUGGGGCAUUGAGACAAAAGCCGAGAAGAAAUUAAGAACAAGGCGCGUGGAAACAAAGCCAAGCAGCUUGAGCUGUUGGCUACUUGUAGACUUGACUUAAGGACGACUUGGACUAUUAUUACCCAUUUUAGAAUUCGUACACGCGGUCCUCAUCUAGUGAACGAGCUUGGCCAAUCUCCUUGACAAUUCAAUCGACGACACUUCAAUAAGGACCUCGAGAACAUAGUUAGCAGCGUUAUAGACCAGAUGCAGGGAUCGCCUAGACUAGAAAAAAGAAGGGAUUAUAGCCUAGAACUAAGACGACUAAAUUGCCAUUCAAAAGAUUUCCCCUUAAUUUUACCUGGUCAAAAAGGGCCCCGACGAGCCAGACCAGGCCCAUCUCUCCUGAUCUACAAUGAUGAUCUACAUUGGGAUCUUUUAGCUAUAGGAAGCAAUAAGCAAAGCUUGCCAUCUUUUGUUGACAAAGAUUGCUAAGGCCCAUCAAUCGCUCAAGCCUCAAGUAAUGAAAAUAAAGAUUCUUUUAGGCGCCAAUUUCUUGGGAGGAAAAUGAUUAUGAUCAAAGCAAUAACAGCAAGAAAAGAGAAAAAUACAUCUUUCUGAAAAGAAACCACCACUUUUUAAUGAUAGACCCUAUUCCAAAUUGCAAGUUGCAACAAGUUGAUGGAAGCUGCUUUCGAAAUUUUGCCCAACCAAAAAAUUUAUUGCUUCAAUUUGCUACAUGCGAAUCUUUAUACUUUAAAUAUCAAGAGAAAAUUCACUUUAGUUUAGAGCAUCAAAGUAAUUCAUGUAUCUUGUCUAUGGAAUUUAUAUUAAACUUUAUGCACGUGGUCUUCAUUCAUCUAUUGAUUUAAGUUUUUGGAUUGGUCAUUGAAUAAGGUAUCGUAGUAAGGUUCUGCUCUCAUUUAUUUCGCAUGGGCAAUCCUUACCAGUCAAUUCUAUGUAUGGUUCUAAUUUCCACGUGAAAAGGGUGCAAGGGUGCUAAAGUAAUAAUUUUCUUUGUCUAUGAAUUCCUAUUCUCUUUAUAUAUAUAUAUAUAUAUAUAUAUAUAUAUAUAUAUUUAUAUGAGUGAUCCUGCUCUGUUUAUUAAGUUAAGUUUUUAUAUAGGACUUGUUGCACGGCAUAUAUUAGUAGGUGUGGUUACCAUUCAAAUUUUGAAAAAGUAUUGAUUAAGAAAUUGACUAACUUAAGUAUAUAAUUUUCUAAUUCUAAAAGCUGCUGAAAAAUCAAAGCAUGCCAGAAAUCAAAUCACACGCGACUAAGAAGUGACAAGCAUUGAAAAAAGCAAUCAUGGCGAUUGGCGAACAUAGAUGCAGAACCAUUUAUGAAAAAAGAGAGGAAACGGACACAAACCUCAAUCCUACCUUUGCAAACCGAACCGUCCGUGUGAUUUGACCCGUCCUUGCAGAAGCACAGCAACUCCUCUGUCUCGUUGAACGCGCACCGCCCGCCGGAGAGCUCGCACGCGCUGCACUCCUUCGCCGCCUCCCAGUCAAGCACGAACCCCCGGCUCAUCGCCCAGGCGAAAACCUCCACCACUUUCGCCGCCGUCACCUCCGUCCCCUUUACCGACGCCACCAUCGUGCCCUCGCAGUCCGACGCCACAUCGGACGCCCCCGCCUCCUCCUCCUCCCAGCCCAUGUUCACGGACACGUACGACCGGUUGUCACGAAAUUGCAAGCAAUCGAUGGCCACGAAGGGGCUGGACACAGGCGGAGGAGCGCUGCAGUUGAAGAAGAAGGUGAGAUUGACGUCGGCGGAGUUGUAAUCGAGCGGGAGCGAGCCGAUCGUGAGGUUGUGGCGGGCCCUGGGGCAUCUCUGGCCGGUGACGGCGACGUCGAUGUCGACGAGAGUUAGGGUUUCGUUGUGGUAGUUGAUAUCGGUGACGAAGAAGGCGCCGUCCCCAAGGAGGGGGAUUGGGUGAGGGGAGAAAAACGGGCAAAUGAGGCCGAGGCCUGGGUAUCCGCAGUGCGCGGGGGCAUCACUUGCGUACCAGAAUGGACUUUUGUACCAGAAUGGAUAUUGGAUGGAGACGUUGCCGCAUAGGAACGAGGAUGCAACGGGAUCGCAAAUGGUCGAGAAAGUGGCGUGGACGCCAUGGAAGCUCGCGGAGGAGAAGAAGAAGAAGAGAAGGAGGGAGAGAGAAGGGGAGAGAAUGCAGAGUAAGUGGUGGCUUGGCAUUUUCUUUGUCCUUCUCUUGGUGAGGAGCAAGAUGAUCGUCUGGCAAUUUAGAAUGGACCUCCUAUUUAAUAAAAGUGGUCAAAGUCUUGCAUUGGGACUAAAGGUUGCACAAUUUUUUUAUUUUUAUUUUUUUUGGAGUCAAUGGCUACACAAAUUUGACUUUGAUAUUUUCUUUUUUCCUUUUUCUUUUUGUGUGCAACGUUCAAGUAAUCCUACGUGGAAAACAAUUUCUAUUACACUGAUAACAAUUUAAUUUGGUCAUAAGUCAUUGGUGGAAAAAUAAUGUAUAAUUAUACCAUUGUGUAGAAUUUUAUGUGUUGGUCUUUAGACGCACUUUGCCCGCAAUCUCAUGGUUGGCUUAUUCAAUUAAAUAAGAAGUUGGAGACUUCUAUUUAUCUUGUUUAUUAUUUUUUCUAAUAUCAAUUUUUCUUUCGAAAGAAAGGCAUGAUUUAGAGCUUAAUACAGCUUUUUAUUCUUUUUAUUUUAUAAAAGCAAUUAGGGCUUGAUUGCACUUUUUAUAAAUAUCUUUAGUGGACUUUAAUUUAGUGUAAUUAUUCAUGAUUAAAUUUUAUGAAAUUGCAAUCUUUAACAAUUAAAGUAGCAGUCGUCAGCAUUUUUUAUGUUGAGAAAUCUUGAAGAAGUUGAUGGAUAUUGCAAUUCAAAUCUAAUACGGAGAGGAAGAAAUUACCAGAGAAAUUUAUGGAUUUUGAAAUUCAAACGCAACGUGUCAUAUUCUCUUUAAGGUUGUAGUCUUCAAUAAGUUCAUGACUUGAUGGAGUUUGAUUCAACAGCUUGUGUCAUAUAUGUGACCACAUCGACAUUAAGCCACAAAUGAUCCUAAAUCAUUGCAAGUAAAAUUUGAUAUGCAAUAGGUACUAUAAUUGUCGUAAUACUCUAGUUGCAUCAAAAUAGACGAAGGGCCCGUGAACUUCACAUUCAUUUUGGAUAUUAAAGCUAGAAAAUCAAAUAUAAGUGUGAACUUGGCGUAGAUUCUUUCACUUUUGUCCCUUUCGUUGAGAUAGUUUCCAGGAAACAUGACAUUUGGAGGUAGUCAUUAAGUCCGACUUUAAACAAUUCAUUACGCCUCAAAGUGCCAAUGCACAAUUGCCCUUCUAUUUAGAGGUGAAUCUCUUUGGUGGGUUUCUCAAGUAAAGAAAAAUGACCCAAUUAAUCUUCAAAUUAUUGUACGAAAACAAAUUAAUCUUAAAAUUUUCAAUUUUACCAAUUUAGCCAUAAAUUUAUGCGCGCAAUUUCAAUGUAGUAUUUCUGGUUAAUUUAUACUAGAAAUUAUUGAUGUUGUGGCCCAUUUAUCGCCAACCGUCUUAUGUGGCACCUUGCCAUGUCAACGAUUUCAGGUGAAAAUCGACCGAAAAGACUUUAUUGGAAUUUUCUAUGAAGAUGUAAAAUUAGAAAGUUUAGAACUAAAUUAACAUUCACACAAUAAAUUUAUGAUUGAUCAGGUAGUUCUCCCUCUCGAUGAAUUAUGUCUCUAGGAGAUACAAAAUCCCACAUCAUGCUAAUGAAUUAGAGAAAACACAGCAAAUAAUGAAAGCAUUAUAUUGUUGUGUAUCAAGACAUAAUUGACAAUCGGAAUAAAUCGCGUCCGAGGGACAUUGAGAUAUGUGAAUUUCAGUAGUUAUUAUAGACAUAUAAGCAUGUGCAACAGUUUCCUUCUUUCUCAAUUUGGUAAGCCAGGCAAAAUUUCUUUCCAUGACUCUUAAGAGAAUGUUCAAUUCAUCGAAUCUAGAAGAAGGGGCCAAACAUAUUUCUCAUAAAAAAAAAAUUAACAAUAACAAAAGAAAUGAUCACAUCAUCUUGAUGGGGUCUGGGUUCAUGCGGGUCUGGAUUGGCAAGGUCAUGUGACCCUUGGUGUCACCUUGCUUGAGAUCACAUGGCCUUGGCAUUAUCUUGUCUAGCCUCUUAGACAAUUCAAUCCUCACUGAUGAUUGAUUUGUUUCCAAGACGGAGAUAAUGAGCAGUAGCUGUGUGCUCUGUUUCACUUGUUUUUUUUUUUUGCUUUAAACUUAAAAACUAUUUUGCAAAAAUACACCAAAAUUCACUUAACCAAACGGUAUUUGCUUUAAGUAAAUGCACCUUGAAUCAAUGAUUUUUGGGGAAUAAUUUUGCAUGUUCGAGUAGUCCUAUGUGUAUAAAAAGUUCCAAUACAGUAAUAACGACAUACUAUAGUCAUAGGUCACUAAUGUAGAAAUAGCAUAUAAAUAUGCGAGCAUAUAGAAUUCUAUGUUAGUCUCUACGUCGGUCUCUACAAAUUAUCAUGAGCCGUUCACUAGAAUUUGACUCGUAUGUUGUUUGAUCUAUCUAUUGGGUUAGUGUUCCUCACAAAUUGGAUCAUGCAACGAAAUAUCUUUCAUCGAAAGUUGUUCUUAAGUUUUUAUCAAAGGAGAUAGGUAUUGUGGCAACUCCAGACAGAAAAUAUCAUUAGUCAACAAGAAAAACCCGAAGUUUACUUCAAAUAUCGUACAAAAAUCAUGCUGAAAUUUAAUCAACAAUAAAUCUUGGGAAUGCAAAGAUGCUACAAUAGAAUUUAAUUGAUGACGUGACAACUGGGAUAGAGAUACACACCGAAAUUUAAUUGGCGAUGUGGAUUUGGAAACUACAUCUAAGAAAUAUGCCGAAAUUUAAUUUGAUGAUGCGAGUCUGGAAAAUAAAACUACAAUGCGGAAAAGUAAAGAUAACUAAAGAAUAGUAGAUUUAUUUAUUUGUGUGUCGGGGGGCCUUCACAAACGAACACUGGUAUUUAUAGUGGUUGUGCCAUAACCAUCUCUAACUAGUUCUCCUAUAGUUAUAGCCAUGUUCCCUCAUCUCUGAAAAUCUUGGGCUCAUUCUCUCAAGAUGCCGUGAUUUAGUCUUCAAGUGAUUAAUCCCUUAAAAUUGCAUUUUGGUUUACUCCACGACUUCUUGAACCCUAUUGCCUCACUCACCGAUGAUUUCAAACUCAUAACUGAUUUUUGACAUCCUCUAGGUAUCCAACUUUCUUUGAUACCUCAAAUUGGUAAUCUGUAGCUCCUUUUAAUCAAUACCCUUAUCGACUAUCACCUAUUCAUUUGUCAUCAUACAUCGGCAACUAAUAAGUAAUCGCUCGUAUCAUUUGAAAUAAUUAUUUAAUGAAAAAUAAUUUUAUUAUCGAUAAUAAUUUAUAUCUAAAUACUUUUAUAGACAAUAUAAAUAUUUUUCAUUUAUUUAUUUUUGCAACAAUAUAAGUAAUUAUUUUUAUAAGAAUGUAUUUUAAUUUAUUCAUUUUUUUUUUGUGAAAUAAACCAAAGCUUUUAAAGUCUAAUCAAUGGUUUAAAGUUCGACUAUUAUAUCACUCUCUGCAAAUGUCAUGUUUCGUGGAAAAUAUCUCGAUGGAAAGACAAAAGUGAGAGAGUUAAUGCUCCUUUCGUGCUUGCUUCGCUGGCGUCCACAUGCAAAACCGGAAAGGCAGCCAGAAAGAAGAAACAAAGGAAGACCAGAAAAGUACACUUCAAUUGUUUAGCGUUUAUGCUGAUUUGAAGGAGUCAAAAAUCGAAGUUUUUUUUCCAGCCAGGUCGAGUUACUCCCAAGAUCUCUAUACAUGAGACUGGUGAUAUCGGACUUAAAUGAAACAUGGUACGCUAUAUAUCUUUGUAACAUAUUUAUGAAUUUAUAAAUCAUUAAAACAUGAAUUUCUAACUUUACUUGUAUCUUCUUUUCUAGGAAAAAUUAGAUGCUGGAUCGUUUUCCCUUCUUUCCCGCAAGGUAAAUAAAGGGGAAGAAAUAGUAUACUAGGGAAUUGAAGGUGACUAAUAUUGUUCGGGACGUUACUUUAUAAAUCAAAAUAAUGGACCAAUCAUUAUAUAAAUGCAUAGUGCUAACGGAUCUGGUUUUCGAUCUAAGGCUUGACAAGGCUUCGACCAUGAUGAGAAAAAAUAUCCAAAAAAUUCUAAACCUAUUUCGCUUUUGUCAAUUCAAUCAUAAACCUUAUAACUUUGCUAAUUCAGUCAUAAACAUUUUCACUUCUUGUCAAUUGAGUUCAUCCAACCAAUUUUACCCGGAAAAUGGUGAUGCGGACACUAGCAGAGCCAUGUAGGACUGCCGGUACUGACAUAGAUAGUUUUUAAUAAUAUUUUAAUAUAUUUUUUGAAUUUUUAUUAUUUUUUCUGUUUUUCCCCUCUUUUUUUUUCUUCAUUUUCAUUAUUUUCUUUUUGGCUUUCUUCUUUACCUUUUCCGGUGGCCAGCUGACCAUCGGUCAUAGCCAACCAGUUGGCCUCGCCCGCCACAGGCGAGGCUUGAUCGGGCGAGGGUGGGCCCUAGCGAGGGGAGCCCUCGCCCAGGCGCAGCCUAGGAAGGGUCGCUUGGGCGAGGGCUCCCCUCGCUAGGGCCCACCCUCGCCCGAUCAAGCCUCGCCUGUGGCGGGCUGAUGCUUGGCGAGGCCACCUUGGCCUGGGCGAGGGCCGGCCUUGCUUGGCCGACACCUGGCAAGGUCGCCCUGAGGCCGACACUCGCCUAGGCAAGGGUGACCCCUGGUGAGGGCUCCCCUAGCCAAAUUUGGCGAGGUCGACCCUCGCCCAGGCCAAGGCGGCCUCACCUGAUGUCGUUGUCACCAAGCCGAUGCCUAGUGAGUCUACCCUAGCCUGGGCGCAGGUUAGCCUCGCUUGGCCUAGGCAAGGGUCGGCCUUGCUUAGGCGAUCCUUGCCGGGACGCGCCUGGGCGAGGGCUUCUCUUAACGAGGCUCACCCUCUCCCAGUCGGGAGGGCCUCGCUUGUGGCGGGUGAGGCCAGCUGGCUAGCUAUUGCCAAUGGCCGGCCGGCCAUUAAAAGGCCAAGAAGAAAGCCAAAAAGAAAAAAAAAGAAAAAAAAAAGAUUAAAUUAUUAUUAAAAUUGUCAACAUCAGUGCCGACGGUUCUACAUGGUACCGUUGGCGUCCACGUCAGCAUUUUCCAGUCAAAAUUGUAAGAAUGGACUCAAUUAGCAAGAAGUGAAAAUGUUUAGAACUGAAUUGGCAAAAGUACAAUAGAUUUAAGAUUUUUUAGACAAUUUUUUCAAACUGAGUUCGUUCUAACAUUGGAAUGGAAAGGAAACGACCAGGCUUGUCUUGGCUUUGACCUCAAAGGGUUCGAUUUGACGUCAACACUGAAAGGAGACAACCGUCCUUAACCUCAAGAUCGCUAAUUUAGCAUAGAUAAUAAGGAAUUGCUAAAAAUUUGAUCACACUUAAUCACAAAAGAAGUUGGUGCGUUUACAACUGUAACAAUUGUUGCCUAGCUAGUUAUUAAUCCAUAAUAUAAUCUGUAAAUGAAAUGACAAAUCUCUCAACUAAACUUGUUAAAUGAAUAGGCCUAUCCGAUUCAAGAGUUCAUGUGAAUUGGAUUUGCAUGCCCGCAUUAUUCGAGCAACCAAUGUUGAUGUAUCGAUGACCCACACAGAAAAUUUGCCCUGAAAAGUCUUGAGGAACAAACCAUGAAACUUCCUGGUCAAUGGGACCUCUAAAUUAGGUUGGAGGAUCCGCCAACGUGUUGAAAUGUUGAAAUUGAUGAUCUUCCACGUUCCAUGAAACUUCCGAGUCAGAGUAACCUCUAAAUUACUCUUAGGAACAAACCUCCCGUUAUACAAUUCCUACUAAGCAGCGCAAAUCAAUUGUAGAAUUUUUCUUUUUCUUUUCUUCCAAUAUACAAAACUUUAGUGCUAACAAAAAUUAAUUGUUUAUAUUAUAUUAUACAUUUAAAUUGAAAUUCUCAUCCUGUUUCGGAGUUCCCUCUCCCUUUAAUGUAAUUUAUAACCAAAUGUAGUUAUGGGUAUAGUAAACACCAGCGGCAAGUUUCUUGAAUCACAGUGUUUAUUAGUUUUUUAUGCAGUAACAAAAAUUUCCGUCGUGUAAUUUUAAUACAUUCUCUUUUAUGCUUUUAGUCUUCAAUAAGAUAAUAACUUGAUGUCAAUGCAAAAACUCACAAAUCCCACAAAAUUGCGUGGAAUGUAGUAUGCUCACCAAAAAAGGAGGGAGGUCUAGGCCUGCUCGAUCUGAAACUGUGGAAUAAAGUAACGAUGGGUUGCAUGCUUUGAAGCCUCAUCAAUCUUCCAUCCUCAUCCCUAUGGAGUGCUUAGGUUCACAUAUCAAAUGCAAAGGUACUCCCAAUAUGCGACUCGGCAUAAAGGGCAAUAUGGCUUGGAAUUGACGAUGCAUUCUCAAGCUAAGACAUGCUCUAAUGCCUAUUAUCUCUAGCGAAACAUGCUGUUGCAAAGAGGUAUAUGAGGAAUUUAGACAAGAGGGACCAGCCGUGGACUGGUAUCAAUUAAUUUGGACCAGCGGUAUCCGCAAGCAUAAUUUUAUUGGUUGGCUUGUUUGCAAAGAUAUACUACUGACAACAAUAGCCAUAUCACAAUUGGUUGUCUUCAGUAGAUACUAAGUGUAACUUUUCCAUGACUGGUAUAGAAGAUAGAAACCGCUUAUUUUUUUAGUGCACUUGGACAAGUAGUGUAUGGCAAUAGUAUUUUGGCAUAAAAUGGAAUUUGGUGUCAUGUAGGAGGUUGGAACUUAGAACUUCAAUAGAUGAUCGGGGCCACUAAGGGCAAAAACUUGGAGGCGAGAUUCCUCAAGUUGUCUUUCUUAGCGACAAUCUAUUGCAUUUGGAUGGAACGUAACCGCAGACGAUUUCAAAACAUGUCGACUGAACCUCAUCUUUUGUUAGCUAGGAUUUGAAAUAUUGUAAGAGAUAGGGCGUCACUUUACCAAAAGUGUAGGCCUUCCCACGCAAAUGUUUUAUUGGCUACUAUAUGGAGGUUUCCUUCCUCCAUCUUCUUGCAUAAUUAGUUUUUGUGGAAUCCUAGGGGAUUCCCCUAAGUUUUUGUACCUCAUCUAAUUAAUGAUAUUCACAUAUUUACACCAAAAAAGAUAACAACUCGAUGAAGUGAGAUUGAUAUCUUGUAUCAUAUAUGUGGCUAUAGUGAGAUUAAGGGAUUAAUCAUCUUAAAUCUUGGAAGAAUAAAACUUCAUGUGCAAUUGAGUACUACAAUAUCAAGGAUUUUCAUUUUCUACAAUUCUCGAGUAUAAUACAAUAAUAUUGAAAAACUAUUACAGAGCAAAGGUCCAAUCGUCAUGCCAAACACAUAGAACACUAUAGAUGAAGAGCAUUAAUACCACAUCAUAUGAAAGUAUGGAAGCUCGAAAUCUAUGAUCGCGAGCACCAUGCAUCAAUGCAAUUAAUAGCCAUAAUAUAGUAGAUGAUGUUGGUAUUCUUGCAUAUGGUAGCUAGCCUAUGUGAAUAUUCAGAUGAUGAGGUGACGUCGGGUAAAUUAAAUUCGGUCCAUUAAAUUGAUUACUAAGGCUGCGCAUGAUAAAAUUUCUGUUUUUUGAUUUCUCUGUUUCUCUGUUCCCCGGAACAGGUGUGGAACAGAAAUCCGUUUGGUAACGCAAUUUGAUUUCUCUAUUUCUGAAACAGAUUUUUAUUCUAGAAAUAGAUUUGAAGAAGAAAUCAGAAGCUAAAAUUUUUAGCUUCUCAGUUUCUGAAAUAGAAAUUGAGAAAUCAAUUUCUAUGCCAGAAAUUUUGUCAUGCGUUAUUUUUUUACUUAUCUAGUAUACUUAGCGUUAUUCUUCAACCUAUUUCUUUCACUUUCAACUUUGUAUAUGUAAUAUGCACCGCAUUGGGAAAAAUGUUUGGCGGUGAAGGAAUGUCUUGGUCUUGGUCGUCGCAGACAACCGUGUUUCCCAGGUCAUCUACAAGCUUCGAAGUUAAAAGCCGAAUCUUACAUGUUCGGAAAUUGCUUCAGCGCUAAAGUCCACUUCAACAUUUUUCACGUUGGAGUCAAAGUAGAAUAGGACUUUGACCGUGAAAAGAAAACAAUAAAGAAAAGGAAUAGUGCGGACUCGUUGAUUGGGUCAGAGAAAAAAAGAAACAAACAGGAAAUGAACUCCUUGUUUGAGUCGACAAACGUUCAUACGGAUGGCCAAUGCAUUCACCUCCGUUUGAGAGCGUGUGGGCAGCUACCAAAGCUCUCUCGUGGACUAAAAACGGGCCUCAUUUUGAAGCCCAUCUGCUGGGUUCGCGCCCUAGCCCACUCGGGAGGGCAUUAAUUGGUAUGACAAGCUUAACGUGUCUGUGAAAUAUAAAAUGAUCCGUAAGCCUCGUUCCCUUUUAUUAUGGUAUGAUUUUUUUAUUUUGUAUUUAUUUUAACUUGUUAUUUUUAUUAUAGUUAUGCCUAUGCGAAAAUUUUAAAAUCAAAAUGUCCCUAAUCGUGAUGAGAAGUAGCAAGCAAUGUGAUUACUAAAUGAUUCAUGCAAUUUUUGGGUUAGGGGUCAAUUUAUGCCAAUCCCUAAUAUUGAUAGAAAUGCUAUGGAGAUCCAAAUGUGGAAAUUUAUAUGUCAACAAUACCCUUUUCACUCUUUUUUUUAAUCACACUUGUAGAAAUUCAACCUAGACAUCUUAUCACAAAUUUAUAAACAGCCCAAUUAUCAUUAAUUUUGCAAAUGUUUUUUUUUUCAAAUAGUAUGUUACAAACUAUGUCGGUCUCAUAUAAUUUAUAUUGAAUAACUCUGACUUGAGUUAUUACUCUCUUGUAGAGACAAACUUACACAUGGCAAGCUGCAAGCAAUUUUGAGGGUGAUGACAAAAUGGGUUCGGGAGAAAUUUACAAGGCAUCUACACUUCCUUUCAGCAUUUGCACAACUUGGGUCAUACAUGGUCGAGCUCUCAAAAUUGAUUUGAAUGCACUAUAAGCCAGUUAUAAUAAUCUUCUUCACGAUCACUUCGUCCUCCUCAUUUGUGAUCCCGAGUAGUCCAAGCUCUUCUUGGAGCUCUAGGCAUACCCAAUGAGGGAAUUAUGCUUCAAUGGUUUGAUCUAUUGUGACUUUGAUACUUUUUCCCGUAUUGACCGUCUCCAGAACCAUUAUACCGUAGCUGUAAAUAUCUGAUUUGUGAGAAACCUUUUCGAUGUUCCUCAUUAUCAGUUCUGGAGCAAUGUAUCUAGCGAUGCCCAAUUCUCUCUUCUCUUGGGCAUAUUUUGGCAAGACGAAAGUCGGAAAUCUUGGGAUAAUAGUUUGCGUCAAGGAGAAUGUUAUGAGGCUUUAUGUUGAAGUGCAAGAUCCUCAUUUUGCAUGUACUAUGCAUGUACUCUAGCCCAUAAGCUAUUCUUAGCAAAAUCCGGUACAAUGUGCCCCAACUCAAUUGUUAAUCUACCUCCAAAGUGCUACUCUCGUCGAAAAUGAACUUCUCAAGUGAUCCAUUGGGCAUGAACUCAUGAACCAAAGCCUUUUUGCUUCCUUCAAAACAAAACCCUUCGAGGCUGGCAACAUUGACAUCAGAAGUGUUGGCUAUGCUCGCAACUUCAUUGAAAAAUUCUUUUACAUCGCCUUUCAGCAUCUUUAGUAGCUUCACUACCAUAGGUUGACUAUUUCAAAUUAGGCCAAUCCGAUUCAUGAGUUCAUGUGAAUUGAAUUCACUUGAACAGAGGUCAUUCGAUGAAAUUUGUUGAACAUGUCAAUUUUGCAUGAUAUUAAUCCUAUUUGAAAAAUGACAAACUCUAUUGAUAAUAUGAAUUAACACAUUGUUCACUUUCUUUUUUUGCAUCAUACUUAUAGUGAUUUAAUCUAGACAUUUGAUCACAAAUCUGUGAAAAAGCUCAAUAGUCAUUAAUACUUUCACAGUUGUUUUUAAAUACUCUAUUACAAACUAUGUUAUUAUGAUAUAAUUGACAUUGAAUAACCCCAACUUGAGUCAUUACUCUCUUGCAGAGACGAAGUUUCACAUGGACAAGUCUCGAGUGAUCUUGAGGUGAUGACAAGGAUGGUUCAUGAGAAAUUUGCAAGGUCUCAAUACUUUGUUUUAGCAUCUCCACAACUUGAGUCAUUGUUGGUUGAGCUUUGGAUCCAUCUAAAUGCACCAUAAGCCUAUUACAAUCAUCUUCUUUGCAAUUCCUUCAUCCUCCUCAUUCGUGAUCCCAUGCAGUUGGAGCUCUUCUUGGAGCUCCAAGCUUUGGCGGACCCAAUGAGGAAAGUAUUUUUCACUAGUAUGAUCUACCAUGACUUCGAUGUAAUUCCUCCUACCAACCAUCUCCAGAACCAUCAUGUUGCAGUUAUAGACAUCCAAUUUAUGAGAAACCCCUCUGAUGUUCAUUAUGAUUAGUUUUGGAGCAAUGUAUCCAGCAGCGCCCCGGGCAUCUAGCAUUGACAUGAUGCUCUCUUCUCUUGGGUAUAUUUUGGCAAGACCAAAGUUGGAAAUCUUGGGAUAAUAGUUUGCAUUGAGAAGAAUGUUGUGAGGCUUUAUGUCAAAAUGCAAGAUCCUCAUGUUGCAUCCUCUAUGCAAUAAUCUAGCUCAUGACCCAUGUUGAGUGAAAUAUGGUAUAUUGUGUCCCAACUUAAUGGUUAAUCUACCUCCAAAGUGCUACUCCUGUUGAAUAUGAACUUUUUGAGUGAUCCAUUAGGCACGAACUCAUAAACCAAUGCUCUUUUACUUCCUUCAAAAUAGACCCUAGGGGGCCAACAACAUUGACAUGAGAAGUCCUGCUUAUGCUCGCAACUUCAUUGAAAAAUUCUUAUGCAUCUCCUUUCAAUUUCUUUAGCAACUUCACUGCCACUAGUUGACCAUCUCAAAGGUAGCCCUUGAACAUGCAGCCAUAACCUCCUUGGCCUAACUUUUCUUUGAAAGAAUUAGUCAUCCUCUUGAUGUCUUUAUAGGUGUAUCUUUUUGAAGAGACAAGUUCCUCCAUUUACACUUCACCAUCAAAGUGUUUGCUUCUCUGCUUUAUCAAAGCCACAAUAAUUCUGAUUAUUGGUUUCUUCCACAAGUGAAGCAUUACGAUAAGGGUAACCCCAAUUUUAGCUCCCGAUGCAACCAUUCCUGAAAAAACGAAGAAUAUUUUUGAACAGCAAUCUCACUUCAUCACUUUAUCAUGGCUUCUAGAAUAUUUCAGAAACAUUGAUUCCACUGAGCAAUGAGGGAAGCUUACUGUAAAAAAAAAUCGGAACAAAUUGCAGCCAAGAAUGUACAGAAGUGGAAGAGGAAGUCUUGAAAUAAUCACCUAUUCCGAUUUUCAGUCCAACCGUUUUUUUCCCCCUGAAACUGUAGUCAUCAAAUGUGAUUAACGUGUCAAGAAUUGCAAACUGAUAAUUUCAAAGUGUCUAAGAGAUAUGAACAUCAGGGCACAUCAUGAGGUUAUAGGUCAUUCAGUUUUAAGAAAAAAAACACGCCACAAUGGAGUGAAACUAACGCAAAGAAAUUGGAAGAACUUAAGGACAUUACUUACAUAUAAUUAGCAAACUAUAGCAGAAAGAUAGAAACAUCAAAAUAUAUGAGGUUUCGAUAAGUUAUCUUGCGACCCGAAAGAUUGGAGAGUUAUGUUUGCAGUGGUAGGUGAGACCACAGUCUAAGCUAAGGCAAAGAAAUUGGAAGAACUUAAGGACAUUACUUGCCGCACGUAGAAAUUACCGAUCAAUAACAGGAAAAACAUCAUUUUUAGUAUUUUUUUUCUCCACUAUCAUCGUGAAAAAAAAUUUCAUUGAUAGUGUAGAGGCUUAAUUAUGUGUGCUGUUCACCUAUAUCAAUUUUGUAAAUAUAUUCAAUUACACGAUUGAAAAGAUUUUUAGCAUCACUUGUGGAGACGUAGUUUUUCUUUUAAUUUGGAUAGAACCCCAAGAAGUAAACAAGUAAUUUUAGGCCAACAUUAACAAAAUUUUACAGUAAAUGGGGAGCAUAGACACUCAAUGUAUUUAAACCAUUGGAUCUUGCAGAUCGUAGAUACCGACCCAAAGAUCUAACAAUUAAAGCAUAAAAAUUCCUAGAGUAUGAAUGAUAAAGUUUUAAACUUGGAGUCUAAGAGCACGCAUAAUAACUAUUCUAUUUUUGACUAGAACUAUUUUUUUUUUUAGGAACGGAUUUGAAAUAGAAAUACUUUUAAUAAUAUAAUCUCAUUUUUUUUUUAAUUUAUGAAACAAAUUUUUAGUUCCAAAAUAGGUUUAGAACAGAAAUAAGAUGUAAAAAUUUUCUACUUUUCAAUUUUUGAAAUAGAAAUGAAAAAUAGAAACUCUUUUCAUCACUCGCCCUUGCUAUUAGCGGCCUGCCAAUCACUAUCCGCCAUCCGCCGCCGCUACUCGAGAGGGAGAAACAUUAUAUUGUUAUCAAACGAAUUUCUCUUCCAAAAAUAGAAAUUUUAUGUCGUUAACAAACCCGUAUUUUUUCUCAGAAACUUGUCCAGAGAAUAGAAAUAAAAAUUUAUAUUUCUAGCUGGAAAUUGAUUUCUGGAACAAAACGUCCAUCAUUCCUGUCCUAAAUCGUGACAUGAUGGAUGUCAUGGGGAGGGUGAUUGCACUUCAUUAGAGGGAAGGAUAUGUAAGGGCAGCAACGAGACUGUCAGGCUUUAGGGGCAUGAGCCCUUCGUUUUCCAAACAACAAGCCAAGGGAAGGUAUGCCCAGCAAUUCCUCUCAUUUAACAACUUUAGCUAAUUCAAAACCACCUAUAAUGGAUUUGAAGGUGAGGAGUUUAUUGUGAUAUACGGAAAAAUGUGUUCAUGGAACACAACGUGACGAGAAGUAUAAAAACAUUUGAUUUGGAAUUCAAAACAUUUUCUCCAACUUUGCUGGGUCAUCUUUGAACUGAUUUGACUGAUGAUAUUUGAUAUAUCAUCAGCCCAAAAAAGCAACUUGGUUAAAAUCAGUGGAUCCCAAAAGCCCUUGACUCCUCGGCCAAGCCGGAUCUGGCCCAUAUCUCGUGAUUUAAAGGAUGAUGACCCACAUUGGCUCUUUAGCUCGGAAGCAAUAACCAGAACUUGCCAUCUUUUCAUGGCAGAAAUUGCUAAGGUCCAGAUAUUGCUGAAGCCUCAGUUAUUCAUUUAAAAGCCAAUUCCUCCGGAGGAAAACGAUCUAACCAAAGUAACAUCAACAAAUAAGAGAAAAGACAUCCUUCUGAAAGAAACCACCACUUUUCCAUAAAGUUUAUUCUAAAUUGUGACCAACUGAUAGAACCUACUUUUGAAAUUGCGCCAAAAAAAUAAAAAAAAUAUCACUUCCAUUUGGCGCAUAUAGUCCUUACUAGAAAAUUACUUUAGCCCGGGUGUUAAAUUAUCUCACAUCACUUGUCUACAGAAUUUUGUAUUCUCUUUACAUACAUGUGAUCUUUAUUCACUUAUAAAUUUACGUUUUUGGAUAUUUUGAACACGCUAUUAGAGUCAAGUUCUUCCUAGAUUUUUUUAAGUGUGCCGCCCCUGUGAGUCAAAUUCCAUGUGUGGCUUCUAAUAUGAUUUAUACUCAAAUGGGGUGUUAAGGUAUUUCACCUCGCUUGUUUAUGGCUAAUAUUUUAUUUAAGGAAAAUUUCAAAUAAGUAUCUAAAGUGGGGUUAUUUUCUAUAAUAAAACAAAGGUCAAAAGUUGAUCUUGUUCCAAAUAAGGGCAUAAAAUAGCCAAAGGAGUCUCAAAUAAGGGCUUGAACUAACCGGCUAGCCAAACCUUCAUCGGCAAACUUUCUCAAGCAACUAAAACAAGGGCAAUCCUGUCCAAGAUAAGUAAUUGUGUAAAAAAUGGAUAAAAUACCCAAAUUGAAUUAGGAUUAGGGUUCUUCCUUUAAUUUUUUCUCUUUUUCUUCUACCACUCAAACAAAAUGCUAUCGCUUGCUCUGCUGAAGGUAUCUUUGGAUAACGCUUUAGUCACUCUGACUGUCACUCUCUCUCUCCCUCUCAUCCAUUGCAAUUCAUAUUUAGGUGAAUGAAAAUCCGCCAAAUGAGCAUUGCGCGAUCUUUUGAGGCCAUUUCCCUCAAUAUUUGAAGGGUGGGCUGAAAAUUUUGGGAUAAUUAUUUGAAAUUUUAUGACAUAGGACUACUCGGUUUGCUCAUGCUUUUGAAUCAUAGGUAAUUGUUAUUUUUGAAUUUGUUUCUCAUAUCCAUUUUCCCUUUUGGAAUUUGUUUCUUAGAUCCGUUUCUCUUUCACAUUUAGAGUUUUCUCUUCUCCCUCUAAUUUUUACAUGGCUUUCUUCUUUAACCUCUAUGGAGGGGAGGAUUUGAGCUGGAUCUCUCCCUCCCCUUCCUUUUUGCCUUUUCGUUUGUCUGAUUUGAUUCUUUGUUCUCUUUUUCUUACUUUCCUCAUAUUUUGUGGAACUUUUCUCUUCCGAUCCAGUUUAGAUUAAGAAGCUUCUCUCUCCCAUUUUGAGUAGAAUUAUAUCCCAAUCUAGUCAAGAUUUGGAGAUUUUGCAUGUAUUAUUUCGGAUUUUCGCUUCCCCCAAGUUUUGUUGGUGUGCAAGUCCAAUUUCAAAUGAUAUUGGAAGAGCUUCAUGAGGGAUUCUCUUUCACAAGUGUCAGAUCUUUACUCACUCAACCCUAUAUUUCUAAACAGCCAUAAGGUUGGGGAUAUCAAACCUAAGUGUGCACUAUCGCAAGGCAAAGCCAUAGCAAUAGAUGGAGAUCUCGAUGCAUGCUCAUUAUUGAAGACGGAUUUGGUGAUUGACCAUCAAUUUUGGUUUGAAAAAAUCUCAAAUCUGCUAUUCGAGCAAGUGAAACCUUAUUCUAACAAUUCUUCUUGUUAUCUAGAGCUUGAUUUGUUUUGAAGUUGUCUAGGAUUUGUCUUGGCUUGCAAUUAGACUACGAUGUUUAUCUCUUGUAUUUACCCAAAAAUGAAUAAAAAGUUACUUUGACCCCAAAAAAAUUAUUUCCCAGAGAGAGGAGGAGUCAUCCAUGUAUCCAUUUUUAACUGUUGCAAUUUCUGUUACAGACAAAAGGGAAUAAAAUUAUAUUUUUUAGUUGAAAUUCAAGAGUCGAUUAUGUGCAAGUGUUUUGCAUGGGCUUGUCCUAUGAUAAUUUAGGCAAACCAAACAACUUUAGUGUAAGCUGUAGUCUUUUCUCUUAUUCGGGAUGCUCUUGGUUUAAGAGAAAAUAGAAGAAAUGCAAGUGUAAAAUGGUGAUGGUGUUGUGGCACUUCUUGGUCUUCUCAUUUUGCCAUCUAUCAAGCUAAAUUUAAAUGUGAUGAAUGGAUAUUCGCCAGUCCACUUACAGUUUUCUUUUCUUUCUUUUUCAUUUGAAAAUUCUUAAUUAGGAUUGUUUUCUGUGAUUAUGUUUGUUUCCUUGUUUCUGAUUACAAGAGUUGAUUAUGUGCAAGUGUUUAGCAUGGGCUUGUCCUAUGAUAAUUUAGGCAAACCAAACAACUUUAGUGUAAGCUGUAGUCUUUUCUCUUAUCCGGGAUGCUCUUGGUUUAAGAGAAAAUAGAAGAAAUGACAGUGUAAAAUGGUGAUGGUGUUGUGGCACUUCUUGGUUUUCUCAUUUUGCCAUUUAUCAAGCUAAAUUUAAAUGUGAUGAAUGGACACUCGCCAGUCUACCUACAGUUUUCUUUUCUUUCUUUUUCAUUUGAAAAUUCUUCAUCAAGAUUGUUUUUUGUGAUUAUGUUUGUUUCCCUGUUUCUGAUUACAAGAGUCGAUUAUGUGCAAGUGUUUUGCAUGGGCUUGUCCUAUGAUAAUUUAGGCAAACCAAACAACUUUAGUGUCACGCUCCGAUCCUCGGGCACGCACACAUCCUUCUAAUUGGUCGAUUUUAAAAUGCGAUAUCCCAGAACUAUGUAUCGCCGACUCUUUCUAUUAUUAAGCACAUGCGGAAGCAGUUAUAAAUCCUCAGACAAUAAAACAAUGGGAUAAAAAAGUAGGUCAUAUAUUUCAUAUUGAAAUCCACAACCAAACCUUUAUACAUGACAUAAAGCAGAGUACUUCACAACUAUUCACAUCAAAACAGAGAUUUCAAAAGAAGAUGGAAUUUUCAGUCCUCUGGAUCGUACUCAAGAUCCCUCUCGGGAUUAUCUUCUUCUUCCAAAAAUACUUCUCCUCAAGUUUCACUUCUGAGUUCUCCUUCUCAGACUCUUCCUCCUCAGCUCCUCAGCGGGGUCUUAAAAUGAUUUCCCCAAACCGGGAUGAGACUACGUCUCAGCGAGUUCUACCCCACUAAGGCCCGAUUAGUAAAUCAUUAUACUAAAGGUUGCCUAAACACGCACAGGGCAGAUGACUUACCUUAGCCUCAGAUCCCACCUGCAAGUUAGCACAAUUCACAAUAGGCACUCAUUUACUCCAAACAAAUCAAACCAGUCGAUUACAUGUCAAACAGACCAUUCUAGAUCAUUCAUUCCACACCAUAUAUCCUUCCAUCGAGUACUCGGUCACAGAGCCACAUCAAUGCUCUCGGGCGUUAAGUUCGCCAAGGUGACGUAUCCACUAGACAAUUGCGUACGUUCUUUAAGGCGCCGUUUUCGCCAGUGAUAUCCCAAAUCACCGAACCACACAUGCCUACAAUGAUUUUUUCAAUAGACAAUUGCGUGCGUUCUUUAAGGCGUCGUUUUUGCCAGUGAUAUCCCAAGUCACCGAACCACAAAUGCCUAUAAUCAUGUAUUCAAUAGACAGCUACGUGCGUUCUUUAAGGCGCCGUUUUCGCCAGUGAUAUCCCACAUCACCGAACCACGUAUGUCUAUGAUGGGAUAUGUACUAGACCGAUACGUGCGUUCUUUAAGGCGCUAUUUUCGCCAGUGACAUCCUUAGUCACCGAACCACGUAGGCCCAUACACCGUGUCUGAUUAGCUAUAGCUCAAAGUAUUUCCAGUUCACUCUCAUGAUUCCAUCCACUUUACAACUCAUCAAAGCAUUAUAAAUGCUAAAUAAACAUAUUCGGCCAUCUACCAAUCAAUCAUUCAAUCUCAAUCAAUUCCAAAUCAAUUUAGGGUAAAUCCCUAAAACAUCACAAUUUAUUUAAUUCCAUGCAACGUAGAGCUCAAAUAAAUAAACGAACUGCGCCACAACAAUCAGCAUGAGAUUUCGGUCGUCGGCCAUUUCAAUCUUAAUUUCCGAAAUAUAAUUAAUUAAUAAAUAUUAAAAAUUCAAUUUAACACAAAAUAAAGCCCAAUUAAAUAAACGGACUUCACCACGGUCAUCAGCAUAAUAUUCUGCAUUAGCCAUCUCAAUUGAAAUUUCGGAAAAUAAAUAAAUAAAUAAUUAAUUUGGAAAAUUAAAUAAUUAUUAUUAAAAAUUCGAUUUAGCUCAAAAUAAAACUUGAUUAAAUAAAUGGACUUCACCAUGGUCAUCAGCAUAAUAUUCCGGUCUCAGGCCAUCCCAGUUGAAUUUUCGGAAAAUAAAUAAUUAUUUAAUUUAAUUCCGAAAAUUAAUAUUUAAAUACCAAAAAUUCCACUUAGGCCAGAAAAGCCUAAUUGGAGCCCACUAAGGGUCGGGAAAAAUCCCAUGACACUUUCAAUAAAUAGUAGACCACGUCUACUUGCCAAUUGCACACUCAAUUUAGCUAAUUCGCAUCACAAUUGAUUAAUAAACACUAAUCCAUACUAAUCUAACCAUCUAAACCUAAUUAAUUAAAACUAAAACAAUCUUAAGCACAAUUAGCCAACUAAUCCUUAGCCAACUAAUCAGGGAUUAGUGAGAUUACUCACCGGAAACGCACGCAAAACUUAUCAAUCUGACGAGGAUGACACGAGGAACAACAAACUCCAAAGCGGGUCUCGAGUCCGGGGCCCGGAAACGGCCCAAAACGGUCCGCGAACCGGCUGGAUACCCACUCCGUGGGUUGCGGUUCAAGGCUGGCCGGAGCUGAUCCGGCGACUAGGGUGGCGAGGGGAGGCCGGCGGAGGGCAAGGGGUACACCAGGGAGGCCGGGCGGUGGCCGGACGAAGCUGGGCGGUGGCCAGAGGUGGCUGGUCGGGCCGGAACUGAGCUAAGCAGAGGCCGAACGGAGCUAGACGGCGCACGGCGAGGACAGCAGGCGCUGGCAGGAGGCGGCGGGGUGCGCGGCGUCGCGCGGGCGCGCGGUGCGGGCGGCGGGACGGGUGGCGACGGCGAGCUGCAGCUUCUGCUCGAGCUUCUGUUUCUGGUUCGCUUGCUCGAACGCGCGGAGGGGAGAAGGAGAGAGAGUGCGAGAGAGAGAGAGAGGGAGAGAGAGAAGAAGUCGGUUGGGGGGGGGAAAGUUGUCCGCACGAAGAGGGAGGGAAAGGGGAGAGGAGAGAGAAGAGAGAGAAAAAAAGAGAGAAAAAGAGAGAAAAGAAGAGAGAGGGAGAGAGGGAAAAAUAAAAUAAAAAUACUACAAUUAUUCUUAUUUUAUUUUAUUCUCUUUUCCUUUUUAUUUUCUUUUGAUCUUCAAUUUUCCUCUGAUAAUUUAUUUAUUGAAAUUUCGGACUCGUCAAUAAUUUGACGGCCGAUGAGAUAGGAUCCUAAAAAUGAAUUGUGACACGCUUGAAUAUUCGAUUCCCGAAACUAAAUUAAAUUUUAUGGUUAGAAUCAAUCAAACGCGAUUUUAGUCCAAUCCAACCAAUUGAGUAGCUUUUAGGGAUUUUACUGCAGAUACAUCCUUUAACGGCUUCACCCAAUAGGUUAAUUAACUUGUGAGUGAUCAGCUCAGAGAAAAAUGACCAUAAGCACGUUGAUGAAAUGCCCAUUUCACUUUAUCGAAAACAUGGUCGAAUUUCAGGAUGUCACAUUUAGUGUAAGCUGUAGUCUUUUCUCUUAUCCGGGAUGCUCUUGGUUUAAGAGAAAAUAGAAGAAAUGACAGUGUAAAAUGGUGAUGGUGUCGUGGCACUUCUUGGUCUUCUCAUUUUGCCAUCUAUCAAGCUAAAUUUAAAUGUGAUGAAUGGAUAUUUGCCAGUCUACCUACAGCUUUCUCUUCUUUCUUUUUCAUUUGAAAAUUCUUCAUUAGGAUUGUUUUUUGUGAUUAUGUUUGUUUCCCUGUUUCUGAUUACAAGAGUCGAUCAUGUGCAAGUGUUCUGCAUGGGCUUGUCCUAUGAUAAUUUAGGCAAACCAAACAACUUUAGUGUAAGCUGUAGUCUUUUCUCUUAUUUGGGAUGCUCUUGGUUUAAGAGAAAAUAGAAGAAAUGACAGUGUAAAAUGGUGAUGGUGUUGUGGCACUUCUUUGUCUUCUCAUUUUGCCAUCUAUCAAGCUAAAUUUAAAUGUGAUGAAUGGAUAUUCGCCAGUCUACCUACAGUUUUCUUUUCUUUCUUUUUCAUUUGAAAAUUCUUCAUCAGGAUUGUUUUAUGUGAUUAUGUUUGUUUCCCUGUUUCUGAUUACAAGAGUCGAUUAUGUGCAAGUGUUCUGCAUGGGCUUGUCCUAUGAUAAUUUAGGCAAACCAAACAACUUUAGUGUAAGCUGUAGUCUUUUCUCUUAUUUGGGAUGCUCUUGGUUUAAGAGAAAAUAGAAGAAAUGACAGUGCAAAAUGGUGAUGGUGUUGUGGCACUUCCUUGUCUUCUUAUUUUGCCAUCUAUCAAGCUAAAUUUAAAUGUGAUGAAUGGAUAUUCGUCAGUCUACCUACAGUUUUCUUUUCUUUCUUUUUCAUUUGAAAAUUCUUCAUUAAGAUUGUUUUCUGUGAUUAUGUUUGUUUCCCCGCUUCUGAUUACAAGAGUUGAUUAUGUGCAAGUGUUCUGCAUGGGCUUGUCCUAUGAUAAUUUAGGCAAACCAAACAACUUUAGUGUAAGCUGUAGUCUUUUCUCUUAUUCAGGAUGCUCUUGGUUUAAGAGAAAACAGAAGAAAUGAUAGUGUAAAAUGGUGAUGGUGUUGUGGUACUUCUUGGUCUUCUCAUUUUGCCAUCUAUCAAGCUAGAUUUAAAUGUGAUGAAUGGAUAUUCGCCAAUUUACCUACAGUUUUCUUCUCUUUCUUUUUCAUUUGAAAAUUCUUCAUUAGGAUCGUUUUCUGUGAUUAUGUUUGUUUCCCUGUUUCUGAUUAAUUUUUCUUUUGUGUUACACGAACUGCUAUGGAGGGACUCUUUUUGUUUUGUCGUCACUACUUCUAGUCUGUUGAUACAGCCGCAAUGUUGCAUGCCUCAAUUUUUUUUGACUUGCUGAGCGGGAGUUCUUCAUUUUUAUCGUGGCUCUACUUCUUGCAUUGUAUCAAAGGGAAGUAUGCAAUUUUUGGAUUUAUUGUCAGGUUUUCCGUACAUUUAGCUAGUUGGACUUGGACAGAUUAUGUCAACAUCUUAAGGCGCGCAUGACAAAAUUUCUAUUCCCGGGACAAGUUUCCGAGCAAAAAAACUCGUUUGAUAACGACUUAAAAUUUCUAUUUCUGGAACAGAAAUUCGUUUGAUAACAUAAUAAAAUUUCUAUUUCUAGGAAUAUAAAUUGAUUAGAUACAAACAUAGGAAAUCCUCAAAGACAAAAUAAUAGUUGAAGUAAUACUAAAACAACAUAGGAAAUCAUUGAAUACAAAAUAAUAGUCGAAAUAAUACUAAUACAUUACAAAAGUUGAAAAUACAAUUUCAUGGAAUUUUCGGCAUAUUAUUAUCCCUUGCCAUUUUAUUGGCAAUGGUUUUUCUAAGCGUAUUUAUUUGGUUUCCCUCCUCGGUCAAUGUAUCAUUUGCAAGAUCAUCUUGCAUAAGUUCAGACAAGUAUUGCGGAAGCAUGAAUAUGGGUGCCAUCAAUGGCGCCUAUAUAGCCCUGUCAUUUUAUCAAAGACUAGUAUUAUACAAGAUUAUCAACAAAAUAAAAUUGAUGGUGUAAAGGAAUAUCUGAGAAUUCUACCUUGAAGUAACGCUUAUGGUUAGGAACCAAUCGGGGGAAGGUCGGUUUAUUUUGAUUCUUGAAUUGAAUCAGUCCAGUUGUUCAUCCCUAAUUUCUUUAUUGUUGCUCAAUGAACCUUUAAUGGCUCUUGCAUAGCAAAGAGAGAGAUUCUCUUGAAUCUCUUGUCUUCGAAUUAAAAUUCAAGAUUGUGUAACAAUCUAAUUAUUUUGAUUUUGCAAGAAUUUUGAAUCCGUAAAGAAAUAAGGUUAAAUUUCUAGGCACGUUUUUAUUCAUUUAUUGCAUAAGAACCUUUUCUUCAAUUGGCCAUGCGCGUGCCCUUUCUAGGAGGAAAGAGCCCCAUUGUUUUUAAAUAAGCAUUUAAGAACUUUAGUCGUUUUUGAAAAUUGGGGACCCAUUCGAUUGGCUUUCAUCCUAAAGAGGAAGUUAUAAAAAAAUUGAAAAAAAAAACACGAGCAAAAUAAGAAAAAGAAAAUUAAUAAUAAUUUGUGAAGUUGUGGUUAUGAGUGAAUUAAGUUAGCAAGAAAGCGCAAUGUUCUUUUAUAUGGUUUGAUUUCAAUUUCUGAUUUCAAUUUCAGAAACUGAGAAGUUAAAAAUUUCAGCUUUUGAUUUCUUCGACUUCUCUAUUUUUGGAAUAGAAAUCUGUUUCAGAAAUAGAGAAAUCAAAUUGCGUUACCAAAUAGAUUUCUGUUCUAAACUUGUUCCGGGAAACAUAGAAACAGAGAAAUCAAUAAAUAGAAAUUUUGUCAUGCACGCCCUUAGUAUCUACUUGUGAUGGAGCUGUCACAUGAUGCCUUCUGAUCACAAAAACACGACGAUUGGAGCCAACAAGAGCACAAUCAGCGUUACUCCUCCAGAAACGAUGACCAUGUCAUUAAUGGUCAACAGGCUAAAAAAAAUGUGACUGCAAUUUGAAGUAAUUACCAGUCAAACAUGAAUAAUUCUUCAUUCCAUCCACAAGCCGAAGUAAACAUCCUGCACAAAUGCAGCGACCCAUGGCAAACCCGAUGCCAAGUGCACACAUUCUUUUGAUGAUCUAAGGCUGUCACGUGAAUGGGAAUCCUAGUGUCCGUUUGUUUCAAAAGAAAAUGUAACGUCUUUGAAAAAUAUUUUCCAAAAAAAAAAAGAGAGUAUUUUCGGUGUUUGGCUUAAACCCAAAGAUGAACUAGAUGAUCAUUUGGCUAGGAAAAAUUAUCAAUAAUUUUGAAUUUUUUAAUUAUUUUUUAUUCACUUUUUUUUCCUCCUUCCUCAACCAGUCGUCAUCGCUAGUCACCGCUGCUAGCUAUCAUCACUGGUCACUGCCCAGUUGUUAGUAGAUUUGCCAAUUUUCGAUCGCCAAUCACUACUGAUCAUUGAUCAUGUGAUCAUUGCAGGCUAUCACUAGCAAAGGAAGAAGCAAAACGAAAAAGAAAGAAAAUAAAAUAAUAUAUAAUAAUAAAUAAUUAAAAUUUCGAAUAUUUAGAAAAAAUAAUUAAAAUUCGAUUUUUUUUUAAAUACAAAAUGAUUAUACGUUUUUCAAAGUACUUUUAUAAUAAUAAAUGUUUCAUUAACCAAGGACCCCUGCACGGCCAUUGUUGUCCCAGACUUGAGGGUUAAGAUCAAAGAGUGAGUGCUGGGGACCCAAGCACGAUCUUUUAUGAACUUGGGCUCGAGUGCCAAAGUAUUAUGUAUAGGCACCAUGGGAUUGGGCCUAGCCUUGAUGGAUUCGGGCAUGGGUGCUAGGUCCCAAGCCCCAGAAUUGAGUUCUUAGGCCCAGCCUCAAUGGUCCCAGGCCCAUUUGCUGAAGACCUGCUUUUGAACGUUGAGACCUAACGUUAGGGUUUCCGUGUCCAAGCAUAAAGUUUCAAGUCAGAGCAUCGACACCUAGUUAUUUUUUGGAAGAUGUUUUAUGAUUCUUUCCAAGAAAAAAUCAUUUUUUUGAAUUUAAAUUUUAAUAGGAAAACAUUUUUCGUUGACUCAUUUUCCUAAAUGAACCAAGCGCCGGAAAAUAAGAAAAAUAUAUAUAUAUUUUUAAAAAAUUUCACAAAAUAAACGGACUGUCAUAGAUCUCUUUAGCUAAAACGACUGCAUAAAACUAAUCCAGUGGUUUCAUCUACUCUAUAGUGCCAUUCACUUUCUUCAAUCCCUCUGUUUCUUGGGAUUGCGUGCACUUCAUUUAUACGGAACCUUUGGGUGACGGUCAACUGCUCUAAUGGAGUCGAUGUGCCGUGACCACAAGUGAGGAGCCCAUGUACACAAUCAUAGCACAGAUGUUGAUACAGUACCUAUUGUCGGUUGCAUACAAUUUGCAACCUCGCUCUGUGCGGUGAGCACAUAACUCUCAUCAUAUAAAGGUUCAUUGAGAUAAUUCGAAGAGGACAUCAUUCUAAACGGCCAAAAUUUAUAUUGUCCAUCAUGCAUAAUAAAUCAUAUAAUAAACCACAUUCGAGACAUGAGAUCAUACUGAGGAUGGGAACUUAUGGGCUUUAAAGUCCCAGCCCUAAUAUGUAUGAUAAAACUAUAAUUUAACAUUAAAGACGUGUUUGAUAACAUUUCUGUUCCGGGAAAUAAUUUAUUUCAAAAAUAGUUUUUUAUCUAUUUCUACUCCCUAAAAUAAUUUUUGAGUAAAAAAACAUAUUUGGUAACUAUACAAAAUUUCUAUUCUUGGAAUUAAAAAAGAAUAGGAAUACGUUUGGUACAACUCACAAUUUCUUUUAAUUUUUUAGUAAUUCUUUUAGGAUUUUUUUUUAUCUUUCUUCUUCUUCUUGCUCCUUCUCUAGCUGUUGCCGUCGUGGCCACCGGUGGCCAGUGACCAAUGGCCGAUGGCGGCAAUGGUAGUAGCGGUGGCCGGUGACCGACGGCGGCAAGCGGUUGAUUCGGUAGAUGGUGGGGAAGGAAGAAGGAAAAAAAAGAAAAAACUUAUUUUUAUAAAUUAUUCUGGGAAUAAAAAGCUACUUUUUUCUAUUUCUUAUUUUUGUUCCAAAUCUAUUCCCCAGCCACAUUUCUAUUUUGAGGAAGAGAAAAAUUAGUUGACGUUACCAAAUGGAUUUUUAUUCUUUUUUUUUAAUUCCGGGAAAAAAAGAGAAAAAAAACAAUGAAAUUGAAAGUUGCCACGCAAGACCUAAGCUUCAUGCUAUCAAAGCCACAUACUAAAGCACGGAUACUACGAACCUCAACUCACCUUAAUUUUGUCAAGAUGUCCCAAGCGAAACAAAGAGGCGAGGUGUGCUGCUGAAGGAAAAACUAUGAAGGCAAAGUAACCGUGAGGGCACAGGUGGAGGUUUGGGUACGGAUCAACGUGUUGGACAUGGCGACGAGGCUAUAUGCCGUCGUCAGGAGCUAGCUGGGGUGUCGGGACUGGUCGUGCAACCUAGAAUAUUGCCGAAGCUGCUAGACAGAUCGGUGGAGGCUCUGGUUGCGAUGAGGGAGCUGGCAGCGGUUGCUGGACAUUCCCUAAGAAACUUGUUGGAAUGCUAGGAUGAUGAGGGGCUCAACUGGUCUGGCGAGGUGGAAUUACCAGCAAUGACAGGGCACAGCAACUAGUCUCGCUGGAUGUUGUGAUAUCUCUAGAUUAACUCACUCAAGGAGAUAGUGUCUGCAUUUUCUACUUUAGCCCAUCCCAUACCGAGCUUACAAUUUUGUUUUUUGGCGUGCAGACCGGCCUUUUCCUAGGUUAUCACCCAUUCUUUACAGGCCCACCAGCUUCAACUCAGUUCGUUCCCAAACCACAUAUUGUAAAGGUUCUUGAUCUAAUAUCAUAUUGCGAAAUCCCUGAAUUAAGUAUUUUUCACUUUAACCCGUCUCAUACUGAGUCUCAAUUUUGUCGUUUUGCGUACAAGUAGGCAGCAAAGUUUUGCCUUUACGUCAAAAGGCACUUCCGUGUGUUAAUUUAGUUUUUCAAGUACAUAUCUCAGAAAUGCUCUCUCCUAAUUCAGUGCAUAAUUUGAUUAAUUCCUGCCUCAUUUGUCAUCUUUCGCCAAGGUUGCAAGAGGCUCGGCGAAACUGUUGGGCUUCCACCAGAGAACCUGCAGGAACACCGUGAGCGCGAGGAAUUCAAACGGCGGCUUAUUGGCACUGCUGGAAAGGACUACUACCGGACGACUGCCAAGAUGAGGAGGAGUCGCUGGUAGAGAAUCUCCUGCACGCGGCUGAAUGGAUGGGAUGCACCGGAGCUUCGAUAGACGCGCUGAGAGAGAGAUGAGAGGGGCGAGAGAGCUUCGCUAUGAAAAUUCUUUGAGCGCGUGUGUUUGUUGAUCGUUCCCCCCAUUCGAGUGGUCUCUGGAGUCUCUAUUUAUAAGUAUUUGGAAAUCCCAGAGACAAGGGUGUGAUUUUUUUUUUCCAAAAUGAGACGAACAUCGUGACUUCAAAUUGGAUGUCCCCCCAUUCGCUACGGAAAUUUCAAUUUUUGAGCACCAACUUUUAUCCGAAAAUUCCAAUUCACUGCUUUUAACCUUCCCCCACCCCUCUCCUCUCUCUUUAAUAUCCAACUGUGGAUAAGGAGAGCAGUUCUAGAUUCUAUACAAAUUUCAACCGAAAUCUACCCGCUAAAAUAAGUUUCUCAACUAUGGAUAAGGAGGCCAUCGAAAUGUUCACUCCUUUGCUAGAUCAAAGCCAUAAUUCAUCUAAUCAUUGGUUUCUUCCUAAAUAAAAGCAUUAAAAUAAGGGUGAUCCCAAUUCCAGUUCCCGAUGCUGCUUUUUCUUGAAAAAACAUAGAAUAUUUCGAAACAGCAAUCUCACUUCAUCACUUUAUUGAGGCUUUUAAGUUGUGAAUCUUUAUAGAAAAUAGACAACGAAAAACACAAUUUAACAAAAUACCUAUUAUGGCUUUUGUCCCCAGAAUGCCACAUUUCCCUGCUAUGACACAAAUGCUUAUCAAAUAAAUCCCGAACGAAGUUGGGAUGAAACUAGUAAAAGAGUGCUUCCUACAAUAUGAUAGACCGUACAUAUAUCUCGAAUGGAAACAUGUGCUCAUGCUUGGAUCCACCCUGAAAGAACAGUUUUAUAGGUAGAGUUCUCAACAUUUUAUAUUUUAAUUGCACGCUUGGUCAGAUUUUAGCAUCACUAGUGGAGGCGGAAGCUUUUUUCUGUUUGGUUGCACGCACAACAAAAUUCCACAAAGAAAGUCAAGUCACUUUAAUCUAACAUACGCAAAUUUUACCGUGAAUUUGGUGCACCUCUACUCAAUACAUUAAAACAAUUGGAUCUUGUAGGAUGCAGAAGGCAACCUCAAGAUCAAACAAUCAAGGCAGAAAAGGUUGAGGUGAAGUUCUAAUUUACACCUUCCCUCCGCAUAUAUAAAUGAAAGAUCAAGCAAAAGCAGUAGAUAUGAAAUGUCAGUCAAGAAGCAAAAGCAGAAAACGGAAUCCUCCAGGCUUUUACCAUCAUUGUAGCUAUAAGAAUGAGGAGCAUCUUGGCAAAGGCAAACAAAACACUUGCUGCAUUAAUUGCAGACCAAUUCAAUAGGAACCCCUUCUUAAUCUCACUGUAAUCCAUAGACAUCAGGGCUAGGGAAAUUGGCAUUUACGUAUAUAGGUAUGCUAACUGUAGAGUAGCAAGAGCUGACAACAUAAUAGUAAUCCAUUUCCUGUAAUGCUUCCUUGGAAGAGAAAGCAAAAGAAUGGUGGGUGGAAUUGCUAGCACAGUCCACUAAAUAUGUAAAAACUUGUUGGUUGGCUGUGAGGAUGCAAUUAUAGUAGAAGAAGAAAUUGGCUUUAGUGGAAUUGAGAUUGAAAGGCCAUCUUUUGAGGCUGAUAUUACGCACAGGAGCAUCACUUGAUUCCUGGUACACGGGGGCAUUAUAUAAGAGGAAUGAAUUGUGUGCAUAGAAGAUAUUCUUGAUAUUAAACCCCAUGUCCAAGAAAGUCAGGACAUGGUAUAUCUCUUUGCAAGUAAUCUUGAAAUUCGGAUUACCACAAUAGGACUCUUGUUCGCCACAAAUCCUAAAAGGGUAGCUGAUGUUCGGCUGAUAUCUGUAAUUCAGAGGCAUACAUGCCUCGUGAUGUGCAUCAUCCGAUAGAGCCAAAUAGACUAAGUUGGUGAAGAUGAUGUUAAUGACCAAUUGGUGACAAGUAGCUACUCACAUGAAGUUUUGGUGAUUCAUUUGGACCGGAAGGAGGUAAAGGAUUGCAGAGGAUAGGAGAAAGAGGUAGGAGAGAGUGCGUGUCACGCCCCGAACCCCGAGCGCGUGCCCAUCCCUUGGUGGUCGACAAAAAUUUGCGACUUUCCAGGACGAGUGCCGACCCUUUCUUUUUAUUGCACAUGCGGAAGUGAAUAAUAAAUCCUCUGACAGUAACCAUCUCGGGAUAGAAAAGCAGAACAAUAGAAUUACAAACACAACAUGCUUUUAUAAACCAGCUGAGUUAUAUAUAAAGGUCAGCAACCAAAAGUCUACAAAAGACGGUUCUCCAAAAAGAAGUUGUCCUAACUGACCUACUCCUCAUAUCCCCUCAGCUCGACUCCGGGUACUCUGCUCUACGGCCUUGAAAAUUGAGCCCACGACGGGGUGAGAUAUAAAUAUCAGCGAGUUCAUGCUCCAAACCCCGAUUAGGAGGGUAAUACAUCUGGAAGCGUUCUAACCACACAAUCACAGAGAUUUACCUCGUCUUAGAUUCACUCUACAGGUCAGCACAGUUCAUAUACAUCAAGCAUAAAUUCGAUGCAUGCAACAAUUGAAAUGCCUUACUCAACUCAAUAAAUCAUAUGGGUCCUGAUUAUAGGGCCAAAUCGUUAUGACACAUCCCAUAUCAUGUCACACAAUUUUGUUCCAUAAUUCAACACAUUUAUUUCACUUAACACGCGUUCCAAUUGAUAAUUAUGCCCACUUUAGGAUACAGCCUACUUGAAGUUUGGCGGUCUACUAUCGUAGUCAGGUAUCGUUUCACCUCAUUGAGCAUAGCUACGUCUCUCAAAGAUGGCUUUCCCGAAGGAGUAUAGGUCCAGACUUUACUGUGACCCAAAUCCCAUAUAGGGUGACGUCCAGUGUAAACGCUUGGGACAAGUUCUCUUAACCAACACACGACAAUUCAAUCUCGGCCCAGGACACCGUGCAUUGCACUCAAAUGCCUCAAUUAAAUUAGUAAUCUUGGCAUAUUUUCUUCGUAUUAAAAACAUUCGGUGAAAACAGUCGUAUGUGAGUACACGGUUAAAUUGGACCUGGAAAAUUCAUAACAUUCUUUUUAAAAUCCCACUGGUUUAAUAGUAUAUAAAACCAUUUUCAGUGUUUAAACCCGACACCUGGGAUUUUCUUAAUAAAUAUCAAAAUCCACAAAUUUUGGAAUUAAAUACUCAAAAUUUCAAUCAGCACUCAAUUUACAAAAACUAACACUCAAUUGCAAAAUUUAACCACACCAUUGCAAUCAGCACGAAAUUCCGAUCAUCAACUAUCCCAGUUUAAUUUCCGGAAAACAUUUAAUAAUUGAAUAAUUUCAAAAAAUUAAUUAAAUAAAUCAAUUUAAAUACCAAAAAUAUAAACUUAGGCUAAAAAUUGCUAAGCUAACCACCUAUUGAACUAAUUAAAUUAUCCUAAUCAUUCUAACUAUAAAGCCACCUAACGAGCUUACUAAAUUUAAGCUCUAACCACAUAAUUCACUAAUCUAACUAACCUAAAUUAAUUAAAUAAACUAAAACUACACUAGUCUAAACUUAAAUAAAUCUAAACACUCCUUAAACGUCAUUAGCCUACUAAGAAGAGUUUAGUGCAUAAACUCACCGAUUUAACGCGGAAACCGGUUUACCAUGAUUGUGGCGCGACAGCGGCCGAAACUUGAGAUUGCGGCGGCGCCAACGAGGCUCGGAUUGGGCCUAAAACCGGCCCAAUAAAUCUUAGCCCAAGCUAAGAUUUGUUCUGGAUUUGGGCUUGCCUCUUGGGCUUCAAGUGGGCUGCUGGACCAAAGCUAAAGAUGGGCUGAAUACUGGCAUGGACUGAACUGCUCAAUUGAUGGGCUGGCUUCUUGUGGGCUGUUGGCACGAACAAGCUAGGCUGAACAAAGAAGCAGGUGGGCUAGCGUCGAGCUGCACGAAGAGGAAGCAGCAGCUGGCGUCCAUGGAAGAGGGUUAUUGACUCAAGCGUGGCAGCAAACGGCAACUCGGUGGAGAGAGGGAGGCGGACUGGCAACUUCGGUGGGAAUCUCACACGGACGAUUGGCCGAGUUUGACCGAGUUUGACCGAGAAGGGGUUGAAUCUUGGACAGAUGGCCGCGGAUGAAGAGAGAGUAGUAGCUGAUUUUUCGUGGGGAUGGCUGAAUGAGCAGCAGCUUCGGUGAGACGCGUGGACGAGGCGGUCAACUUCAGUGGAGCGGCUUGAGGUUAGUUGACUGAAGGGAACACAACUUGGUGGAGAUGGGCUGCUAGCAAUUCCGCAGAGGCUGAAGGAGAAACGGUUGUGGGCGUGGGGUUUUGGUUGGGAAAAGGAGAGGACAAAUGGAAAAAAAAAAAAAAAAAAAGGCAGGGGCAGCUCGUCUUUUGCUAGAGCAGGAAUCGCACGAAGAAGACGGUGGGCAACUGGCGUCGGAGUGCAAGAGAAGCCACGGGAGAAGAAAGUCAACCAAGUUAUCCAACCCCUUAAAUGCUUUGUCCCCUAAAUACUUUCUUUGCAAAAUUAACCCACAAAUAAACCAAUUGAAGCCAAAAUUUGUAGCCUCUUCCAUAGUUCCGAAUUUCCCCAAAUUGAACUUCAAUUUCCUCUCCGAUUUCUCCAAUUUGAGGUCCGAUUUCAUUGAAAAAAAAUCCCCUACAAUUUUCUGCAAGUCCCCAACACCCAAAGGCUCGGCUUGGAAGUCCAAAUUUCCUUCAAUUUAGCCCAUCUGAAUUCACAUUAUUUUUCCGCAACGUUCGAAUCGAUUUUCCGUAAAAAUCUCGAAAUCUCCGAAAAUUCUUCGGAGGAUGAGUCGGCAUUCCUAAAAUGAUUUGUGACAUGACAGAACUUUCAAUUUCUAAAAUUGGGUUCAAAUUCGCAGUUAAUUUCAAUCUUGCGCGAUUUUACCGUAACCUAGUCUACCGGGUAGCUUUUAGGAAUUUUUAGUGCAAUUAACCCAUGGUCAAUUAUUUUCGAGUCACAAUGUACAUCUUCGAUACAUUGGCAACUCUCACUUAUCGUAAAAAUCUUGAGAUUUCAAAUAUGGACACCGGAUAUAGAAAUGACAAAAAAAUCGGUCUAAUGCAGUUUGACGAGAAUUUUGCAAUUAGGUUGAAUCACCCACACACUAAUCACAUAUCUCUAUCGAAUCGACCUAUCUCUAGUCUCUGAUCGAUUUUUGAUGGUGUCGUAGUGACCCUUGCAAAUCGACGCGGUCGAGUAGUUGAUUCCUAGUCAAAUUCUCAAGUCUAUUGCGUUAAAAUCCCUUAGUGGCUUCCCCCAAUAGUCUAGUUAUUUUAUGAGUGAUCAACUUAGAGAAUAGAACUAUAGGUGUGUCAAUGAAAGGUCUGAUUUAUUUAAUCGAAAACAAACUCUAAAAAUUCAAGUUGUCACAAUGCGUAAAGCAUUUGCAGAAAAAUCAAAUGGAGUUAGUUUGAAUUGGUCCUAACUCCUAUCACUGUUGUGUGUUAGUUCUUCAACUUCAAAGCCAAUACCAAGUGAGGCAAAAAGUGGUCUGAAGCAUGCAUAUGUAUCGAAUCGAAGCAUGUAUGGCCCAUGCAUGGAUCCACGCUCAUUAUAGUGCUUAUGCUAAUUAUAAAUAAGGUCAUGUCACGAUGAAAACCUAUAGCACCAUAGAGUUAAUUAUAUGUACAGUUCAAAUCUAUCAAUGUUACCUAUUUCAACUGAACACCUCAUCAGAUUUUAGCGCAACUGGAAUAGACGGAAGCUUUCUUUCUUUCAUUCCUUCCUUCCUUCCUUACUUCCUUCUUUCUUUCUUAUUUGGUCGUGUGCACAAGAAAAUCCCACUAAAAAAAGCAAGUUAUUUUGGUCCAACAUUUGAAAUUUUUAAUGUGAAUUUGGUGUAGCUCCAGCUUCACUCAAUACUUUUUAACCAUUCGAUCAUGUGGGACGCAGAUACCAACCUCCGCAUGUCGAAAUGAAGAUCAAGUAAAACAAUAGAUAUGAAAACUCAGUUAAGAAGAAAAACCAGAAAAAACUCCCCCAUCCACUUGCCAUCAUUGCAGCUUUGAGGAUGAGGACCAUCUCUGCAAAAGCAAACAAAAUUGUCGUUCUUAAAUCCACACCAUCCCUCACAUCCCUUGUAGUCGUUGCAAUUAAAUGCGGUCUAGUUCAAAAGGAACCCCAUCUACAUAAUCUCACUGUAAUUCAUAGUCGCCAAGCUAUCGAUAUUUGUAUUAACAUUAAUAGGUACACUAACUGCAGAGUAGCAAGUGCUGACGGCAGAAUACAAAUAUAUUUCCUGUAAUACUUCCUUAGGAAAAGAAGCAAAAGAGUGGUGGGUGGAGUUGCUAGCACAAUCCACUUUAUAUGUAAAAUAUGGCGGCGGUGAGGUGCAAUUAUAGUAGAAGAAGAAAUCGACAUUAGUGGAAUUGAAAAUGAAAGGCGUGCUUUCGAGGCUGAUAUUAUGUGGUGGAGCACCACAAAUGUCAUGGUACACGAGGGCAUCAACCAAGAGGAUAGAAUGCUUUGCAUGGAUGAUUUCCUUGAUGAUGAACUCACUGACCAAGAAAUUUAGGAUGGGGAAUAUCCCUAUGCAGAUGAUCUUGAAAUUCAGAUAACCACAAUAGGAGUCCCGCUCGCCCGAAAUCCAAAAAACCCCAGAAAGGGUAGCUGAUGUCCUGGCCAUAUCAACAGUUCCGAGGUGCGCAGGCCUUGUACUGCGCAUCUUCAGAUGCAGCCUGAUAGACUAAGCUGGCGAAGACAACGAUAGGGGCCAACUGGCAACAAUUAGCUUUGCAAUUGAAGCUUUGGAGAUUCAUUUGGACUGGAAGGAGGCAGAGCAGGAUAGAAGAGAAAUCAAAUGGAGUUAGUUUGAAUUGGUCCUAGCUAUGAUAACUGUCGUGCGCUAGUUCAUCAACUUCGAAGAAAAUGCCAAGCAAGGCAGAAAUUGGUCCCAUGCGUGCAUUAUUCAAGCACUCAAUGUAAAUGCAUCGUUGUCCUACAUGGAAAAUCUGCACUAGAAAGUCUUGAGGAACUGACCAUGAUACUUCCUAGUCAAAGGGACCUCUUAAUAAUGAUUACAUUGGAGGGCCCACCUACGUGUUGAAGUGUCAAAAUUGAUGAUGAUCUACCAAAUCAUUAGGAGCAAACCUUGAACCAUCUGAGUCAAAGGGACCUCUAAAUUACACUCAGGAACAAAGUUCCCAUUACAAAAAUCUUAGGAAAAAAGUAUUAAUUUAGUUUUAUAACUAUUAUAGGAGUGUCAAUUCAAUCUUAAAUUUUUCAAUUUUGUUAAUAUAAUUAUAAGUUUGAUGAGAUAUUCCUACGUAGUUUUUUCAACCAAUUGUUGUCAGAAAUCGUUGACGUGAUGAUCCACAUAUAAUACAAUCGGCGAUGAUUGGACACCAUACUAGCAAUUUCUAGCGUAAGUUUUUUGAAAGAACUACUUUGAAAUUUCGAGUAAAUGUUUAGGACUACAUUGAUAAAAUUGAUAAAUGUAUGAAAAAAUUAACAUUUACACAAUAAAUUUGGGACUGACUAGUAAUUAUCCCACAAUUCUUACUAAGCAACGCAAAAAAUUGUUCAUUUGUUAUCAUUUCAUCCAUUAUACAAAUUUCAGUGCUAGCAAUAUAUAUAUAUAUAUAUAUAUAUAAAAUUUAUGUUGCAUAUUUCCUUGGGAUUUUUGUCCCACAUCCGAUUAUCGAUUAAUCUUUCUACUUGAUUAUCCAUGUUUUUGUUCUAGCUAUAGAGAUCAUGAGAUUGCAUGUUUUUCAUCUUACAUGUGGUAUCAGAGCAACCAUAAUCUAAAACUCAAAUGCAUAGAAUACUCUAUUUCAAACUAUGUUAAAAUAUUAAUUAAUGUAGCCCACAUUAAAAAAAACUCUUACACUGUAAAUACUCUAUUACAAACUAUGUUAGUCUGAUGUAAUUGAUAUUGAAUUGUCCCGAGUCAUUUCUCUCUAGCAUAGAUGAACUUUCACAUGGACAAGCCUCGGGUGAUCUUGAGAGUGAUGACAAGGAUGGUUUGGGAGGUAUUUGUAAGGUCUCAACACUACCUUUUAGCAUCUCCACAACUUCGGUCAUUGAUGGUCGAGCUCUUAGAUUGAUUUGAAUGCACCAUAAGCCUAUUACAAUCAUCUUCUUUGCAAUUCCUUCAUCUUCCUCAUUUGUGAUCCCAUGUAGUCCAAGCUCUUCUCGGAGCUCCAAGCGUCGGUGGACCCAAUGAGGAAAAUAUAUUUCACUCGUAUGAUCUACCGUGACUUCAAUAUUUUUCCUCCUGCCGACCAUCUCUAGAAUCAUCAUGCCAUAACUAUAGACAUCUGAUUUGUGAGAAACCCUUCCGAUGUUCCUUAAAAUUAGCUCCGGAGCAAUGUAUCCAGCGGUGCCUCUGGCACCAAGCAAUGACACAAUGCUCUCUUCUCCUGGGCAUAUUUUGGCAAGACCAAAGUCGGAAAUCUUGGGACGAUAGUUUGCAUCAAGAAGAAUGUUGUGAGGCUUUAUGUCCAAGUGCAAGAUCCUUGUAUUACAUCCUCUAUGCAAGUACUCUAGCCCAUGAGCUAUGCCGAGCGAAAUCUGGUACAAUGUGUCCCAACUCAAUUGCUAAUCUACCUCCAAAGUGUUACUCCUGUUGAAUAUGAAUUUUUCGAGCGAUCCAUUGGGCAUGAACUCAUAAACCAAAGCUCUUUUGCUUCCUUCAAAACAAAACCCCAAGAGGUUAACAACAUUGAUAUGAGAAGUCCUACUUAUGCUCGCAACUUCAUUGAAAAAUUCUUCAGCAUUGCCUUUCGGCUUCUUUAGAAGCUUUACUGCCACAAAUUGAUCAUCUCGAAGCUUGCCUUUAUACACGCAGCCAUAGCCUCCCUCGCCUAACUUUUCUUUGAAAGAGUUGGUCAUCCUCUUGAUGUCUUUGUAGGUGUAUCUUCUUGAAGAGACGAGUCCCUCAAUCUUCAUUUUGCCAUCGACAUGUUUGCUCCUAUGCUUUAUCAAAGCCAUAAUAAUUCCGAUCAUUGAUUUCUUUUUGAAGGAAAGCGUUAAAAUAAGGGCGAUCCCAAUUCCGGCUCCCAAUGCAGCCAUUCCUGAAAAAAUGGAGAAUAUUUUUUAACAGCAAUCUCACUUCUUCAAGGAUUUUAGGAUAUUUUGGAAAUAUUGAUUCCAUUGAGCAACGAUGCAAGAUUACUGCCAAAAAGUCGCAACAAAUUGCGGAGGAGAAUGUAGAGAAGUGGAAGAGAAAUUCUUGAAAUAAUUACCUAUUCCAAUUUUCAGUCCAACCCUUUGUUUUCCUACCCUUUGUUUUCCUGAGACAAUAGUCAUCAAGAGAGAAAAAUGUGUCAACGAAUUGCAAACUGAUAACUUCAAAGUGUCUAAGAGAUAUAAAGAUCAGGCACAUCAUAAGGUAAUAGAUCAUUCUGUUUCAAGGAAGAAAAAAAACCCCCAUCGAGUGAAAAUAUUACAGAUUCACCAGUUUGGAUCAAUUAGUGACAUCUUGCCAGAGAAAUUGGAAACACGUGCAAAUGGAUCUAUGCCUGAUUGACUAACAAGUAUAGACAUGAGCUAAAAUCCUUAUUUGUGAGCUAUUAGGGGAUGAACAGGAAGACAUAAAAAAAAAUUAGCCGGUUUAGAAGUAGCAAACAAGCUGAAAUAUGAUCGACAAUGUGGUAUCAGAGGCGGAGACAGAUAAAACUUUCUGUGUAUUGAAUGGGCGGUAUAUUCUGGACAUGGCUCAACUCUUUUAGCCUCUAAGCGGACCUAUAGGCUUGAUUAGAAGUCGUCCCACAGAUAAAACAAGUGGGCAGCUCAUGUUCAGGCAAGAAUUUUCAAGCUUCUUGAAUCGUGAACAUCCAAUUGAUAACUAGCAAACUAUUGCAAAAAGAUACAAACAUCAAACUAUUGCAGAAAGAUAGAAACAUCAAAAUAUGAGGUUCCCAUAAGAUGUCUUGGGACCCAACAGAUUGGAGAGUUUUGUUUGCAGCAGUAAGCGAGUCCGCAGUCUAAGCUAAGGCGAAGAAAUUGGAAAAGCCUAAGGACAGUAUCCAUAGCACGUAUAAAUGAUACGGUAAUUAAAUAACAGUAAAAACAUUUUCAGUAUUUUUUUCCCCACUAUCAUCAUGAACAAAAUUUUCAUUGAUUGUGCAAAUAUUUAAUUAAGUGCGCAGUUCACCUCUAUCAAUAAUAUAUUUCAACUACCCAAAUGAUCAUUUGGUUGUGGUCAUAAUAAAAGCCCAAGAAGAAACCAGUAGUUUUAACCCAACAUUUGCAAAAUUUUACAGUGAAGUCGGAGCAUCUUCACUCAAUUUAUUUAAACCAUUUUAUUGCAGUCCAGUUCAAUAGGAACUUCUUCAAGCUAGUGAAAUCGGCAUUAACGUGAACAGGAAUGCUAAUUGCAGAAUAGCAGGAGCUGACGACAGAAUGGUAAUUCAUUUCCUGCAAUGCUUCCUCGGGGAAAAAAACAAAAGAAUGGUAGGUGGAGUUGCCAGCAUAGUCCACUGGAUAUGUAAAAAUUUGUUGGCUGCGAGGCACAUUUAUAGUAGAAGAACAGAUCGGCAAUAGUAGAACUGAGAUUGAAAGGAGUCCUUUCGAGGCUGAUAUUACGCUGCGGAGAAUCACAGGAUUCCUGCUACACAGGGCCAUUAACCAGGAGGAACGAAUUUUUUGCAUAGAAAAUAUACUUGAUAACGAAUUCCUCAUCCGAGAAAUCAGGACAGGGUAUGUCUCUUUGCAGGUAAUCUUGAAAUUUGGAUAGCCCCAGUAGGACUCUUGUUCGCCAUAAAUCCUUAACGGUUAGCUGAUUUUCGGCGCAUAUAUGCAGUUCUGAGGCAUGCAAACCUUGUAUUGUGCACCGUCCGAUAGAGCCAGAUAGACUAAGUUGGUGACCAUGAUAAGGACCAAUUGGCGACAAUUUGCUACACAAACGAAGUUUUGGUGAUUCAUUUGGACCGGAAGGAGGCAGAGGAUUUCAGAGGAUAGGAGAAACAAGUAGCAGAGACUGGAAAACAUUUGCGGAAACAUCAAAUGGAGUUGGUUUGAAUUAGUCCUAACUCCUAUCACGGUCAUGUGCUAGUUCUUCAACCUUGAAGCAUAUACCAAGCGAGGCAGCAAAAACAAGUCAAAGGGACCUCUAAAUUACAAUUAGGAGCAAACCUCCCAUUAUACAAUUUUCACGACUAGUCAGUGAAAACAAGUCUCUCUAAUGAAGACUUGAUGGCCAAGCAGUAGCUAACUUGAACUUGCUUGGUUCCCCCAAAAGAGAAGUCAUAGAAAAGUCAUUCUUGUCACAUGAUAUUCUCGGAUGGAGGAAGACAAAACAAGUAUAGCGCCAUUGAAUUUCCAACAAAAGAAACAAGUGGAUCACAUUCAAACAAAUCAAGUUUUCUCUGGACAUAUUCUCGGGGUCCAUUGGCCAUAGGAUCUUCGCAGUACUAAGUGAAACUAACUCCACAGAAGCUCAAGGUUUAAUGAUUUCGUGCAUAAUCUACACAGUCAAUAGUAGAAUCUCAUGCGCUGGUAUAAACAGGAACCCACCAAAUGAAGUUAAGAAUGAUAUCCUGGGUAUGCUACCAAAAGAACAUACCAGGGUCGUUGCAGGUACAAGCGUGGGGUUUGUUGCGGCAAUAACACGUGAAACUAGACGAUGAAGAAGAGGAGUUGCUGCUGCAAAACCCGCCAGAAGAAGCACAAGUCAGGCAAUCAGGAUGGUCAAUAUACUGAGUAUCAAACCCUUGAUUCAGAGCUUCCUGCAAGUUAAUAUUGCCUCUUUCUAGAUCAUUGAGCGUGCUCUGAAGAAUAGGAACCUUGAUGCUCGUGAUGCAGCUGUUGACGAACAGAGGGAGCUCUCUGUCCAAGAAGAUGUCAUCUAUGAAGAAAGCCGACUUCCUGAUGAAAUCAUAGAAGCACUUGAACUCGUUGCUUAUGUUCUUCAUUGUGUCCAGACAUCCAUAGAAGAUGCUGAGGCUCUUAACGGCAGGGGUCAUAUGGAAGAGAGUGGAAUCCAUUAUGCUAGUAUUCCUAAACUCAUGCAGGCACGUACCCUCCAUCAGAUCCAUCCUAGUGAUUGUCAUCGUACGAAGAUGUUGAUCAAUCUUGAGGACUCGAUACUUUUGCUCUUGGUACUCAAAUAUAGGGAAUUCAUCCUCAUAGCACUCGACCCUGAAUGCUGGAAGUCCACAGAAUUGGGGUCGGCUGCCUCCCCAGAAAGGAUAAGUAAUAUUUGCAAUCGUUCCGCAAUUAAAAGAGCGGUAGCAUUCGGUAUAGUAAACAUCGUUGUCUCUCUCGCAUUAAAGAACUUGUGGGAUGAUGAGGCCGAUGAGGAUGAAAACGAGGAUGGAGCAUGUAGGGGAGGAGAGAUGGAGAGCGGCUGUGUUGCCCAUUUGAGUAAGUUCAUGCUCCCAUGGGUGGAGAAUAAAUUGUGGAACGAGUGUUGAGAGUUCAGAGGGGCAAGCUGACAAUGGAGAAAUUCUUUUUGUAUUCACUUUCUCUAGACUCAACUGUGAAAGAGAUGGACGUCGUUAAUUCUUCCUCACUAUAAUAUAGAAAACUAUUCUGACUGUCAACUUUGACCGAGAUCAGUUUUAGUCUUCUGAAAUUUCGUGGAGGGAAAUCAAAGGGAUGGCUAUCGAGCGUUGAAACUGGGUCUAGGGGCGAAGUGAUGAGGAAGAUAUAGGAAACAUACGAAGCAAUUUCCUCCGGAGUUCUUCCUACGUAGUUGAAAAUGUAAAGUGAAACCUUUUUUAAGGUUCUCACUAUGGAAAAAGUCUAGCCCAUUCGAGGGGUCAGGAGUUGAUAUUGUGGAAAGUAAAGAGCAAGUCAAAUCUAAAUUUUAGGUUAAUUGACUUAUCGGCUAAAUGCAUUCCAAUUUAAAUUACUGGUCCGUGAUGUGAAAACACUAAACUCGGAACAUCUUUGCUCGUCAUAUUUAAACCGUUGGAUCUUGCGGGUUUGCAGAUACAGACCUAAUGAUCCAACAGUUAAGGCAAGGAAAGCUGUUAAGAAUGGGGUGAUAAAGUUUUAGGACUUGGAGUCUAAAUUUUGGCAUGAUUAUGUCACAGCGAGAAUGAGAUUUCUGCACUUUAUUAUAUCAGAGAGAAGGGCAUGCCCAGCCAAAUGAGACUGUCAGGCUUUUAGGGGGCAUGAGCGGAUCGUUUUUCCAUAUAACAAUCAAACCUAGCAAUCCCUCCCAUGGAAUAAUAUUAACUAAUUGAAAUCCACAAGUUAGAGGAGAGUAAGCAUGCAUACCCGGUAGGCCGCAAGUCGUUGAAUAGACUCCCUCAGGGCAAAAACAACUAAAUUCUUGCCCUGCCCAGCCAUACCCGCAUCUUCCCCCGGAUUUAUUGCAACUUUCGCACUGCGAAGUUUUGAGAAUCCAGGUGAUCUCAAAGCCUUUGUUGAGGAUCUCACUAAUAGUAGGAUUAUUGUUGCCGUCCAUUGAAGGUGGAGGAAAACCUAGAGGUUCACUUUUUGAAAUCGGGACAUGAACAAUGGAACUGCAAGUGCUGAGCGGUGGAUUUGGAAGGUCGACCCUGGGAACAAAGUAGCCAUCUCGAGACUUGGCACAAGAGAACCGAUAAGGUGGAGAGGUCGGCCAUGUAUGGUUUGGCCAUGAGUCGCAAUCGCAGAAUAAGGUGGAAUUGAGGUCAUUGGAAGUGUACUCGAAGAGAUUCAAGUCUAAAGUGGUUUCAUAAUAUGCUUCGAGACAUAUAUUUUCUGAUAAAUCCAACCUAGCCACCACAAGGAUCUGUGUGCUGGUAUUCAUGUGGAUCACUCAAUAUUCCAGGGACUCCAUGGACAGGGUCGGGUUAUCUCCUUUGCAGUCGAGCUCGUAGUCUAGAUGCCCACAGUGACUCGGUCGCUUAGGGCCUGCAUGGAAACAUUUCUCGUUUUUGUUUCUGAACACUUUUUUUUGUUUUUUUGUUCCCGGAACAAAAUUGGAGCAAAAAAAAGAAACACAAAAAAGUUACUUCUUGUUCCAGAAACAAUUUUGAAGAAACACUUUUUCUUCUCUCUCCUCUUUUCUUCUUCUUUUUCUUUUUCUUUUUUUUUUUGCCGGUCGCCGGCCUUGGCCAUGGCCGGCGACCGGCCGUCGAGGGCUGGCGACGCCGUCGAGGGUCGGCAACCUCGCCGGAGCGUCGCCGGGGGCCGGCAAUGCUCGGCCUCGCCAGAUCUGGGCGAGCCCGAGCUCGCCCAGCCAAGGCGAGGCUGCCGGCCGAAAGAAGAAAAAAUAAAAAAGAAAUGAAAAAAUGAAAAAUAAAAUAAAUAUAUUAAAAAAUUAAAAGAAAACAAAAAAAGAAUAAAAUUUAUUAAACGUGUUUUUAUUCAUUUUUUAUUCCCGGAACAAACGUUACUAAAUGCGUUCUUUUGUUCAAAAACUGUUCCCCGGAAUAGAAACACUUUUUUUUGUUUCUGUUCCCUGGAACAAAAAAAAAAUAGAAACAUUACCAUGCAGCCCCUCAUUAUCCCUGAAACGAUAGCUGAUUUCUUGACCUCCACAAUUAGAAGGAGCGCACUCUUCGAACGGUGGGAACACUUGGACUAAUAUUCCCCAUUUUACAAUUCCUACACGCAGCCCCGACUAAUCAACGAGCUUUGCCAAUCUCCUUCAUGGUUCACUUUGAGGAAACUUCAAUAAGGACCUCACGAACGUCGUUUGCAGCAUUCUAGACAGAAGCAUGGCCAUCACCUAGACUAGAGAACAGAAGGGAUUAGAGCCUCAGAACUGAGGCGGCUAAACUUCCUCGGGACGAGUUUAUCUUUACUUUGCCUAGUUAUCUUUUUUGAACUGAUUUGACAGGUGAUAUUGACAUAUCAUUAGCCCAAACUGCAACACAGGGUCAAAAAGGGCCACAACUCCUUAGCCAAGCCGAAUUGAGCCCAUCUCUCGUGAUUUACGAUGAUGAUGAUCCACACUAGAUCUUUAGCUAGGAAGCAAUAGCUUGCCAUCUUUUUCAUGAAAGAAAUUGCUCAGGCCUCAAGUACUGAAGAUAAGACUUGAGCAGCGGCAGUCAGUAUAGUGGACACCGUCGUCUCCCUUGCAUAAAAGAACUUGCGAAACGAUGAGGAUGAUGAGAACAAUGACGAGGAUGGAGUGUGAAGGGAAGGAGAGAAGGAUAGUGACUGCAUCACCCAUUUGAGUAAGUUCAUGCUCUUAUGGAUGGAGAAUAUCAUGUGGAAUGAGGGUUUGGAUUUCAGGGGGGCAAGCUGAGGAUGGAGAAUUUUUUUUUAUAUUUACUUACUUUCUCCGGUUUGAAGUGUGAAAGAGAUGGAUGUGGUUAAUUCCUCAGUAAAAUAGAGGAAGCUACUCUGAACGUGGACUUUGACCGGCAUCAGUUUCAGUCUGAUGAUAUUUCGUGAAUGAGGGAAAUAAAAGGAAAGAAUGGCUAUCGAACGUUGAAACUGGGUGUGGGGGUGGAAGUGACGAGGAAGACAGUGGCCAGGAAACAUGCGAAGUAAUUUCCCCCGGAAAUCAUCAUAAGUAGUCAAAAUUGAGAAGUGAAACCUUUUUUCAAGGCUCUCACCGUGGAAAAAGUCUAGCCCAUUUGAGGGGUCAAGAGUUCAUGUUGUGGAAAGUAAAGAACAAGUCAAAUCUAAAUUUUAGGUUGAUUGACUUGUCAGCUAACUCCUUCUGAUUUAAAUUACUUGUCUAUGAUGUGAGAUUUUACAGUAAACUUGAAGCAUAUUUGCUUUUCGCAUUUAAAACAUUGGAUCUCGUGGGUUUGCAGAUACCGACCUAAUGAUCCAACAGUUAAGGCGAGGAAGGUUUUUGAGUAUAGGGUGACAAAGUUUUAGGACUUAAAAAGUCUAAAGUGUAACACAAUCAUGCAUGCCACAGAGAGGAUGACUGCACUUCUUUUGAGGGAAGAAUAUGCCCAGCAAUUCUUCUCAAUGAACAACUUUUAGCUAAUUGAAAACCACAUGUUAGAUGAGAGUAAGCAUACAUACUUGAAGGGAUGAUUGCCGGUACCGGCGGUAUUGAAGGGACGCUUGCCAGUAUUGGCGUUCUGUGGCAGGUUGCCGGAUAGGCUGCAUCAAGGCAAAAACAAUUGAAUUCUUGCCUUGUCCAGUCAUACCCACAUAUUCCCUCUGAUAUAGCACAAUCUUCGCACAGCGAUGUGUUGGCAAUCCAGGUGAUCUCAAAGCCUUUAUUGAGAAUGUCGCUAAUAUUAUCACCAAAGUUGAAGCCUGCCGAAGGUGGUGGUAAACCUAUAGGUUCACUUUUUGAAAUCGGGACAUGAACAAUGGAAUUGCAUCGCUUGGGCAGUAGGUUUGAUAGGUUUACACUGAGAACAAAGUAGCCAAACUGAGACUCGGGACAAGAGAACCGAUAAUAAGAUGGAAGGGUUGGCCAUGAGUCGCAAUUGUAAAUAAAGGUGGAAUUGAGGUUGUUGGAAGUGUAGUUGAAGAGUUUCAAGUCUAAAGUGAUUUCGUUAUAUGUUUCAAGACAUAUACUGUCUGAUAAAUCUGACCUCGCCACCACAAGGAUCUGCGCGCUCCUAUCCAUGUGGAUCACUUGAUAUUUCUGAGACACCAUGUACAGAAUCGGGUUAAAUCCGUCACAGUCAAGCUCAUAGCCUGGAUAACCACAGUAUCUUGGUUGACUUAUAUGCCUGAACGGAUAGCUGAUUCGUAUAUAUCCACAAACAAAAGGAGCGCAUUCUUGGAAUGAUGAGAAGUAGCCGGAAGCUCGCACGGAGAAGUGAAUUUGAAGGGCGACGAAAAAGAGCAAGGAGAGAGAGGAACAUGGCGCGGUAAGAUCCAUCCGAAGGGAGAUGGUGUUGGAGCAAAACAAGGAGGGGUACAUAUGAAGGAACGUGGAGGAGAGAAAUGAAAAAAGAUGGCUAUCGAACGUUAAAAUUGGGUCUAGCAGAGGAGGUGAUGGGGAAGAUGCGGUCCGGAAACAUGCAAAGCAAGUUUCUCCGGAUUUCUCCCCAUGUUGUUAUAAUCGAAAGGUGAAAAUUUUCUUCUAGGUUUUCACUGAAAAAGUCUAGCCCUUUUAAGAGGUCGAGUUCGUGUCAUGUGAAGUAAAGAACAAGUCAAACUUAAAUUUCUCGUUACUUGACUCAUUGGCUAACGUCUGAUUUAAAAUACUUGUCCACAAUGUGAAAUUUUACGUUAAGCUCGGAGCAUCUUCACCCGCUGUAUUUAAACUGUUGGAUCUACUGGGUUCGCAUAUACCAACCUAAAGAUCCAACAGUUGAGGCAAGGAAGGUUUCUAAGAAUGAGCUGAUAAAGUUUUAGGACUUGGGAGUCUAAAUUGUAACAUGAUCAUGCCAUAGCGAGGAUGAGAUGACUGCACUUCAUUAAAUAUUCGAGGGAAGGGCGUGCACAGCAAAAUGAGAUUGUCAGGCUUUUAGGGGCAUGAGCGGCUCGUUUUCCAAAUAACAAGCAAGCCCAGCAAUCCUUCUCAUGGAAGAACAUUAGCUAAUUUGAGAACCACGCAUUAGGUGAGAGUAGGCAUACAUACCUUGUUUGCCACAAGUCGUUGAAUGGACUCCGUCAGGGCAGAAACAAUUAAAUCGUAGCCUUUUCCGGUCAUAACCGCAUCUUCCCCCUGAUUUGUUGCAUUUUUCGCAUUGCGAUGUGUCAACGAUCCAGGUGAUCUCAAAGCCUUUUCUCAGGAACUCACUAAUAGCAGCAUUAGAAGCACUAUGAUGGCUGCCCUCCGGUGGUGCUGCUAGACCCGGAGCUUCACUAUGUGAAUUUGGGACAAGGACACUGAAGUUGCAUCGCUUGUGUAGUGGUUUUGCACGAUCAGCAUAUAGGGCAAAGUAGCCAAGUCCAUACAGGGGACAAUGGAACCAAUGAUAAUGUCGAGGGGGCCACAAUAAAUUGCAAUUAUAGAAUAAGGAGGAAUUGAAGUAACGUGAAGUGUAGUUGAAGAGACUGAAGUUUAAAGAGGUGUUGACAAGUAUUCUAGGACAUACAUCGUCCCAUUCACGCGAUAUUUCAGGGACUCCAUGGACAGGGUUGUGUAAUUUCUGUCACAGUCGAGCUCGUAGCCUGGAUACCCACAGUAACUUGGUCGCCUGAUAUGCCUGAAAGGAUAGCUGAUUUGUUGCUUUCCGCAAUCAAAAGGAGUGCAGUCUUGGAACGGCUGGAAUUCGCCAGAAGCUGGCAUAGGGAACUGAAUAUGGAGGGAGAUGAAGAAGAAGAGCAAGGAGAAAGAGGAACACGACAUGGAAAGAUCCAUCUGGAGGGAGAUUUUGUUGGAGCAAAACAAGGAGGGUACAUAUAUAAAGGAAGAGGAUGCAGAGGGAUAAAGAAUGAUGUUGCUUUUGGAACGACUUGACCCCAAUGCACCAACGAGAAUCACUUGAUUUGGCCUCCCGAAGACCAAGACUUUGGCGCGGGGAGACAAAAGCUGAGAAGAAAAGAAAGAGAACAAGGCACGUGGAAACAAACCAAGUAGCUUGCGCUGCUGGCUAAUUGUGAACUUGACUUGAGGAGGACUUGGAAUAGUAUUCCCCAUUUCCCAAUUCCUAAGCGCAGGCGUAGCCCCAAUUAAUCAACAAGCUUUGCCAAUCUCGUAGACAAUUCAAUCGAGGACAAUCCAAUAAGGAUCUCAAGAACAUAGUUAGCAACGUUCUAGAUGGAUGCAGGGCCAUCGCCUGGACUAGAAAAUAGAGGGGGAUUAGAGCCUCGGAACUAAGGCGGUUAAAUUGUUAUCCGGACUAGUUUCUCUUAAGCUUUGCCAUCUUUUUUGAAUUGAUUUGAUUGAUGAUAUCGACGCAUCAUCAGCCCAAAGAAGCAGACCAGGUUAAUAUCAGUGGAUCCCAAAGGCCCAAGAUUCCUUGGCCGAGCUGAAUCGGGCCCAUCUCUCGUGAGUUACAAUGAUGAUGAUCCACAUUGGAUCUUUAGCUAGGAAGCAAUAAGCUUGCCAUCCUUUUCACGACAGAAUUUGCUCAGGUCGAUUAAUCGCUUACGCUUUAAGUAUUGAAAAUAAGACUUCUGCUCUUGAUACUCAAAGAUAGGGAGUUAUCCUCAUAGCACUCGACCUUGCACAGAAUUGGGGUGGGCAGCCUCCCUAGAAAGAGUAAGUUAUAUUUGCAACGAUUCCACAAUUAAAAGAGCGGUGGCAGUCGGUUUAGUGGACAUUGUCGUCUCCCUCGUACAAAAGAACUUGUGGAAUGAUGAGGUUGACGAGGACGAAGACUAGGAUGGAGUGUGAAGUGGAGGAGAGAAGAAGAGUGGCUGCGUCACCCAUUUGAGCAAGUUCAUGCUCUCAUGGGUGGAGAAUAUCAUGUGGAAUGAGGGGUUUAGUGUUCAGAGGGGCUAUUCUGACCAUGGACUGAAGUGUGAAAGAGAUGGAUCUGGUUAAUACCUCUUCAGUAUAAUAGAGGAAGCUAUACUGACCGUCGACUUUGACCGAGACCAGUUUCAGUCUUCAAUGUGAAAAAGUCUAGCCCAUUUGAUGGGUCAAGAGUUCAUGUCACGUGAAGUAAACAACAAGGCAAACCUAAAAUUUGGGUUAAUUGAUUUAUCAUCUAACACAAUCUAAUUUAAAUUACCUUUCCAUGAUGUGAAAUUUCACAGUAAAUUUAGAGCAUCCUCACUCAUUGUAUUUAAACUAUUGGAUCUUAAGGGUACAAAGAUACUGGCCUAAUGAUCGAACUGUUAAGGUUGUUGAAUGGGGUGAUAAGGUUUUAAGGCUUGGGCUCUAAAUUGCAUCAUGACCCUGUCAUAGCGAAGAUGAAAUGACUGCACUUCAGGCAUGCCCAGCAAAAUGAGAUUGUCAGGCUUUUAGGGGCAUGAGCUGGUCGCUUCCCAGUUAACAAGCAAAGGAAAGAGUAUGCGCAGCAAUCUUAUCACUCUCAUUGAACAACUUGAGCUUAUUAGAAACCACUAAUUAGCAACCGUGACUCUAGCAUACAUACCUGAAGGUGCGGGGCAGGUCGUUGGAUAGGCUUUGUCACGGCAAAAACAACUGAAUUCUUGCCUUGUCCAGUUAUACCCACAUCUUCCCCCUGAUUUAGUGCAAUUUUCGCACAGAGAUGUGUUGGCAAUCCAAGUAAUCUCAAAGCCAUUUUUCAGGAUGUCUCUAACAGUAUCACGACUAAUGUUAGCGCUCUUGCUGCCCUCCAAUAUUGGUAUAAAUGGGACGAAGACACUGAAGUUGCAUAGCUUGUGUAGUUUGCUUGGGGGGUCCACUUUGAAAGCAAAGUAGCCAUCUCCAGACGCAGGACAAGAGAACCGAUCAGGUUGAGGGGUUGACGGUGAGUUGCAAUUGUAGAAUAAGGUAGCAUUGAGGUAAUGGGAAGCGUAGUUGAAGAGACUGGAGUUUAAAGUGGUGUUGACAGGUGUUCCACGACAUAUAUCUUUCAAUAAAUCCAACCUCGUAACCUUAAGGAUCUGCUCGCUCGAAUCCAUGUGGAUCACCUGAUACUUCAGGGACUCCAUGGACAGAAGGGUCAGGUUACCUCCAUCACAGUCAAGCUCGUAGCCUGGAUACCCACAGUAACUCGGUCGCUCAUUAUGCUUGAAAGGAUAGCUAAUUUUUUGAUCUCCGCAAACAAAAGGAGCGCACCGUUGGAAUGGCAGGAAUUUGCCGGAAGUUGGCACCAGGAAGUGAAUAUGGAGGGUGAAGAUGAAGAGCAAGAACAGAGAUGAACACGACAUGGUAAGGUCCAUUCGGAGGGAGAUGGUGUUGGAGCAAAACAAGGAAAGGGUAAAUGUAAAUGAAGAGGAUGCAGAGGAUAAGGAAUAUGCUGCUUUGAGAAUGAUUUGAACCCAAUGCACCAGUGAGAGCCACUUGAUUUGGCCUCCCGAAAGACCAAGACUUUGGGGCAUUGAGACAAAAGCCGAGAAGAAAUUAAGAACAAGGUGCGUGGAAACAAAACCACGUAGCUUGAGCUGCUGGCUAAUUGUAGACUUGACUUAAGGACGACUUGGACUAUUAUUACCCAUUUUACAAUUCGUACACGCGGGCCCUCAUCUAGUCAAUGAGCUUGGCCAAUCUCCUUGACAAUUCAAUCGAGGACACUUCAAUAAGGACCUCGAGAACAUAGUUAGCAGCGUUCUAGACAGAUGCAGGGAUCGUCUAGACUAGAAAAAAGAAGGGAUUACAGCCUCAGAACUGAGACGACUAAAUUGCCAUUCAAAAGAUUUCCCCUUAAUUUUACCCAGUCAAAAAGGGCCCCGACGAGCCAGACCAGGCCCAUCUCUCGUGAUCUACAAUGAUGAUCCACAUUGGGAUCUUUAGCUAUAGGAAGCAAUAAGCAAAGCUUGCCAUCUUUUGUUGACAAAGAUUGCUAAGGCCCAUCAAUCGCUCGAGCCUCAAGUAAUGAAAAUAAAGACUCUUUUUAGGUGCCAAUUUCUCGGGAGGAAAAUGAUUAUGAUCAAAGCAAUAACAACAAGAAAAGAGAAAAAUACAUCUUUCUGAAAAGAAACCACCACUUUUUAAUGAUAGACCCUACUCCAAAUUGCAAGUUGCAACAAGUUGAAGGAAGCUGCUUUCGAAAUUUUGCCCAACCAAAAAAUUUGCUGCUUCAAUUUGCUACAUGCGAAUCUUUAUACUUUAAAUAUCACGAGAAAAUUCACUUUAGUUUAGGGCAUCAAAGUAAUUCAUGUAUCUUAUCUAUGGAAUUUAUAUUAAACUUUAUGCACGUGGUCUUCAUUCACCUAUUGAUUUAAGUUUUUGGAUUGAUCAUUGAAUAAGGUAUCGUAGUGAGGUUCUGCUCUCAUUUAUUUCGCAUGGGCAAUCCUUACCAGUCAAAUUCUGUGUAUGGUUCUAAUUUCCACGCGAGAAGGGUGCAAGGGUGCUAAAGUAAUAAUUUUCUUUGUCUAUGAACUCCUAUUCUCUUUAUAUAUAUAUAUAUAUAUAUAUAUAUAUAUAUAUAUAUAUAUUUAUUUAUUUAUAUGACUGAUCUGCUCUGUUUAUUAAGUUAAGUUUUUAUAUAGGACUUGUUGCACGGCAUAUAUUAGUAGGUGUGGUUACCAUUCAAAUUUUGAAAAAGUAUUGACUAAGAAAUUGACGAACCUAAGUAUAUACUUUUCUAAUUCUAAAAGCUGCUGAAAAAUCAAAGUAUGCCAGAAAUCAAAUCACUCGCAACUAAGAAGUGACAAGCAUUGAAAAAAGCAAUCAUGGCGAUUGGCGAAAAUAGAUGCAAAACCAUUUAUGAAAAAAAGAGAGGAAACGGACACAAACCUCAAUCCUACCUUUGCAAACCGAACCGUCCGUGUGAUUUGACCCGUCCUUGCAGAAGCACAGCGACUCCUCUGUCUGGUUGAACGCGCACCGCCCGCCGGAGAGCUCGCACGCGCUGCACUCCUUCGCCGCCUCCCAGUCAAGCACGAACCCCCGGCUCAUCGCCCAGGCGAAAACCUCCACCACUUUCGCCGCCGUCACCUCCGUCCCCUUUACCGACGCCACCAUCGUGUCCUCGCAGUCCGACGCCACAUCGGACGCCCCCGCCUCCUCCUCCUCCCAGCCCAUGUUCACGGACACGUACGACCGGUUGUCACGAAAUUGCAAGCAAUCGAUGGCCACUAAGGGGCUGGACACAGGCGGAGGAGCGCUGCAGUUGAAGAAGAAGGUGAGAUUGACGUCGGCGGAGUUGUAAUCGAGCGGGAGCGAGCCGAUCGUGAGGUUAUGGAGAGCCUUGGGGCAUCUCUGGCCGGCGACGUCAAUGUCGACGAGAGUUAGGGUUUUGUUGUGGUAGUUGAUAUCGGUGACGAAGAAGGCGCCGUCCCCAAGGAGGGGGAUUGGGUGAGGGGAGCCAAACGGGCAAAUGAUGCCGAGGCCUGGGUAUCCGCAGUGCACAGGGGCAUCGCUUUUGUACCAGAAUGGAUAUUCGAUUGAGACGCUGCCGCAUAGGAACGAGGAUGCAACGGGAUCGCAAAUGGUCGAGAAAGUGGAGUGGACGCCAUGGAAGCUCGCGGAGGAGAAGAAGAAGAAGAGAAGGAGGGAGAGAGAAGGGGAGAGAAUGCAGAGUAAGUGGUGGCUUGGCAUUUUCUUUGUCCUUCUCUUGGUGAGUAACAGGAUGAUCGUCUGGCAAUUUAGAAUGGACCGCCUAUUUAAUAAAAGUGGUCAAAGUCUUGCAUUGGGACUAAAGGCUACACAAUUUAUUUAUUUUUUUGGAACAAAGGCUACACAAAUUUGACUUUGAUUUUUUCUUUUUUCUUUUUGCGUGCAACGUUCAAGUAAUCCUACGUGGAAAACAAUUUCUAACACAUUGAUAACGAUUUAAUACGGUCAUAAGUCAUUGGCGGAAAAAUAAUGUAUAAUUACACCAUUAUGUAGAAUUUUAUGUGUUAGACGCACUUUGUCCGCAAUCUCAUGGUUGGCUUAUUCAAUUAAGUAAGAAGUUGGAGACUUCGCUGGACCAUAAAUUUUUUUAUUUAUUUAUCUUGUUUAUUAUUUUUUCUAAUAUCAAAUUUUCUUUCAAAAGAAACGCAUGAUUUAGAGCUUAAUACAGCUUUUUUUGAAAAGCAAUUAGGGCUUGAUUGCACUUUUUAUAAAUAUAUAUAAGGGACUUGAAUUUAGUGUAAUUAUUCAUGAUUAAACUUUAUGAAAUUACAAUCUUUAACAAUUAAAGUAGCAGUCUUCGGCAUUUUCUAUGUUGAGAAAUCUUGAAGAAGUUGAUGGAUCUUGCAAUUCAAAUCUAAUACAGAGAGGAAGAAAUUACCAGAGAAAUUUAUGGAUUUUGAAAUUCAAACUCAAUGUGUCAUAUUCUCUUUAAGGUUGUAGUCUGCAAUAAGUUCAUGACUUGAUGGAGUUUGAUUCAAUAGCUUGUGUCAUAUAUGUGACCACAUCGACAUUAAGCCACAAAUGAUCUUAAAUCAUUGCAAGUAAAAUUUGAUAUGCAACGGGGACUAUAAUCGUUGUAAUGCUCUAGUUGCAUUAAAAUAGACGAAGGGCCCGUGAACUUCACAUUCAUUUUGGAUAUUAAAGCUAGAAAUCAAAUAUAGGUGUGAACUUGGCGUAGAUUCUUUCACUUUUGUCCCUUUCGUUGAGAUAGUUUCCAGGAAACAUGACAUUUGGAGAUAGUCGUCAAGUCAUAGUUUCCAGGAAACAUGACAUUUGGAGAUAGUCGUUAAGUCCGACUUUAAACAAUUAAUUACGCCUCAAAAUGCCAAUGCACAAUUGCCCUUCUAUUUAGAGGUGAAUCUCUUUGGUGGGUUUCUCAAGUAAAGAAAAAUUACCCAAUUAAUCUCCAAAUUAUUGUACGAAAGCAAAUUAAUCUUAAAAUUUUCAAUUUUACCAAUUUAGUCAUAAACUUCUGCACGCAAUUCCAAUGUAGUAUUUCCGGUUAAUUUAUACUAGAAAUUAUUGACGUGAUAGCCCAUUUAUCACCAUCCGUCUUAUGUGGCACCUUGCCAUGUCAACGAUUUCAGGUGAAAAUCGAUCGAAAAGACUUUAUUGGAAUUUCCCAUGAAGAUAUAAAAUUAGAAAGUUUAGAACUGAAUUGACAUUCACACAAUAAAUUUAUGACUGAUCAGGUUGUUCUCCCUCUCGAGGAAUUAUGUCUCUAGGAGAUACAAAAUUCCACAUCAUGCUGAUGAAUUAGAGAAAACACAGCAAAUAAUCGAAGCAUUAUAUUGUUGUGUAUCAAGACAUAAUCAACAAUCAAAAUAAAUCACGUCCGAGGGACAUUGCAAUAUGUGAAUUUCAGUGGUUAUUAUAGACAUUUAAGAUGUGCAACACUUUCCUUCUUUCUCAAUUUGGUAAGCCAGGCGAAAUUUCUUUCCAUGACUCUUAAGAGAAUGUUCAAUUCAUCGAAUCUAGAAGAAGUGGCCAAACAUAUUUCUCAUAAAAAAAAAACAAUAACAAAAGAGAUGAUCACAUCAUCUCGACAGGGUUUGGGUUCAUGUGGGUCUAGAUUGGCAAGGUCAUGUGACCCUUGGUGUCACCUUGCUUGAGAUCGCAAGACCUUGGCAUCGUCUCAUCUAGCCUCUAAGACAGUUCAUUCCUCACCGAUGAUUGAUCUGUUUCCAAGACGGAGAUAAUGAGCAGUAGCUGUGUGCUCUGUUUCACCUGUUUAUUUUUUUUAUUUUUUUAUUUUUUCAACUUAAAAACUAUUUUGCAAAAAUACACCAAAAUUCACUUAAUUUAACGGAAUUUGCUUUAAGUAAAUGCACCUUGAAUCAAAGAUUUUCGAGAAAUUAUUUUGCAUGUUUGAGCAGUCCUAUGUGUAUAAAAAGUUCCAAUAUAGUAAUAACAACAUACUAUAGUCAUAGGUCACUAAUGUAGAAAUAGCAUAUAAAUAUGUGAGCAUAUAGAAUUCUAUGUUAGUCUCUACGUCGGUCUCUCAAAUUAUCAUGAGCCGUUCACUAGAAUUUGACUCGUAUGUUGUUUGAUCCAUCUAUUGGGUUAGUGUUCCUCACAAAUUGGAUCUUGCAAUGAAAUAUCUUUCAUCAGAAGUUGUUCUUCAGUUUUUAUUAGAGGAGAGAGGUAUUGUGGCAACUUCAGAUAGAAAAUAUCAUUAGUCAACAAGAAAAACCCGAAGUUUACUUCAAAUAUAUGUACAAAAAUUGUGCUGAAAUUUGAUCAACAAUAAAUCUUGAGAAUGCAAAGAUGCUACAAUAGAAUUUAACUGAUAACAUGACAAUUGGGAUAGACAUGCACACCGAAAUUUAAUUGAUGAUGUGGAUUUGGAAACUACAUCUAAGAAAUACGCCGAAGUUUAAUUGACGAUGUGAGAAAAUAAAACUACAACGCAGAAAAGUAAAGAUAACUAAAGAAUAGUCGAUUUAUUCAUUUGUGUGUUGGGGGGCCUUCACAUACGAACAAUGGUAUGUAUAGUGGUUGUGCCAUAACCAUCUCUAACCAGUUCUCCUACAGUUAUAGCCACGUUCCCUCAUCUCUGAAAAUCUUGGGCUCAUUCUCUCAUGAUGCCAUGAUUUAGUCUUCCAAGUGAUUAAUCCCUUAAAAUUGCAUUUUGGUUACUUUGCGACUUCUUGAACCCUAUUGCCUCACUCACCAAUGAUUUCAAACUCAUAACAGCUUUUUGACAUCCUCUAGGUAUCCAACUUACUUUUGAUACCUCAAAUUGGUAAUCCGUAGUUCCUUUUAAUCAAUACCCUUAUCGACUAUCACCUAUUCAUUUGUCAUCAUACAUCGACAUCUAAUAAGUAAUCGCUCAUAUCAUUUGAAAUAAUUAUUUGAUGAAAAUAAUUUUAUUAUCGAUAAUAAAUUAUGUCUAAAUACUUUUAUAGACAAUAUAAAUAUUUUUUAUUUAUUUAUUUUUACAACAAUAUAAGUAAUUAUUUUUAUAAAAUGUAUUUCAAUUUAUUCAUUUUUUGUGAAAUAAACCAAAGCUUUUAAAGUCUAAUCAAUGGUUUAAAGUUCGACUAUUAUAUCACUCUCUGCAAUGUCAUGUUUCGUGGAAAAUGUCUCGAUGGAAAGACAAAAGUGAGAGAGUCAAUGCUCCUUUCGUGCUUGCUUCGUUGGCGUCCACAUGCAAAACCGGAAAGGCAGCCAAAAAGGAGAAACAAAGGAAGACUAGAAAAGUACACUUUAAUUGUUCAGCGUUUACGCUGAUUUGAAGGAGUAAAAAAUCGAAGUUUUUUUUUUUUUCCAACCAGGUUGAGUUACUAGGCUGACGCUUGGUGAGGUCGCCCUGAGGCUGAUACUCACCUAGGUGAGGGUGACCUCUGACGAGGACUCCCCUAGCUAGAUUUGGCGAGGCCGGCCCUUGCUCAAGCCAGGGUGGCCUCACCCGAUGUUGCCAUCGCCCAGCCGACGCCUAGCGAGGCUACCCUAGCCUAGGUGCAGAUCAACCUCGCCUGGCCUAGGCGAGGGUCGGCCUCGCUCAGGCAACCCUUGCCGAGCCACGCUUGGGCAAGGGCUUCCCUCGCCGGGGCUCACCCUUGCCUAAUCGAGCCUCGCUUGUGGUGGGCAAGGCUAGCUAGUUGGCUGUGGCCAGCCAUUGGAAAAGGCCAAGAAGAAAGCCAAAAAGAAAAGAAAGAAAAAAUUUCAAAAAAUAUUAAAAUAUUAUUAAAAUUGUCCACGUCAGCGCCGGCGGUCCUAUGUGGCACCGUUGGCAUCCAUGUCCGUAUUUUCUUGCCAAAAUUGUAUGAAUGAACUCAAUUGGCAAGAAGUGAAAAUGUUUAGGACUGAAUUGGCAAAAGUACAAUAAGUUUAAGAUUUUUUGGACAAUUUUUCCAAAUCGAGUUGAUUCUAACAUUGGAAUGGAAAGGAAACGACCAGGCUUGUCCUGGCUUUGACCUCAAAGGGUUCGAUUUGAUGUCAACACUAAAAGGAGACAACCAUGCUUAUUCUCAAGAUCACUAAUUUAGCAUAGAUAAUAAGGAAUUGCUAAAAAUUUGAUCACACUUAAUCACGAAGGAAGUUGGUGCGUUUACAAUUGUAACAUUUGUUGCCUAGCUAGUUCUUAAUCCAUAAUAAAAUCUUUAAAUGAAACGACAAAUCUCUCAACUAUACUUGUUAAAUGAAUUGGGCCUAUCUGAUUCAAGAGUUCAUGUGAAUUGGAUUUGCAUGCCUGCAUUAUUCGAGCAGCCAAUGUUGAUGUAUCAAUGACCCACACGGAAAAUUUGCCCUGAGAAGUCUUGAGGAACAAACCAUGAAACUUCCUAGUCAACGGGACCUCUAAAUUACAAUUAGGUUGGAGGAUCCGCCAACGUGUUGAAAUUGAUGAUCUUCCACGUUCCAUGAAACUUCCGAGUUAGAGGAACCUCUAAAUUACUCUUAGGAACAAACCUCCCGUUAUACAAUUCCUACUAAGUAGUGCAAAUCAAUUGUAGAAUUUUUCUUUUUCUUUUCUUCCAAUAUACAAAACUUUAGUGCUAACAAAAAACAAUUGUUUAAAUUAUAUUACACAUUUAAAUUGAAAUUCUUGUCCCGUUUCGGAGUUCCCACUCCCUUUAAUGUAAUUUAUAACCAAAUGUAGUCAUGGGUUUAGUAUACACCAGCGGCAAGUUUCUUGAAUCACAGUGUUUAUUAGUUUUUUAUGUGGUAACAAAAAUUUUCGUUGUGUAAUUUUAAUACAUUCUCUUUUAUACUUUUAGUCUUCGAUAAGAUAAUAACUCGAUGUCAAUGCAGAAACUCACAAAUCCCACAAAAUUGCAUGGAAUGUAGUAUGCUCAUCAAAAAAGGAGGGAGGUCUAGGCCUGCUCGAUCUGAAACUUUGGAAUAAAGUAUUGAUGGCAUGCUUUAAAGCCUCAUCAAUCUUCCAUCCUCAUCCCUUUGGAGUACUUAGGUUUAAAUAUUAAAUGCAUAGGUACUCCCAUUAUGCAACUCAACAUAAAGGGCAAUAUGGCUUGAAAUUGACGAUGCAUUCUCAAGCUAAGACAUGCUCUAAUGCCUAUUAUCUCUAGCGAAACAUACUGUUGCAAAGAGGUAUACGAGGAAUUUAGACAAGAGGACCGGCCGUGGACUAGUAUCAAUUAAUUUGGACCAGCGGUAUCAGCAAGCAUAAUUGUAUUGGUUGGCUUGUUUGCAAAGAUAGACUACUGACAACAAUAGCCAUAUCGUGGUUGGUUGUCUUCAGUAGAUACUAAGUGUAACUUUUGCAUGACUGGUACAGAAGAUAGAAACCACUUAUUUUUUUAGUGCACCUGUACAAGUAGUGUAUGGCAUAGUAUUUUGGCAUAAAAUGGAAUUUGGUGUUAUGUAGGAGGUUGGAACUUAGAACUUCAAUAGAUGAUCGAGGCCACUAAGGGCAAAAACUUGGAGGCGAGAUUCCUCAAGUUGUCUUUCUUAGCGACAAUCUAUUGCAUUUGGAUGGAACGUAACCGCAAACGAUUUCAAAACAUGUCAACUGAACCUCAUCUUUUGUUAGCUAGGAUUCGAAAGAUUGUAAGAGAUAGGGCGCCACUUUACCAAAAGUGUAGGACUUCCCAGGAAAAUGUUUUAUUGGCUACUAUAUGGAGGCUUCCUUCCUCCAUCUUCUUGCAUAAUUAGUUUUUGUGGAAUGCUAGGGGAUUCCCCUAAGUUUCUGUACCUCAUCUAAUUAAUGAUAUUCACAUAUUUACACCAAAGAAGAUAAUAACUCGAUGGAUUGAGAUUGAUAUCUUGUAUCAUAUAUGUGGCUAUAGUGAGAGUAAGGGAUUAAUCAUCUUAAAUCUUGGACGAAUAAAACUUCAUGUGCAAUUGAGUACUACAAUAUCAAGGAUUUUUCAUUUUGUAGAAUUCUCGAAUAUAAUACAAUAAUAUUGAAAAACUAUUACAGAGCAACGGUCCAAUCGUCAUGCCAAACACAUAGAACACUAUAGAUGGAGAGCAUUAAUACCACAGCAUAUGAAAGUAUGGAAGCUUGAAAUCCAUCAUCGUCACACCAUGCAUAUAAUAGAGGAUGUUAGUAUUUUUGUAUAUGGUAGCUAGCCUAUGUGAAUAUUCAGAUGAUAAGGUGACGUUAGGUAAAUUAAAGUUGGUCCAUUAAAUUAAUUACUAAGUGAUGUCCCAAACUACAUAAGUAAUUUUUUUAGUCAUCUAGCAUACUUAGCGUUAUUCUUCGACCUAUUUCUUUCCCUUUCAACUUUGUAUAUGUAAUAUGCACCGAAUGGGAAAAAAUGUCUAGCGGUGAAGGAAUGUCUUGGUCUUGGUCAUCGCAGACAACCGUGUUUCCCAGGUCGUCUACCAGCUUCAAAGUUGAAAGCCGAAUCUUACAUGUUCGGAAAUUGCUUCAGCGCUAAAGUCCACUUCAACAUUUUUCACGUUGGAGUCAAAGUGGAAUAGGACUUUGACCGUAAAAAGAAAACAAUAAAGAAAAGGAAUAGUGCGGACUUGUUGAUUGGGUCAGAGAAAAAAAAGAAACAAACAGGAAAUGAACUCUUUGUUUGAGUCGACAAAAGUUCAGACGGAUGGCCAAUGCAUUCACCUUCAUUUGAGAGCGUGUGAGCAGCUACCAAAGCUCUCUCGUGGGCUAAAAACGGGCCUCAUUUUGAAGCCCAUCUGCUGGGUUCGCGCCCCGGCCCACUUGAGAGGGCCUUAAUUGGUAUGACAAGCUUAACGUGUUUGUGAAAUAUAAAAUGAUCCGUAAGCCUCGUUCCCUUUUAUUAUGGUAUAUUUUUUUUUUUGUAUUUAUUUUAACUUAUUAUUUUUAUUAUAGUUAUGCCUAUGAGAAAAUUUUAAAAUCAAAAUGUCCCUAAUCGUGAUGAGAAGUAGCAAGCAAUGUGAUUACUAAAUGAUACAUGCAAUUUUUUGGGUUAAGGGGCCAAUUUAUGUCAUAAAUUAGAUCCGUAAUAUUGAUAGAAAUGCUACGGAGAUCCAAAUGUGAAAAUUUAUAUGUCAACAAUACCCUUUUCACUCUUUUUUUAGUCACACUUGUAGAAUUCAACCGAGACAUCUCAUCACAAAUUUAUAAACAGCCCAAUUAUCAUUAAUUUUGCAAUUGCUUUUUUUUUUCCCCAAAUAGUAUGUUACAAACUAUGUUGGUCUCAUAUAAUUAAUAUUGAAUAACCUUUACUUGAGUUAUUACUCUCUUGUAGAGAUGAACUUACACAUGGACAAGCUGUAAGCAAUUUUGAGGGUGAUGACGAAAUAGGUUUGAGAGGAAUUUACAAGGCAUCAACACUACCUUUUAGCAUUUGCACAACUUGGGUCAUACAUGGUCGAGCUUUCAGAUUGAUUUGAAUGCACUAUGAGCCAAUUAUAAUAAUCUUCUUCACGAUUACUUUGUCCUCCUCAUUUGUGAUCCUGAGUAGUCCAAGCUCUUCUUGGAGCUCUAGACGUACCCAAUGAGGGAAGUAUGCUUCGAUGGUUUGAUCUAUUGUGACUUUGAUACUUUUUUAGCUAUUCUGUUAGUUUGUUGCUGGUUUUGUGGACAAGGCAAGCUAUAAGUGGGCAACAUGGGUUUAUGGUUAAGUUUUAGUAUGUAUUAAGCAUUUUUUUAGUUUUCUGAAUUAUAUAUACAGCUUUUGCUGUCAACUCCUCUGUUCUUUCGAAAACAACAAUUGCAGAGGAUAAGAGAAAGAGGUAGGAGAGAGUGCGAAAAGCAUUUGUAAAAAAAUCAAAUGGAGUUGGUUUGAAUUGGUUCUAACUCCUAUCAUUGUUGUGUGCUAGUUCUUCAACUUUGAAGCCAACACCAAGCAAGGCAGAAAGUGGUUUGAAGCAUGCAUAUGUAUCGAAUCAAAGCAUGUAUGGCCCAUGCUUGGAUCCACACUUAUUAUAGUGCUUAUGCUAAUUAUAAAUAAGGUCAUGUCACAAUCAAAACCUAUAGCAUGAUAGAGUUAAUUAUAUGUAUAGUUCAAAUCGAUCAAUGUUACCUAUUUCGAUUGAACACCUCGUCAGAUUUUAGCACCACUAGAAUAGACAGGAGCUUUCUCUCUUUCCUUCCUUCCUUCUUCCUUCCUUUCUUUCUUUCUUUCUUGUUUGGUUGUAUGCACAAGAAAAUCCCACAAAAAAAAGCAAGUUAUUUUGGUCCAACAUUUGAAAUUUUUACUGUGAAUUUGGUGUAGCUCUAGCUUCACUUAAUACUUUUUAACUAUUGGAUCUUGUGGGACACAGAUACCAACCUCCGCAUGUCGAAAGGAAGAUCAAGCAAAACAGUAGAUAUGAAAACUCAGUCAAGAAGCAAAAACAGAAAAAAAAAAAAAAAAAAAAAAAACUCCCCCAUCCACUUACCAUCAUUGUAGCUUCGAGGAUGAGGACCAUCUUGGCAAAAACAAACAAAAUCAUCGUUCUCGAAUCCACACCAUCCCUCACUUCCCUCACAGUUGCUACAAUUUGAUAUGGCUAGUAUAAGUACCUAGAGGGGGGGGUGAAUAGGUAUAACGAGUAAUUUCUAAUGAUAAUCGCACAAUACUAGACAGUUGAUAGAAAUGAGACAAUUUUUCCUCGUCAAUAAAUAAACAACGAUCAAAGUAAGAUUGAGAGUAGGGAAGAGAAAAUUGAACACGGGGUUUAUAGUGGUUCGGUUUAUUUCAAGCCUACGUCCACUCUUUUGCACCGACAGCCCACUGGCUGGAUUCCACUAUGAACAAAGAGAUAUUACAGCACUGUUCUUCCUUGAUUUCUCAGUGUAGAAUAUCUACCACACUCUCUCAAGGUAUCACUAAGUAUAAACUCUCUUUGUGUGUACAGUUUCGCUCAAUAUGAAUUGACUAGUAAUCAAGGAGCUUCAGACUCUGGAAUUUCUCUAUCGAGCACUUGCUAGAAUAACUGGAACGUCUUCUUUUUAUACUCCUUUAUGCCAUCAUACUCGUUAGCACUUACCAAAGGAAUUCUUCCAAUCUUCCCGUUGGACAGAAUCAAUUAAGAAGAUCAUUCGAGCUAUUUAAAGGAACAUGUCGAUAGCCCAUCAAUCAUGUUCGCCCAUACAAUUAGGAUCUUGGUUUCCAAGAAUAGAACCUUCCAAGAAUAUUUCGUCAAUCAUCGGAUCUUCAAAUGAUCUUGAUUUCGAAUAAUUAAUCCGUUGUAUCAAAUCCAGCCAAGAGAUCUUCUCUAGUCGAUAAGAUCAAAUCGUUAACCAAACACUUUAGCUCUGGAUCGCCUUCAUCACUGGAUUAGAAACUGUCAAUGAGAAUAGUCUUGAGUCUUGAGUCUUGUGUGCUGAGUCUGGUGAUCUGAAAGUCUUCAGACUCUAAGUACAAGGGUCUGCACAGCUUCCAGACUAGACUGAUAGAAACGUUUUGUCAGCUUCAAAACACUCUAGAGAUUUUCUCCAACAAUCUCUCCCUUUUUGAUGGUGACAAAACUUUCAUGUAGAUUUGAACAACUUUGACUUGCAAAAACAUUACUCAAGCAGUAUGGAUAUCUCAUAAAGAUUAAUAACUCAACUAGACUUUGCAUCCACAGAAAAUAGGUUAGUCUUUCAUGAGUAAAGUCAUACAAUAACACUUGAUAUAAAUAAUGCAACAGUCAAUUUCAAAUCCACACACUCAAGUCAAUCAAAUUCACCAAGUCCACCACACCCAAGUCAUACUCAAAAAUAAAUAUCCAAACAAACUGAAAUUAAAAACAUAUUCAAAAUCAAAGUUUAGUUCAGUUCAGAGCUGGCAAUUCUCCCCCCUUUUGUCAUCAUUAAAAAGGUGAGAAAGAGUCAAGUUUGCUUGGGAACGCGCACAAUCUGGAAAUCUCCCAUCGACUGUACGACGCCUUCCAGCCUCUUCAAGUCUUCCCGUAGAUGUGCCACCUCUACUCCUUUGGCAUUUGCUUGAAUUUGAUGAGCGAGGUCUUGCAUUUGGUCCGACAGGGUAACAAAAGACGCUUGUCCAGAAUUCUUCAGGACUUGAAGUUCACAUUCCAAAGCAUAUAUUUGACCCUGCAUUGCCAGAAGAAGAUCAAGGAUACGACGAAAAUCUGCGGUAUUGUCCGUCUGCGUGCUGGCAUUUGCUCUAUCAGAUGGAGUAAAGGCAGACGAUGGAACUUCGGUGUAAUCGCGCAAAUUUGGCGUGUAGGUGUCAUGUCCUUCAGGCAUUUGAGAAGCUUGAAUAUCUUCUGGAUUUGCUUGCGAGCGACUCACACCUUCACUGUGAUCAGGAUAUGGUGUAGUCCUUCCUUGCUCGUCAUCUCCCCCUGUCAUACUCAGUAGAAUCUUGAUUGCCUUUCUCUCUAGCUUCAUCUGCAGACUUUUCUUUGACUGCUUCUUCUUCUUCUUCAACUUCUUUCUCCUCUUCUUCUUUUUCUUUCUCUUCUUUCUCCUCUGCUUCUCUCUAUUCUUGUUCCUCUGCUUCUUUUCCUUUCUCCUGUCGUUCCAUUGAUUCCGAUACAGAACGACUGAGUCUUUUCAAUGCCAAGGCAGAGAUAGUGAGUUCAUCCUCUUCAUCUUCAUCCUCUAAGAUUAGAGCUCUUUUCUUUUUGGAUGGAGCACCCAUGGGCUCCUUCCCUUUCCUUUUCGACGCAGAAGAGACUGGAUGAGAUUUAACUGGAGUUUUCACUUUGAACUUCUCCAUUGCCUUAUCAAGCUCUUUCAGACGCAUUUUUGUCAGCAUUUUCAAACCCACCACCAUUUUGUCGCAUGGUCGAACACAAAGAGUCUGUGGAGGUUCAAUGUUCAAGUGUCUGAAGAUCUUAGUCACAAGACCUGAGUAAGGCAACUGGCCCUUAUCCUUCACCAUUGCUCUGUACAUGUGGAAGAGAAUGGUGUGAGGAAGAGAGAACUUCUUCCCUGAAUUGAUCGCGUACAUCAAUUUCGCUUCAGAAUUAGACACGUCUGUCUUGGAUGUUGAUUUUGGCCUGAGACAGUUGAUCACGAUUUUGUGCAGUAAGAUGUUGAUGGCAUGCAUUCUUGUGUAGGUAACUCUUCCUUCUGUACUCCUGUCUUUGACAAGUUCCAGUGUGGUACGAGCGAUUAAAACCUUGAUUGGUUGAUAUCGUCCUCUUUCAACUCCAAUUAUGUCUGCCAACAUGUCCACAUCUACCUCAUAGUCUUGGUCUCGAACACUGAAGGAUAUUCUAUUCGCAUCUAAAAAGCUGAGAUUCGAAUAGAAAUAUGCUGUCAAUUGUGCAUAGCCAUCUGUGGUGUCAAAGCAAAAUUGCUCUAGUUGAAGCAGAUUGAACUUCUCCUUCAAGUUCACAUUGAUGGCAUCCAGAAAAUCAAAAUCAACGCUCCUGGGGUUUAUUACCCCCCAUUUCAACAAUUUGAAGAACAGAUACUCCUGUUCCUUUGAUUUGAACAACUCCGUUCUUUUUCCCUUCACUUUCGCAGCAACACCCAUCCUAGGUUGGAAUUCUCUAAACAUUUUAUCAUCGUCAUUCCCGUCAGUCGGAUUAAAUCCCCCUACACGAGGGUCACUUGGAAUGUUCACAAGUGCUUCCUCAGCCUUUCCUUUGGAAGCAAUUCCCAAAUCCUCCAUCCAUCGCAAAAAGAUAUACUCAUUUUUAUACCCUUUGUCUUUAAGGAAGGCAUCCACAUAGUUCAGUGGUGUACCUAUGCUUUUCAAAGCACGAUAGAGCUUAUAAAUAAAAUAGGGUUUUUGGACUCUUACAGGGUCUGCUUCCUCGAUUAUUUCUUCCUGUGGUAGUUGAUCCACACUCUGUGGGGGUAGAUAAUGGAGAUUGACGUGGCUGAGAGUGAAUCGGGCUCUGUUGCUGUCUCGGUAACUCUUCUUCCUCGGUGAGAUCGAAAUGGGUAGGACCCUCCCUCAUUCUCUGUGGUCCCCUGCUUGUGAUUCUUGAAGACCUUCUAGAAGAAGACAUCGUUUCUUGUCGUUGAAAGAUUCCUUGACUCGCUUUCCCAAGAAAAGAUGACAACUUUCUCGAAGAUGAACACGAAGUCAAGAUAGGAUUGGGAGGGGAAUGCCUUUUUAGGGUUUUGGAGUUAAGCGAAGAAGACAACUGACUGUAUAUAACCCAGUUAAAAAGGAAAAACCAAUUGUCACAAAGGAAAGUAAACAGUCGUCCCCUUUUUAAAAAUGAUAACUGCCUUUUUUUUUUUUAAAUAGAGGUUAUCUUUUUGAAAAGACAAGAUUCCGUUUUUCUCGGAAAUUAAAGAUAAAUCAAAUAUAACUGAACGAAAGAUCGUACCUUUUCGAGAUUGAAUAUUAAAAUAACUUACAGUCUGUGGCCGUGAAUGAUUGAGUCUGAGAGUCUGAGAGUCUCUAGACUUUGAUUUCCCUCAAGCUUCAAAAUGUUGAGUCUGGAACGGAUGAUAUCAAAUUGAUUCUUCUCCAAAGGCUUUGUGAAUAUAUCCGCUAGUUGGCUCUUUGACUCAACAAAUUGAAUCGAGAUUUCUCCAUUUUGUACAUGAUCUCUAAUGAAGUGAUGGCGAAUCUCUAUAUGCUUUGCCCUUGAGUGAAGGAUUGGAUUUUUAGUAAGAUUGAUUGCGCUGGUGUUGUCACAUCUAAUCUCAGUGCAUGAGUCUUCAAUUCCAAAGUCUUGUAGCUGUUGUUUUGUCCACAGAAUUUGCGAACAACAACUUCCAAGAGCUACAUACUCUGCUUCUGUUGUAGAGAGAGCCACAGUGUUUUGUUUCCUUGAAAACCAAGACACUGUCCUGUUCCCAAGCAAUUGGCAAGUUCCCGAGGUGCUCUUUCUAUCAACUCCGCAACUGGCUAGAUCUGCGUCUGAAUAUCCAAGAAGAUUAAAGCCUCCCUUCUUAGGAUACCAAAGACCGAUGCUUGAAGAUGAAGCAACGUAUUUAAUAAUGCGUUUCGCAGCACUGAGAUGAGAUUCUCUAGGGUCUGAUUGAAACCUAGCACAGAUGCACACACUCAACAAAAUGUCAGGUCUAGAGGCAGUAAGAUAAAGAAGUGAACCGAUGAUACUCCUGUACAGCUUUUGAUCAACUUUCUUCCCUUCUUCAUCUUUGUCUAUCUUCAAAGAACUUGACAUUGGUAUGUCGGUCUUUUUGCACUUUUCCAGUUCAAACCUUUUGACAAGAUCAUUAGCAUAUUUUUCUUGAUGAAUAAAAGUUCCUUCCUUCAAUUGUUUUACUUGAAGUCCAAGAAAGAAGGUUAACUCUCCCAUCAUACUCAUUUCAAACUCAUCUUGCAUAGACUUAGAGAAUUUCUUACACAGACUUUCAUUAGAGGAUCUAAAAAUAAUAUCAUCCACAUAUAUUUGAACAAGUAGAAAGCUUUUGUUUUCCUUUUUGAUAAAUAGAGUAGUAUCUACUUUACCUUUGACAAAACCAUUAUGUAUUAAAAACUUAGUCUGUCGUACCAAGCUCGAGGUGCUUGCUUUAAACCAUACAAGGCCUUUUUCAGUCUGAAGACUGAGUCUGGUUUCUUUGGGUCUUCAAACCCUGGUGGUUGUUCCACAUAAACUUCCUCAUGGAUAAAUCCAUUCAAGAAUGCACUUUUGACGUCCAUUUGGAAUAACCUGAAAUUUUUAUAACAAGCAAAAGCAAGCAAUAAUCGAAUAGCUUCUAACCUUGCUACUGGAGCGUAGGUCUCAUCAUAGUCUAUCCCCUCUUCUUGUGUAUAUCCCUUGGCCACGAGUCUUGCUUUGUUUCUUACGACUUUUCCUUUCUCGUUCAUCUUGUUCCUGAAAACCCAUUUAGCUCCAAUAACAGAUUUACCUUUUGGUUUAGGAGUCAAUUCCCAGACAUCAUUGAUACUGAAUUGCCUGAGCUCUUCUUGCAUAGCUUCAAUCCAGCUUUCAUCUGAUAAAACUUCUUCUAUGCUUUUGGGUUCUAUUUCAGAAACAAGUGCCACAGCACUAGACUCUUUACGCCUUUUGGAUCUAGUGCGAAUUCCUUCAUUAAUUUCGCCAAUAAUGAGAUCUUUGGGAUGACUGGACUUAUGCUUCCAGUUACUGGUUGAUCUGUUUGAUUAAUGAUCUCUUUCUUUACUUGAAUCUUCACGAACAACUUGAUGCUGGUCUUCCAGAGUCUGAGAUGCUUCUUGAGAUGUAAGCUUUGAAGAGUCUGGAGCAGGUUCAGAUUCUUCAUGUUGAGUCUGACUGGAUUCAUUUUGCAUUGAAUCUUGAAAUUUGACAUUCAUUGAUUCCUCCACUGAUUGACUCUUCUUGUUAUAGAUUCUGUAGGCUUUGCUUGAUGUAGAAUAUCCAAGGAAGAUGCCUUCAUAUGAUCUUUCUUUAAACUUACCAACUCGAUCUUUUGCAUUUUUCAAUAUAAAACAUUUGCAACUGAACACAUGAAAGUACGAAACAAUAGGCUUCUUACCUUUGAAUAACUCAUAAGGGGUUUUCUCUAGAAUAGGUCUUAAAAAGACUCUAUUUAUGAUAUAGCACGCUGUUGAAACAGCUUCAGCCCAAAAUUGUGAAGAAAUCUUAUUUUCAAUUAAAAGAGUUCUAGCCAUUUCUUCUAGCCAUUUCUUGAAGAGAUCUAUUCUUUCUUUCCACAACUCCAUUUUGCUGAGGAGUGUAUGGAGAGGAGAACACAUGCUUGAAGCCAGAUUCAUCACAAAAUUUUGUAAAAUCUUGAUUUUCAAAUUCACCUCUAUGGUCUGUUCUUAUACUUGAAAUAACAUAUCCUUUUUCAUUUUGAACAUUUUUAGCAAAUUUUUCAAAAUACGAGAAGGUUUCAGACUUACUUGCAAGGAAAUAUACCCAAGUAAAUCGGGAGUAAUCGUUCACGAUUACUAGGCAAUAUUUCUUACCUCCAAUGCUCUGGGUUCUGGUUGGUCCGAAGAGAUCCAUAUGCAGCAGCUGCAGUACAUGAUUAGUAGAGACAUGAUUUAUUGGCUUAAAUGAAUUUCUUACCUGCUUUCCCAAUAUACAUGGAGUGCAUAGAUCAGACUUUUGGUAUGAUAAAUUGGGCAGACCACGAACAAGCUGCUUUGAUGAGAUUUUGGCUAUCUGCUUCAUAUUGAUGUGACCAAGCUAUCUGUGCCACAAGCUUGCUUCGUCUUGAAUUGAAAUUGAGCAUUGCGAUUCAUCCGGUUUCAUAUCCAGAAGAUAGAUAUUUCCAUGCCUUCGACCCAUAAAAGACUGAGUAGAGUCUUUACUGAUUCCAGAACAUAUUCCUUCUUGAAAGAAGAUCUUAAAACCAGCAUCACAUAGUUGGCUUAUGCUGAGAAGAUUAUAAUUGAGUCAUUAUACUAGGGAAACAUUACUUAUUGUGAGAUUUCCAAUUUUCACAGUUCCAAAUCCCACAAUUCUUCCUUUGCUGUUUCCUCCAAAUGAGACUUUUCCACCAUUUACUUGAACAAGCUUUAUAAAGCAAUUUGAGUCUCCUGUCAUAUGUCUUGAGCAUCCAUUGUCCAGAUACCACUUUACCUUUUCUUUGAUGGAGACCUGCAUUUAAAAGAGAGUCUCAAGUUUUCUUUGGUACCCAUAUUUUCUUGGGUCCAUUGGUGUUAGUAAGAUAAACAGUAUUAGCCCAUGUUUUCUUAACAGGUUUCCAAACCAUAGGACACUUUUUUUCAAAGUGAUCCGGGCUAUUGCAUUUUGAACACCUAAGAGCAUUUCGAUCUACAGACUUUACAAAAACCUUCUUGAAAUGAUUUUUGUAGGCCUCUCUUGAGGGUCUUAGCUUGAUUCUUUCUUUUACUUUAGGAAAAUCAAUCAAGGGAAUAGUUUCCGCAGUCAUACCUAAACCAGACUUAUUGAAAUAAUGUCUUUGAACUGAAAGAAUUUUUUCAAGUUUCUCGGACCCUAUUGAAAAUUUCUUUGAAAUAUUUAAUGAGUCAAUUUUUAAAAGAGCAUUUUCUUUCAAAAGAUUUUCUUCACUUUCUUUAAGAGUAGAAACAUUCAUGUCUAAACAUUUAACUCUUUCUUUCAACACAUUUUCCUAUUGUUUUAGAACAGCGUUUUCUUUUUUAAGUUAUGAAAUCCUUUUAAGAGAAGUCUUAAGACUAAAACACAACUCAUCAAUAUACUUAGAAACCUUGACAGGAAUUUUAAAAUUACUUACCUCAAAUACAUUGUCUGAGUCUGAUUCAAAGUUUGAGUCUGAGUCUGAUUGCGCCAUCAGACACAAAUUGGCAUAUUCAUCAUCACUUCUUUCACACUCAGUAUCACUCCAGGUUUCGGCUUUGAGAGCCUUUCGAGGCUUUUCAGCUUUUCCUUUCUUCUUCUUUAGAAGGAGACCGUUGGGUUUGAUGUGUCCCUUUUUCUUACAUUCAAAGCAAACUAUAUCUUUGUUUGAUUCAUCAUCAUCAACAGACUUGGUCUGUUGUCUUUGAAAGCUUUGUUUCUUUGAGUUGAAUCUUCUUCCUUUUCUAUUCAUCUUUCUAAAUCUUCUUAUCAUGAGAGCAAGCUCCUUAUCGUCCAUAUCAUCUUCAGAAUCUGUAGCAUCAGAAUCAUCAUUUGAUUUUAAUGCAAUGGAUUUCUUACCUUUUGGAUCUUCGUCUUCGUUAAUUCGUUCCACUUCAUAAGACUGAAGAGUUCCAACCAGCUCAUCGACAGAUAGUGGCAUGAUUCUUUGCGUCUCUUUUAUUGAAGUCUUUAUGUGAUUCCAAUCCUUGGAGAGUCCACGCAGUAACUUGUUUACCUUCAUGGGAUUAGAAAUUGGUUGUCCUUGAUUUUCAAGACCAUUUACAAUUUCUGUAAAACGGCUAAACAUGUCAGUUAUAGAUUCUCCAGGUCUCAUUUUGAAGGCUUCAUAUUGACCGAGAAGGAUGUUGAUUCUGGUCUCUUUUACUCGAUCAGUUCCUUCAUAGGUGAUAUGUAACCUAUCCCAGACUUCUUUUGCUGUAACACAAGAAGAUAUUCUGUUAUAUUCAGUAGGUGACAAGGCACAAUAUAUAGAAUAUAUAGCUUUUGUAUCAAGAGUUUGUCUCUUGAUUAUCUCUUCUUGAGACAUUCCGCUGGUCUCAACAGUUUCUUUCCCUCUUUCUGAGACGGAUGCAACUUUAGGAGUGAUUCAUUUGUCUACAAUGUCCCAUUCCAGAGGAUCCUUUGAUCGAAGAAAUGAUUUCAUUUUGUUUUUCCAGAUGUUGUAGUCCUUUCCAUCAAAGUAAGGAGGUCUGGUAUUGCUUUGACCUUCCACCAGCCCUGGAGCUAGCAUACUAGCCAUGGAUCUUUUACUCUGAAGUAAAACACUUCAAAUAAAGUGAGUACACGAGCUUUGAUACCAAUUGAUAUGGCUAGUGUAAUUACCUAGAGGGGGGGUGAAUAGGUAUAACGAGUAAUUUCUAAUGAUAAUCGCACAAUACUAGACAGUUGAUAGAAAUGAGACAAUUUUUCCUCGUCAAUAAAUAAACAACGAUCAAAGUAAGAUUGAGAGUAGGGAAGAGAAAAUUGAACACGGGGUUUAUAGUGGUUCGGUUUAUUUCAAGCCUACGUCCACUCUUUUGCACUGACAGCCCACUGGCUGGAUUCCACUAUGAACAAAGAAAUAUUACAGCACUGUUCUUCCUUGAUUUCUUAGUGUAGAAUAUCUACCACACUCUCUCAAGGUAUCACUAAGUAUAAACUCUCUUUGUGUGUACAGUUUCGCUCAAUAUGAAUUGACUAGUAAUCAAGGAACUUCAGACUCUGGAAUUUCUCUAUCGAGCACUUGCUAGAAUAACUGGAACGUCUUCUUUUUAUACUCAUUUAUGCCAUAAUACCCGUUGACACUUACCAAAGGAAUUCUUCCAAUCUUCCCGUUGGACAGAAUCAAUUAAGAAGAUCAUUCGAGCUAUUUAAAGAAACAUGUCGAUAGCCCAUCAAUCAUGUUCGCCCAUACAAUCAGGAUCUUGGUUUCCAAGAAUAGAACCUUCCAAGAAUAUUUCGUCAAUCAUCGGAUCUUCAAACGAUCUUGAUUUCGAAUAAUUAAUCCGUUGUAUCAAAUCUAGCCAAGAGAUCUUCUCUAGUCGAUAAGACCAAAUCCUUAACCAAACACUUUAGCUCUGGAUCGCCUUCGUCACUAGAUUAGAAACUGUCAAUGAGAAUAUUCUUGAAUCUUGAGUCUUGUGUGCUGAGUCUGGUGAUCUGAAAGUCUUCAGACUCUAAGUACAAGGGUCUGCACAGCUUCCAGACUAGACUGAUAGAAACGUUUUGUCAGCUUCAAAACACUCUAGAGAUUUUCUCCAACACAAUUAAAUGCGGUCUAGUUCAAAAGGAAUCCCAUCUCCAUAAUCUCACCGUAAUUCAUAGUUGCCAAGCUAUCGCUAUUUGUAUUAACAAAAUCAGGUACACUAACUGCAGAGUCGCAGGUACUGACGGCAUAAUACAAAUAUAUUUCAUGCGAUACUUCCUCGAGAAAAUAAGCAAAAGAGUGGUGGGUGGAGUUGCUAGCAUAGUCCACUAGAUAUGUAAAAUUUGGCGGCGGUGAGGUGCAAUUAUAAUAGAAGAAGAAAUCGGCAUUAGUGGAACUGAGAAUGAGAGGCACGCUUUUGAAGUUGAUAUUACGUGGUGGAGCACCACAAGUGUCAUGGUACAUGAGGGCAUCAACCAGGAGGAAAGAAUGAUUCAUGUAGGAGAUUUCCUUGAUGAUGAACUCACUGACUGAAAAAUUCAGGACUGGGAAUAUCCCUACGUAGGUGAUCUUGAAAUUCGGAUAGCCACAAUAGGCGUCCUGCUCGCCCGAAAUCCAGAAAGGGUAGUUGAUGUUUGGGCCAUAUCCACAGUUCCGAGGUGUGCAGGCUUCAUAGUGCGCAUCUUCAGAUACAACCUAAUAGACUAAGCUAGUGAAGACAACGACAAGGGCCAACUGGCAACAAUUAGCUCUGCAGUUGAAGCUCUAGAGAUUCAUUUGGACUGGAAGGAGGUAGAGCAGGAUAGAAGAGAAAUCAAAUGGAGUUAGUUUGAAUUGGUCCUAGCUUCGAUAACUGUCGUGCACUAGUUCAUCGACUUCGAAGCAAAUGCCAAGGGAGGCAGAAAUUGGUCCCAUGCGUGCAUUAUUCAAGCACCCAAUGUAAAUGCAUUGUUGUCAUACACGGAAAAUCUGCACUAGAAAGUCUAGAGGAACCGACCAUGAUACUUCCUAGUCAAAGGGACCUCUUAAUAACGAUUACAUUAGAGGACUUGCCUACGUGUUGAAAUGUCAGAAUUGAUGAUGAUCUACCAAAUCAUUAGGAACAAACCUUGGACCAUCUGAGCCAAAGGGACCUCUAAAUUACACUCGGAACAAAGUUCCCGUUACAAAAAUAUUAGGAAAAAAGUAUCAAUUCAAUUCUAUACCUAUUAUAUGAAUGUCAAUUCAGUCAUAAUUUUUUCAAAUUUAUUAUGAUAAUUAUAAGUUUGACAAGAUAUUCUUACGUAGUUUUUUUGACUGAUUGCUGUCGGAAAUCCUUGACGUGAGAAUCCACAUAUAGUACAAUCGGCGAUGAUUGGACACCAUAUUAGCAAUUUCCAGCGUCAGUUUUUCAGAAGAACUACUUUGAAAUUUUGAGUAAAUGUUUAGGACUACAUUGAUAAAAUUGAUAAAUGCAUGACAAAAUUAGCAUUUACACAAUAAAUUUGGGACUAACUAGGUAAUUAUCCCACAAUUCUUACUAAGCAACGCAAAAAAUUGUUCAUUUUUUAUCAUUUCAUCCAUCAUACAAAUUUUAGUGCUUGCAAAAAAUAAAAAAUUAAAUAAUUUAUGUUGCAUAUUUCCUUGGGAGUUUUGUUCCACAUUGGAGUUGCAACUCCCUUUAAUGUAGCCUAUGACCCAAUGCUGUCAUGGUGUUAGUAAACACCUGCGUUUGAGUGUCUUAAAUCUCAGUUAUUAUUAGUAAGUUUUGAGGUAGCGAAAUUUUUGUGAUUAAAUUUUAUAGAAUACAGUGUCUACGGAAAGUUGCAGGAAUUGGCAUUUUUUAUGUUCUCUUUUACGCUUUUAUAACCAGUAAUUAUAUAACUCGGUGGCUCGUAUUAUAUAUGUGGCUACGAUUAAGAGAUUAACGAUCUCAAAUCAUUGCGAACAAAAUUUAAUAUGUAAUCAAGAGCUAUAAGGUUGUAGUAUUUUCAUUUUCUAAAUUCUCGAUUACAAUACUUUACAGAAUAAUAAUCCUGGGAAACUGAUAGAGAAAAAAUGUCUAAACAUCAUACCAAAUACAUAUAUACAUAUGAUAUACAUGAAAGCAUUGAAUUUCGAAAUUUGGACUGCCGGCACCGUGCAUUGACGCAAUAAAUUAUGUCAACAAUUUAAGUCAUGUAUGAAAUCUGAUCCAUUUGGCGGAUUUAUUGAUAUUUUUUCAAAAUCUAAAUGUGCAUUUUUUUUUUAAUCUGAAUCAUAUCUGGUUCUUUGGAAUUGAGCAGGUCCUUAAACUGCUCAUGGAAGGUAAAGGUGGGAGAACCGCCCUAGGGUGAGAGACCCCGUACUUGCCUUCCCCAGCCUCCUAGUUGGCUAGAAAAUAUCAACUAGGAAUUAGGGGGGCUAAUGGUGAUGAAGGUAAACAUCAUGUUUGGAGCAAUCUAGGCUACGACUAGGCUAGCAUUGGGUAACCAAACCAUGUCCCUCGCUCGGCGUGAAUGAGUGAGGGUGAAAUGCCCUCUGUUGGCUGAACAUGCCUAUGACACUUCUUGUAUUUUCAUUAUAUUACAUACACGAUGAGAAGGCGCUUCUUUUGAAUAUAUGCAAAAGGAAGGGCUCAAAUAUAUUUUCUAAAAGAAGUCGUGGACGUCUCUGCUAAAUGGCACUUGAAGUAUAUGCGGGUCCAGGUCAGAAGCAGUAGAUAUGUUGACCCCUAUAAAUACUCUAUUACAAACUAUGUUAGUCUGAUGUAAUUGAUAUUGAAUUGUCCCAAGUCGAGUCAUUUCUCUUUGGCAUAGACGAACUUUCACAUUGACAAGCCUCGGGUGAUCUUGAGAGUGAUGACAAGGAUGGUUUAGGAGGAAUUUGUAAGGUCUCAACACUACUUUUUAGCAUCUCCACAACUCUGGUCAUCGAUGGUCGAGCUCUCGGAUCGAUCUGAAUGCACCAUAAGCCUAUUACAAUCAUCUUCUUUGCAAUUCCUUCGUCCUCCUCAUUUGCGAUCCCAUGUAGGCCAAGCUUUUCUCAGAGCUCCAAGCGUCGGCGGACCCAAUGAGGAAAGUAUAUUUCACUUGUAUGAUCUACCGUGACUUCAAUGUUUUUCCUCUUGCUGACCAUCUCUAGAACUAUCAUGCCAUAACUAUAGACAUCCGAUUUGUGAGAAACCCCUCCGAUGUUCCUUAUGAUUAGCUCCGGAGCAAUAUAACCAGCGGUGCCUUGGGCACCAAGCAAUGACAUGAUGCUCUCUUCUCUUGGGCAUAUUUUGGAAAGACCAAAGUCGGAAAUCUUGGGACGAUAGUUUGCAUCAAGAAGAAUGUUGUGAGGUUUUAUGUGGAAGUGCAAGAUCCUUGUAUUAAAUCCUCUAUGCAAGUACUCUAGCCCGUGAGCUAUGCUGAGCGAAAUCUGGUACAAUAUGUCCCAACUCAAUUGCUGAUCUACCUCCAAAGUGUUACUCCUGUUGAAUAUGAAUUUUUCGAGUGAUCCAUUGGGCAUGAACUCAUAAACCAAAGCUCUUUUGCUUCCUUCAAAACAAAACCCCAAAAGGUUAAGAACAUUGAUAUGAGAAGUCCUACUUAUGCUCACAACUUCAUUGAAAAAAUCUUCAGCAUUGCCUUUCGGCUUCUUUAGAAGCUUUACUACCACAAAUUGAUCAUCUCGAAGCUUGCCUUUAUACAUGCAGCCAUAGCCUCCCUCACCUAACUUUUCUUUGAAAGAGUUGGUCAUCCUCUUGAUGUCUUUGUAGGUGUAUAUUCUCGGAUGAGUCCCUCAAUCUUCAUUUCGCCAUAGAAAUGUUCGCUCCUAUGCUUUAUCAAAGCCAUAAUAAUUCUGAUCACUGGUUUCUUCCUGAAGGGAAGCAUUAAAAUAAGGGUGAUCCCAAUUCCGGCUCCUGAUGCAGCCAUUCCUGAAAAAAAAUGGAGAAUAUUUUUGAACAGCAAUCUCACUUCUUCAAGGCUUCUAGAUAUUUUGGAAAUAUUGAUUCCAUUGAGCAACGAUGCAAGAUUACUGCCAAAAAGUCGCAACAAAUUGCAGAGGAGUGUAGAGAAGCGGAAGAGAAAGUCUUGAAAUAAUUACCUAUUCCAAUUUUCAGUCCAACCCUUUGUUUUCCUGAGACAAUAGUCAUCAAGAAUGAAAAAUGUGUCAACAAAUUGCAAAGUGAUAACUUCAAAGUGUCUAAGAGAUAUAAAGAUCAGACACAUCAUGAGGUAAUAGAUCAUUCUGUUUCAAGGAAGUAAAAGCGCCCGGCCCUACCCCGCCCCGAACGCGCCCCCCCCCCCAAUCAUUCACCAGUUUGGAUCGAUUAGUGACAUUUUUACCAGAGUAAUUGGAAACACAUGCAAAUGGAUCUGUGCCUGAUUGACCAACAAGUAUAGACAUUAGCUAAAAUCCUUAAUUCUAGAGCUAUCAGGGAAUGAACAGGAAGACAGCAAAAAAUAUUAGCUUGUCUAGAAGUAGCAAACACGCUGCAAUAUGAUCGACAAUGUGGUGUCAGAGGCGGAGACAGAUAAAAAUUUCUGUGUAUUGAAUGAGCGGUAUAUUAUGGACAUGUCUCAACCCUUUUAGCCUCUAAGUGGACCUAUAGGAUUGAUUAGAAGUCGUCCCGCGAAUAAAACAAGUGGGCAGCUCAUGUUCAGGCAAGAAUUUUGAAGCUUCUUGAAUCGUGUACACCCAAUUGAUGACUAGCUAACUAUUGCAGAAAGAUACAAACAUAGAAAGAUAGAAAUAUCAAAAUAUGAGGUUCCCAUAAGAUGUCUUGGGACCCAACAGAUCGGAGAGUUUUGUUUGCAGCGGUAAGCGAGUCCACAGUCUAAGCUAGGGCGAAGAAAUUGGAAAAGCUUGAGGACAUUAUCCACGGCACGUAUAAAGAGUAAUUAAAUAACAGUGAAAACAUUUUCAGUAUUUAUUUCUCCACUAUCAUCAUGAACAAAAUUUUCAUUGAUUGUGCAAAGAUAGAAUUAAGUGCGCAGUUCACCUCUAUCAAUAAUAUAUUUCAACUAUCGAAGCGAUCAGAUUUUAGCACCAUUUGUGGAGAUGUAGUUUUCCUUUUCAUUUGGUUGUGUUCAUAAUAAAAGCCCAAGAAGAAACCAGUAGUUUUAGCCCAACCCUUGCAGAAUUUUACAGUGAAGUUGAAGCAUCUUCACUCAAUUUAUUUAUACCUUUUGAUGUUAUGGGUAGCAGAUGCCGACCUAAAGAUCUAACUGUUAAUUGCAGUCCAGUUCAAUAGGAACCCCUUCUUCAAGCUAGUGAUUCAAGCUAGUGAAAUCGGCAUUAAUAGAAACAGGAGUGCUAACUGUGGAAUAGUAGGAGCGGACGACAGAAUAGCAAUCCAUUUCCUGCAAUGCUUCCUUGGGAAAAAAGAAAAAGAAAAAGAAAAGCAAAAGAAUGGCGCAUGGAGUUGCCAACUCGGUCCACUGGACUUGUAAAAACAUGUUGGCUACGAGGUGCAACUAUAGUAAAAGAACAGAUCAGCAUUAGUGGAACUGAGAUUGAAAGUCGUCCUCUCGAGGUUGAUAUUAUGGGGCCGGAGCAUCACAGGAUUCCUGCUACACAGGGGCAUUAGCCAGGAGGAACCAAUUGUUCGCAUAAAAGAUAUCCUUGAUAGUGAAUUCCCUGUCCGAGAAAGUCAGGACAUGAUAUAUCUCCUUGUAGGUAAUUUUGAAACAGAUAGCCCCAAUAGGACUCUUGUUCACCAUAAAUCCUAAAAGGGUAGCUAAUGUUCAGCCCAUAUCUACAAUUCCGAGGCAUGCAAGCCUCGUAUUGUGCAUCAUCCGAUAGAGCCACAUAGACUAAGUUGGUGAAGAUGAUGAUGAUGACUGAUUGGUGACAAUUAGCUACUCACAUUAAGUUUUGUGAUUCAUCUAGACUGGAAGGAGGCAGAGUAUUGCAGAGGACAGAAGAAAUAGGUAGGAGAGAGCGUGGAAAGCAUUUGCAAAAAAAUCAAAUGGAGUCGAUCUGAGUUGGUCCUAACUCCUAUCACUGUUGUGUCUCGUGUGCAGGCUGCCUUGUUUGGCCCUUCUCUCCUCUGUUGUGGCUGUUGUUUUAGCCUUUUUCUUUGCUGCUAUUCUUUCUUUCCCUGUUCUACAGCUUUACCCCUGGUACCCUUCCACUCGUUUGACUACCUUGUCUUUUGAGUUUAAGCUUUUUGGUUCCGGGUGUCACGCCCCAAUCCUCGGUCACGUGCCCAUCCUUAUUUUAUCUGGUUGAUUUUAAACUUGCGAUAUCCCAGGACUACGUAUCGCCGACACUUUCAUUUAUUAAGCACAUGCGGAAGCAGUUAUUAAUCCCCAGACAACAAAACAAUGGGAUAGAAAAGUAGGGCCAUAAUUUCCAUACUGAAAUUCACAACCACUCUUUUACACAAAGCACCUCAUAAUAUAUAAUGUAAUACUAUUCACAGGGGUCUGAUCUAACACUUCUCCACAUAUAAUCAAGGUCUGACAAACAAGAUGGGAUCUCAGUCCUCAUCCGGGUCGUACUCAGGAUCCUCCUCAUGGUCAUCUUCUUCUCCAAAAUGUUCCUCCUUAUUUGGUUCCACAUCAAGGUUCUCCUCUUCAGGUUCUUUCUCCUCAGGCUCCUCAUCAGGGUCCUGAAAUGGUUAUUCAAUAACCAUUGAGACCACGUCUCAGCAAGUUCUACCCCCUAAGACUCGAUUAGUAAACUAAUACGCCAUAGGGCUGCUUAUGCACAAUAUGAGUCAGAGGACUUACCUUGGCCUCAGAUUCCACCUGCAUAUUAGCACAGUUCAGUAGGCACCCAAGUAAUCACAUUACUGAUCGAAGCAUCGAUCAAAUCGACCUAGUCGAUUACAUGUCAAUCAGACCAUCUCAUGGUCAUUUCCAAUCAAUCAGUCAAUUCACAACAUCAGAUCAAAGAAAUGAUCAAUCGACCUAGUCGAUUACAUGUCAUCACGACCCAUGCUUGGUCGGCACAUUCAAUACUAUCUAUAAUCCGACCAUAGUCCAGGACUACUCACUCUAAGCUGAUAUAUAGGUAGUAUAGCUCGCACUAAGCUGAUAAGGUUAAGGUAUACUGCUCUCGCUAAGCUGACAUAUCGCCCGUAGGCUGAUAUAGUAUACCGGUAUACUGCUCUCGCUAAGCUGACAUAUCGCCCGCAGGCUGAUAUAGUAUACCCCCGAUGCUCACACUGAGCUGAUAAAGUGUACUGCUCGCGCUAAGCUGACAUAUCGCCCGUAGGCUGAUAUAGUACACCAGUAUACUGCUCUCGCUAAGCUGACAUAUCAUAGCCCAUAGGAUGAUAUAGUAUACUAUCCGACCAUUCAAUCCAUUCCAUCUUUUAUCCUUCUCGAUAAAAUAGUCGUGUGUGGGGACACGGUCGGCCUUAGCCAAAAUAUAAUAUUUUCCUUUCCAUAACUCCCACAUUUUCUAUAGUCCACUCAAAUAUUUUUGGCAUUAUUAAUCGAUGCCCGGUUAUUUUUCAAUUAAUAACCAAUGAUUAUCCAAUUAAAGAAUAAUUCCCUCUUUCACAAAUAAUUCAAUUUAGCAUGAAAUAGAGUUAAAUUAAAUAAACAGACUGCGCCACGACAAUCAGCAUAAAAUUUCGGUCACUGGCCAUCCCAGUUGAAUUUCCGAGAAAUAAAUAAUUAAAUAAUUAAUUUCGGAAAAUAAAUAAAUAAAUACAAUAAAUUCAAUUUAGCACAAUAUAAAGCUCAAUUAAAUAAACGGACUGCACCACGAUCAUCAGCAUAAAAUUCCGGUCGUCGGCUAUCCCUGCCUAAUUUCCGGAAAAUAAAUAAUUUAUUAAAUUAAUUUCGAAAAUUAAUAAUUAAAUACUAAAAAUCCAAUUUAGGCCCAUAAUGCCUGAUUGGAUGCCAGAACGAAUCGGGAAAAAUCCCGAGAUGCAUUCGAUAAUUAUUAGAAGCUCUCUAUUUGCUAAUGACUAAGUCUAACCACCUAACAUGCAUCAUUAAGUCACUAAUUUAAUUAUUCUAAACUAAUCUAACCACCUAAGUGCACUUAAUUAAAUCUAACCAAUCCUUAAGCAUAAUUAGCAAACUAAGAAAGCAUUAGUGAGUAAAACUCACUUAAUUAAAAGCGGGGACCGGGACACCGCGACGGCGACGCGACGACGGCCGAAAUCGGGCUUUCGACAACACCGGCGGACUUGGACCGGGCCUCGACCUUGGCUCAACAAAUCUCAGCCCAAAUGAGAUUUGUUCUUGCGCUAGACUGGGCUGAACUUGCUGGGCCUCGCUGAAACUAAACUGAACUGGGCUUCAAGAUGUGGACUGGGCUUCAAUUGCUUUGCUGGAAAAUUGGGCCUCAAACUUUCAGUUGAUGGGCUGCUGGAGAUUUGGGCCGAGCAAGUUACAAAAUGGAAGCUGGGCUGAUCAGUGGACUGUACCAAAAGACCCGAAUUGCUGUUGAAGAUGGGCCUUGCCGAACUGGGCCUGUCUUUGCUGGGUUGCACUCUGCAAACCGAAGCUGAAUCAAAGGAGCUGGCGUCGACGAAGGCUUGCUGGGAUCUUCGACGGUUGACCUGGGGAAACAGAAUCGCGGACAGCUGGCCGCGGAUGGAGAGAAGAUGGCGCUCGGUGGCUUCGCUGGCAGAGACGUGCGGACGAUGGAGUAGCUUCGUGGACGUUUGGCUGUCAACAACCGAGAGGAUGAAGCUGCUUCGUUGACCCGUGAAGUGAGCUGGCGUUGGGGGAGUUGUCGCGAACGAAGAGGGGGAAAAGCAACUUCGGGCGAGGCUUCUGGGCUCGAGGGAUGUGGAGUGGCGGACGAGCGGCAGCGUGAGAAGACUCGGUGGAGGCGUUGGACGCGUGUGGCUUCGCUGGCUUUGCUAGCUUCGUGCAACUGGGACGCGGAGGAAGAUUGGUGGAGUGGAGUCAACAAACCGGUUCGUGGUGCUUCGUUGGUUGACCGAGGCGAGGAGGAGGUGGACGCGUGGAGAAGAGGGCGCGGGCUUCGGUCAACUACGGCUUCUGUGGGAGAUAAGAGCUGACUUUGGCGGGGUUCUUUGGUGGAGAGAAGCUCGGUGGAGAUGGGCUGUCUCGGUGGAUGAAGGUGGAGUCUUCGCUGGGUUGUUUCGAAGGAGUUUCAGGGAAAUGAAAAGCAAGGUGGAGACGUGCGCAGGAGGAGUCGGUGGAUGGGCGUGCGGAAUGGAGCAAAGAGGAGAAGCCUUGGACGGCAGCUGAGUGAGAGGGAAGAGAGAGAUGGAUAGAGAUGAGGUUGAGGAGCCCACAAGCCUUCAUUUUCCACAUGAUUAUCCCCUUGAACCCUUCCUAGCCAAGUCUUCUUCCUUGCUCACCUUAGGCCAACAAUGCACUCUCCAUAACAUCUCAAUUGGUCCAAAAAAAUGCUAGGGGAAGGGGGCUACGAAUUUUAAAAUCAUGGCUUCAAAUUGGAUACACAUCCCAUCUCAAUUUCAUCUCAAAUGGCCUCCACAAAAUCAAUUAACCUCUCUAGGCCUCAAUCUCAUCCUCUAUGUCUCCCCCAUCAUUUUCAAGCAUAAAUUCCACCAUUAAACCAAUUUAAGGUCCAAAAUAAUGCUAUCCUCCCUUAGUUCCGAAUUUCACAUUUUGAGCUUCCAAUUUCUUCGACGAAUUCCCAAAUUGAGAUCCAAUCUCGAUGAAGAAAAAUCCCGAACAAUUUUCUAUAAAUCCCCGACACUCAUUGGCUUGGCUUGAAAGUCCAAACUCUCUUAAAUUCGGUCCAUACGAAUUUCUGUUAAUUUUCCGCGACGUCCGAACGAUUUUCCGUAAAAAUCUCGGAAUCUCUGAAAAACCUUUUGAGACUGAGUCGACGUUCCUAGAAUUGAUCGUGACACCACAGAACUUUCCAUUUCUGAAAUCGGACUCGAAUUCACGGUUAAUUUCCAUUUGAUGCGUUUUUAGCGUGACCUAAACUAUCGGGUAACUUUUAGAAAUUUUUAGUUCAAGUGACCCGUGGUCGAUUUUCUUCGAGCCACUAUGAACCCACUCGACUCAUUGGCGACUUUCGAUUGUCGUAAAAAUCUCGAGAAUUCAAGUACGGACACAGGUUACCAAAACGAUAAGAAAAUUAGUCUAGUGUUGGUCGACGAGAAUUUCCCAAUUUAGUGGUGUCACCCACGAUUAGCCACGCAUCUCAAUCGAACCAACCUGUAUCUGAUCUCAAAUCGAUUUAUAUCUGUGCCGUAAUGGUCUCGACAGAUGGGCAUGGUCGAGAAGUCGAUUCAUGGUCGAAUUCUCAAGUCUAUUUGCCUUAAAAUUCUUAAUGGUUUCCCUAGAUAGUCUAGUUAUCUCGAGAGUGAUCAGCUCUGAGAACAGCCUUAUAGGCGCGUCAAUGAAAUGCCCGAUUUAUUCAGUAGAAAACAGGGUCGAAAAUCUGGGAUGUCACACCGGGGUCCUUAGCUGUACAAUUGUAUAGCCUCUUGGUUCAAAAGUCAAUAUAAUACUUACCUUUUACCAACAAAAAAAAAAACUCCUAUCAUUGUUUUGUGCUAGUUCUUCAACUUCAAAGCCAAUAUCAAGUGAGGCAAAAAGUGGCCUGAAGCAUGCAUAUGUAUCGAAUUAAAGCAUAUAUGGCCAUGCUUGGAUCCACACUCAUUAUAGUGCUUAUACUAAUAAUAAAUAAGGUCAUGUCACAAUGAAAACCUAUAGCAUGAUGGAGUUAAUUAUAUUACAAUUCAAAUAUAUGAAUGUUACAUAUUUCAACUCAACACUUCAUCAGAGGAUAGGUACACUAAUGGUACCAUAAGUUGUGUACAACGCUCACUUUGGUGCCAAAAGUUUCCGUCGGAUCAUUUAAGUGCCAAAAAAUUUGAAAAACGCUCACUUUGGUGCCAACGCCGAUCUGAUCGGCCGAAAAUCUGACGUGGCAUUUUUUUAUUAAUUUCUUAUGCUGAUGUGGCUCGCCGGAGUUUCCAUUAGAUCACUUAAGCCUUCAAACGAUGUCGUUUUAGCAUCCUAACACCAAAACGACGCCGUUUUGUGUCUUUCCUCCAAAUUCAAAACCCUAAAUCCCCAAACGACACCGUUUUGUGUCAUCUUCUUCCCCAAGCAGAUUCGUCUUCUUCCCCGAACAGAUCCAGCAACACCAAUAGCACCAAACCAAUAACACCAACAGCAGAGAACUAGCAACACCAGUAAUUUUCCAGAAAAGAAACAACGCAUUCGCCUCCGCCCUCCCCUAGUAGUUUUCCCCCAUUUUCAAUUACCUUAUCAACCUUUCAAAUCCCUUAAUCUCAGCCUCACCAUCGCCUUUUCCCAAGAAAUAUCGUUGAGUGCAGAGGAAACGCGAGCUCGAAGAAUCCCCAGAAGCACGAGCGAUCCGGCCAAUGGUAGCCGCGAAGAUCUGGAACUCCACGGAGGUUGUCGGCGAAGCCAGCUGCUACGAAGGUGAUGGCCAUGGCCCCGCCAUCCCCUCCUCUGCCCUCAUCGUCGACACCUCCCUCUUUCUCGGGAUUUUCUGUUUGUUUUUCUUUUCUUUCUUUCUUUUGUCUUGCUAUGGCAAGCAACUACAAUGGAGGUUGAGGGAUGGCAGCUGAGCGACGGUGGCCGAGGGACAGCGGCCAAGUGACGGUGGCUGAGGGACGACGGCCAAGCGACGGUGGACGAGCAAUGGCGGACAAAAAAAACCCUAAUUUCAAUCUCCAAAUAAAAUUAACAAAACGGCGUCGUUUUUGUGAGGCUAUCCACAUAGGAUGGCAAAACGACGUCGUUUUCUUUAAAAGGACGGAAAACGACACCGUUUAAAAGGCUCCAUGAUUUUUUUUUAAAUAUAAAAGCCACGUAAUCAUUUUGGUCGGAAUCUGUCGUCGGUGGCACCAAAGUGAUCGUUUUUCCUCCGAUUUGACACUUAAGUGAUCCGGCGGAAACUUUUGGUACCAAAGUGAGUGCCGUACACAACUUAUGACACCAUUAGUGUACUUAUCCCCUUCAUCAGAUUUUAGCACCACUAUUCACGGAAGCUAUCUUUCUUUCUUUUUUUUGUUUGAUCCUGUGCACAAGAAAAUCCCACAAAGAAGAGCAAGUUGUUUUGGUCCAACAUUUGAAAAAAUUUACUAUGACUAUGGUGUAGCUUCAGCCUCACUCAAUACAUUUUAACCAUUGGAUCUUGUGGGAUGUAGAUACCAACCUCUGCACAUAGAAAUGAAAGAUCAAGCAAAAUAGUAGAUUUGAAAACUUAGUUGAGAAGAAAAAACCGAAAAAACUCCCCCAUGCACUCAACAUGAUAGAAGGUUUGAGAAUGAGGACCAUCUGGGCAAAAGCAAACAAAAUUAUUGUUCUCGAACCUGCACCGUCCCUCACUUCCCUCGCAGUUGCUGCAAUUAAUUGCAGUCCAGUUCAAAAGGAACCCCAUCUCCGUAAUCUCACUGUAAUUCAUAGUCCUUAAGCUAGCGAUAUUUGGAUUGACGUCAAUAGGUAGUAGCAGGAGCUGACCGCAGAAUACAAAUCUAUUUCCUGCGAUCCUUCCUUGAGAAAAAAGAGUGGUGGGUGGAGUUGCUAGCAUAGUCCACGGGAUAUGUAAAACCUAUGGGCUGCUAGGUGCAAUUGUAGUUGAAGAAUAAAUCGGCAUUUGCGGAACUAAGAUUGAAAGACGUCCUUUCAAUGCUGAUAUUACGCAGCAGAGCACCACAGGAGUCCAGGUACACGAGGGCAUUAACCAGAAGGAACGAAUGGUUUGCAUAGAAGAUAUCAUCGAUCAUGAACUCACUAUCCGAGAAAGUAGGCUAGGGUAUGUAUCUUUGAGGUAAUCUGGAAAUUCGGAUAGCCACAAUAGGACUCCUGCUUGCCGGAAAUCCAAAAAGGGUAGCUGAUGUUUGUGCCAUAUCUGCAGUUUAGAGGCACGUAGGCCUCGUGCUGUGCAUCCUCUGCUACAGCCUGAUAGACUAAUUUGGCGAAGACGACAAUGAGGACUAAUUUGGGAUUGGAAGAAGGAGGCAAAGCAGGAUGGGUGAGAAUUCAAAUGGAGUUGGUUUGGAUUGGCCCUAGCUCAAAUGGCAAGCGAAGCGAGGCAGGAAGUGGUCCUAUGUUUGCAUUAUUCAAGCACCCAAUGUAAAUGCAUCAUUGUCCGCAUCGGAAAAUCUGCCCCAGAAAAUCUUGGGGAACAAACCAUGAAACUUCAGUCAAAAGGACCUCUUAAUUACAGUUAGGCCGGAGGGCCCGCCAAGGUGUUGAAAUGUUGACAUUGAUGAUGAUAUGCCUAACCAUUAGGAACAAACCAUGAAACUUCCAAGCAAAAUCUCACGUUUUACAAAUCCUGGGAAAAUUACCAAUUGAGUUUUAAAUUUAGUGUAUGAGUAUCAAUUCAGUCCUAAAUUUUUCAAAUUCGUUAAUAUACUCUUUAAUCUUUGCUAGAAAUUCCAAUACACUUUUUCCGACCAAUUGCAGUUGAAAAUUGCUAAUAUGGCGAUCCUUAAGUUGUCAAUAUCAACUUGCCACUUAAGAUGAUCGGCGAUAAUUGUACAUCACGCCAACAAUUUCUAGUAUCAAUUGAUUAUAAUGAUUAUAUUGAAAUUUCACGUAAAUAUUUACCAUUAUAUUGGCAAAAUUGAAAAACUUACAACUAAAUUGAUAUCCGUACAAUAAGUUUAUGACCGAUUCGAUAAUUAUCUUUUUAUAUAGCAUAUUUCCUGGGGGUUUUUUCUAAUGAUAUAUACUGCUAAGAAUAAUAUUAAUACAUAUAUAAUGGGGAGAUUUCGUCCAAAAUUAAUUCAUAAAAGAUCGAGUAUUUGAGUUAUCAAAUGCUGUUCAUCUUGUAAAUAGAAUCGAGCCCCUGAUAAUUUUGUCUAUCACGGACCGAAUUAAUCACCGAUCUGAUGAGAACGAGUCAUACUGUGGCGUUGGUCCGCAGUGACGUCAAGCACGAAGAAUUCAUAUUUAUCUGCAAGAGGUGGGGACUCUCGGCCACUUUCGACUUCAUUCAUAUGACUUACUGCGCUACGCGGGAAACAUGUUUGCCUGGGAAGGAAUAUCUCAGUCUUGCACAUAAUUAUUUAAUAAAACAACCGCGUUUCCCUUCUGGCGCACAGAUUAGAUUAAGGUAGUUGAAAGUGGAGAAAGGCAGGGUAUAGUCACCCAAAAAAGGGAAAAAAAAAAUGACACCUAAGAAGCAUCGACACUUUUCAAAAGCCUUCAUGUUAUGUCGGACAUUCUGAUACGUAUCCAACACUUUUAGACACUCUCAGACACUCGGUCAACAUGUAUCGGAAAAUCCGAUAACUAAUCAAUUUUUCCGACACUCAAGUAGGAAUCUUGAUAUGUAAGUUUCUCACACCUGAUUUCAAUAUGUGGAUCAAUUUAAAAAAAUUUCAAUAAAUGAGAGGUUAAAAUGUGUGUGUAUAUAUAUAAUGGAAAAAAGGAAAACCUAAUCCUCUCAUCUUUUGACUUUUACUUCUUGUAAUAUAUAAUUUAUCCCAAAGUUUUUUUUCUCCUCUUCCAACAUGCCUACUCUUUUAACAUGUCCAACACGCGAAUCUAGAAUGUGCAUUGCUUGUUUUUUUCUCCAAGUUUUAUAAAUUAUUGGAAUGGAGUUGAAUUUGUCAAAUUGAAACAAUUAAUGAUACUAAUAAAUUAUGGAUUAAUGUUUUCAUUGUAAAUUCAUUCUAGGCUUUUAUUUAUUUGUUUGUUUAUGAAUUUGAAUUAAAUUAAUUUGAUUAGAAUAAUCAUAAAAAUAAAAAUAUAUAUUUAAUAUACAAUGUGUCCCAAUGUAUCAGACUUUUCUAUUUUUAAGAAACGGCAUGUUGGUGUAUCGUGACGUGUCGUGUCACGUGUUAUGCAUCAGUGUCGGUACUAUUUAGAGUGAUCCAUGUGAAAGAAGAAUGUCAAGUACAACACAAUCAUUGUCCCUAUGGAAGGGCCAAAUCCCGUUGCAACAAAUUGGAAGUUGGGGAGAAGAGGAGCGGUGGGGUGCAACAACUGGAUUCAGGAGAACGUUACCACUCAAAACGGGACAUCUCUGUAACGUUUUAGCUUGUUAAACUCAAACACUCAAGUAUGUGACAAUUGAAAUCUUGAUGCACAUCCAUCAAAAAGUUGUAUUUUGUGGUGUUUUCUAGGUAAACUAAAUUGCACUCUUAGACCAUAGAUAAGGCCUACCUCAUAGGUGACAAAAACAUGCAUAAAGGCACGCCCGGUGUUUAGGUAGCAUUAUAUGGCAAUUGAAAUCUUGAAGCAUAUACACAAAAAGUUGUGUCUCGGAAGAAGAGGGCAGGCUUUAGAGUCUUUGAUUUACAAGGGAAGCGUUGAAUGGGAUUAACUUGGACUCUUAAUUUGUUGAAAAAUCUUGUGAGGUUGUGUAAUUGAGUUUUGAGCUAGAACAAGAUUAUGAUCCUGUUUAGAAAGCCCUAUAGGAAUUAAGAUGCGUUUGAAAUGUACCCUUUUCUCCCAAAUUGUUGAGGAUGCAAUUGACAUGUACCUUCUUGAUCUCGACUAGCUUAUUUCCAAAAAAAUAAUUAUUUUUUCUAAAAUACACACUACGUUAUUAUAAUUUCUAUCAUAUUUAUUUACACACAAAAAAAAAGAGAGAAAAAAAAUUAGAUAAUUUGGUUUCAGAUUGUCGGUUAUUUUCUCGAGACAAGUUUGGAAGCCAAUUUAAAAGAUUGUCUUGGGUUAAGGACGAGCACGAGGUACAUUAGGGAAUAAUCGAGUACCGGCAACGAUCAGCACGAAACUCCCCGAAGAUGGACAACAAGCAUUAAGGUUUGCUUGGAGUCCGAAAAUUACAGGAAAGGGACUAACGAUUAACCCGACACGACCCCGGACCAUGGAGACUUGCGAGGGUUGGCUUUGGAGCUUGCCUUAUGGACCAAACAAGACCUCAUGGACAGCGACAUGUGACCAUGUAACACCUCAUAAACGAGCAAAAAAAUCACGCCCGAACGUCUAGAAAUCAAAGUAAACUAGCUACUGUACAUGCAUACACCAACAUACAGGCAAAUGUGAUAUAAAUGCUAUCAAAAUGAGAUCCAAAACCAUAAUAAGUUAGAACAAGACGAUGCUUGACAGAAUUUAAAUACGAGCAAAUGAGAUGGAUUUAAACACAAAAUUGGACAUAAAUAGCACGAAAUAAAAAAUGGAGCGGUCGUAUGCUAUCCUUAAAGAUAAAUAAUCGCUAAAUGAGCUGAAAUGACAUAAGGGAACAUUUUUUUUUUUUUGGUCGAAAAACACAACUUACGUUCAAGAGAACGUAAGUUUACAACCUGAAAGGAAAGCAUCAACGGUUACAAGAUCAAGUAAAGCGAAUGGGGGAAAAUAUAAGCUGUUAUGGGCCGAAGCUGAUAUGUGGGCCUUCGCAGCCCAGUCAGCAACUAGGUUAGCAUCACGGUAGCAAUGCUGCAGCUUCAGAUUCGGGAACUCAGCAAGCAAAGCGGCAGCUUCAUCGAUCACCAAUCGAAGCUCCCAUGGCGGCACUCGAUGCCCUUUUACGACUUCAACAAGAUUCAAGCAGUUGGUUUCCACCUUUAGAGAAGCUUCGUGGAGAUGUCGAUCGAUCAGAUAUUGAAGAGAAGACGUCAGAGCCUAAAUUUCUGCUUCAAACGCAGAGUGUGCCAGAACUCAAUUCGUAUACACAUCGGUAAGGCGCCCUUGAUCAUCUCUGUUAAUACAGGCUAUUAUACCUUCAGUGCUACCCGGCUGAUAGCUGGCAUCGAUAUUACAUUUUAGGGUGCCUUUUGCAGGGGGACGCCAGAGGUGAGCCCGAUCAAUGGAAACCAAACCAGAUCUCAAUUGGGAUGAAUCUGAGUGGAGUUGAUACACAGUCAUGUGAGCCAUUGCUGUCUGUACAACCAUGGAGGGAUUCGGAGGUUGAUUUCGAAAAAUAAAUUUGUUCCAUAGUCGCCAGAUCUGCCAGAGGAUGUUGGCCACGAGAGGUAGACUGGGUGAGUGCUGAGGAGCAUUCGCCCUUGCUGUAAGCCAUGUAUCAAAACUAUCACUUGUGAGCGUCGUCGUGUAUACAUUAAUCUGGGGGUUUGUCCAAAUAGCACAAGUCCAAUUACAUUGUAAGAAUAUAUGCUCUACGGUUUCUGGAACAUGCUGCUGACAUAGAUAGCACCGAGGAUCCGUAAUUAGAUGCCUAUGAAAGAGGUUUGCUCGGGAUGCCAGGGCGUUGUGGCAAGCAAACCAUAGGAAAAGUUUAAUUUUCGGUUCUGUUUUCAUAGCCCGGAUACUUUUCCAUAAUACUGAGGAUUGUUGAUUAGAGGUAGAGGGUCUGUUGUGUUGUUGAAUGUUGCAUGAUUGCUUGAUAGAAUGAUAAUUGAUGCGCACCGUAUGGUUGCCAUCUGCAUUGGCCGACCAAAUCAGUUCAUCUUUUGAAUAAAUGACCUGUUCUCCAAAAAAUUGAUGUAACAAAGAAAGAUUCUAAUUAUGAUGGAUGGGGUCAAUAAGAUCUGCUACCAUAAGAGGUUCUUCCCUAGCUUUAGGUCCAUGGAGAAUGCCCAUUGGUAACCAUCUAUGAGCUCGAAUUAUGAUCUUGUUACCAUUCCCAACUGACCAGCAAAUAUGAGGUAGAAUAACUUCUCUUCCCAUCAGUAUGCUUUGCCAUCCCCAGGAUGGCCUAGUGCCCUGAUUAGCUGAGAGGAAAUCUAUCAAAUGGAAAUAUAAACCUUUAAAUAGUUUGCUCCAUAAUGACUAAGGCUGUUGUAGUAAUUGCCAAGCCUGUUUUCCAAGCAUCGCUUUAUUAAAGGCGAUUAGGUGUCGGAAUCCCAUACCUCCUUUCUCUUUUUUUAUCUUUCAUAAGGUCCCAUUGCAGCCAAUUUAUACCUGCUCUAUUCUGAUCAUUCGUCCACCAAAAGCAAGCAAUUCGUUGUUCAAUAGAUUUGCAAAUAGAAAGAGGCAAUUUAAAUAUAGGCAUUGCAUAGUGUGGAAGAGCUUGAACGACAGACUUAAUGAGAAUUUCCUUACCCCCUUUUGAUAUAAGUUUCUCCUUCCAACCCUCUAGUUUAGCGUUAACUCUAGCCAAUAGCCAAGAAAACAUUUCCUUCUUCGAUCGGCCCCAUUCUGAUGGUAUGCCCAGAUAUUUGCCAUAGCGUUGCAUGAUAGGAGUUCUAAGUUCUCGAGACAUUAUCCUGAAGAGUAAUAGGGCAGUGUUUGCUGAAAAUCAUACCUGAUUUGUUGCGAUUAACAAGCUGUCCAGUUGCCAAGCAAUAUAGGUUUAAAAUGUUGGCCAAGUUCUGACAUUCUGAGAUAGUACCAUUCAAAAAGAAAAUCGCAUCAUCAGCAAAAAAGAGAUGGGAUAAAGUAGGACACCAUCUAUUUAACCGGAUCCCCUUCAGAUGUCCAAUACUAAUAGCUUGUGUAAUUAGGGUCGAUAGAACAUUAGCCAUUAGAAUGAAGAGAUAUGGUGAUAGUGGAUCCCCCUAGCGAAGGCCACGGGAUGGAUGGAAAUAAGGUAAUGUUUCCCCAUUUAACUUCACACUGAAAGCUACUGUGGUAAUACACUGCAUAAUCUAGCUAACCCAUUUUGGAUGAAAGCCCAGUUUAAGGAGGUAGUCCCUAAGAAAAUCCCAUUCCACUUUGUCAUACGCCUUUGUCAUGUCUGUUUUUAAAAUUGCAUUGAAUCUACAUGUCCUCUUUCUUGUUCUAAAGUGAUGGAGAACCUCUUGGACAAUAAGAAUAUUAUUUCGGAUCUGUCUUCCUUGCACAAAAGCUGAUUGUUCUUUAGAAAUAAGAGUAGGUAAACAAGGUUUGAGGCGAUUCGCAAGUACCUUAGAGAUGAUUUUAUAUGCAAAAUUGCAUAGGCUGAUGGGGUGAUAUUGCUGAAGCUUCUCAGGUUGAGGUGUCUUAGGAAUCAACGAUAUAAUAGUAUGAUUCAGACCUGUAGGUAAUACCCUUGACAUCAAGAAAUUCUGAACUAGGAGGAACAGGUCUUCUUUGACAAUUUCCCAAUGCUUUUGAUAGAAUAAUCCAUCCAAACCAUUAGGCCCAGGUGCUUUAUUUGAUCCCAUUUGAAAGGUAGCUUACCGCACCUCUUCCAUUGUAAGUGAGGCAGUAAGCUGAUCAUUCAUUUCGCUAGUGACCACCUAGUUACAUUAAUCAAGUAAAGGUUCAUAGUUCCUAUAGCCAUCAGAUGUAUAUAAGCGUGAAAAGAAAGUGGUGGCCAUAUCUUUAAGAGUAGGGAUAUCACGAACCCAUAGCUGAUCCUCGGUUUGCAACAUCGUAAUUUGGUUUCGCUGCCUGCAUUGUAUCGUAGUAGUAUGGAAAAAUCUUGAAUUUUUGUCGCCCCAUUUCAGCCAUUGAAUUCUGGAGCGUAACGCCCAAUACUGUUCUUCCUGUUUCCAAGUUCAAGAAAUUUCCUCUUUGAUUUUGGAAGCCUCUACCCUGUCAUAAUUGAGAUGUGGCUGGUUCGUUAGGUUCUUUAACUGAUUUUGUAGGCUAAGUACCUUGUUGUGUCGAUUAGAAAAUUUGUUCUGGCUCCAUGCAAUCAAAGCCUUUAUGACCCGCUCCACUUUUGUAAGGAAACUGGGAUAUAACUAACAAUGUGAGUUCCAUGCUCGAGAGAUAACUUCUUGGCACUCCUCAUCCUCAUUCCAAUAGCUCUAAGAAAGAAAGGAUUUCUUUAUGUGACGAUAGCUUGCUGAAGUAUAAAUAAGUAUAGGGCUAUGGUCAGACCCCACAGCUGGAAGUGCAUACACUCCUGCCCUUGGAAAUGAGAGACGCCAUUCCAUAGUACACAGCACCCUAUCCAAUUUCUCUUUCACAAGCUCCUCUCUCUCUCUCUCUCUCUCUCUCUCUCUCUCUCUCUCUCUCUCUAUUGUUCAUCCAUGUAUACUUACAUCUCAGUGAACUCACAAUCAUUAAUAAAAGCUCUGAAGGACAGCAUCCGAGACUGGUGAGCAGGAUGUUUCCCCAUUUUUUCCCAAGGAUAAAGGAUCUCAUUAAAAUCACCUGCACAUAUCCAUGGUAAACUGUUGCUAACAUGUAGGGGCGUGGAUAAAAGUAAUACUAAUAGGUCUACCUCUCUUCCCCUGACAACCGCUAGUAUGAAACAAGUAUGGAUUAUAAGAGAGAACCUGUAAAUAGGCCGGCUCAUUCCAAAACAAUGCUAAACCACCAGCAAAACCAACUGGGUUGAGGAUAUGAGCAUGUUGGAACUUUAAACUGUGCUGAACACGUUGAAUCUUCACUUCAUGUUGCUUUGUUUCCAUUAAAAAAAACUACAUCGAGCUUAUCUUUGGCCAUAAUGGCCUUUAGAGCCUGAAUUGUCAGGAGAUUGCUCAAACCCUCACAGUUCCAGGAUAGUAUUCUCAUUUGUGUGUGGGUGGCUAUUUGGGGCUAGCCACCAAAGCCCGGACUUCUGCUUCGUCCGCUGUAAAUAUGGGGGUGUCCAUGAGAUGUGAAUCGUUAUGGUCCUCGAUCGUCACAUCUUUUGUUUCAUAAGGGCUAUAUCUACGUUGUUUUUUUGCCGAACCCAAAGUGGGUUUUGACCUAAUGUUCUUGCCCCUCUUUGUUGCUUGAAUAUCCAUCGACCUAGUUUGAAUACCUUUCAUUUUUGUGUCUGCAGGUAGAAGUGUUGUAUAAAUAGGGGUUGGAUGCGCUGCUGAGUGCUAAAGAAGGUGCCGAUCAGCUUCAACCUUAGAGUCUUUGGAUCCUAAACCUGCAAUAACUGUGGUUGUUGCUGUAACCAUUGGUGGUGGGGGCAAUAAGGGAACCGUAGGAAGCUGUGAAUGUGGAGUUUCAGGUAUGGCAUCUUCUAUUGGUCUAACUUGUCAUGAAUAUCAUAAAAUGUAUGCCAAUAUGGACUAUGUUCCUUUACUUCGGCACGGAGCCACUGGCCAUAGGUCAUCUUCUCUUUGCCCUCAUGUUUGGCCUCAGUAUAUGGUAUGUCUUUGCAGUACGUUGCAUAGUGACCAAGCUUGCCACAGGAAUAGCAGAAGUGCGAUAAUCUUUCAUAGCGAAAAUCAAGCCAAAAAGGUUUACCUACUAUCCUUAUCUGCUUUCCCAUUUUAAGAGGUCUUUUAAAUCUAAUUCAACCCUAACUUGGCUUGCUCUUGACGAUGUUCCAUCCUUCGAAUCAACCUUAACUUCUAGUACUCGACCAACCUGCUGCACUGCCCUGAUGAGCAUCCGCUCAGAAUACCAUUCUAAAGGUAAGCCGAACACAUGCACCCAAAAAGCACAUGUAGAGAAAUCAUAGCAAUGUAAGGAAGUGUUCGGAAUCCAGGGUUUAAAGAUAACGAGAUUGCCCAAGAAAAGCUAAGGGCCACCUUCCUGAAUUCUUUGUUUGUCAACUUCAGAGUGAAAUGUUGCAAUGUAUAUCCCUUCCUCGCGCUGUGAAAUAUCGACUAGAUCAGUUCUCCAGGCUUUUUCAGUGUAUUUUGGAAGGCUGGAAAAUUGAUGGAUGGAUUGGAAAUGAUUUUACCAACAAGGGAUAAUCUACAUUCCUCUAAUUUUUCAGGCGAAAGUUCCUCAUCCCAAUCAUCUAUAAUAUGUUCGGUGGUGAGGCGACCUAGGCUAUUACAGAGAGAUGCCAGGCGAGAUGAGUCUGUAUUGUCUUCCGACGCCAUCCAAGCUAACAGAACACAGAUUGGAACAGGUACUUGCUAAACCUUGUAAAAACCAGACAUUGCGCCCCAAUAGCCAAUCCAGAGAAUUACGAGACAAAUUGAAGCUAAGACGAUAUGAUAUGGAUAAAGACUACCCCUCGACUAAUGAAAUAUCCACAAUUGCAGGCCAAAUUGAUGACAAUCGGAAACAUGCAAGACGCGAUGAAGAAACUCCAGUGCGAACCUGUCGGCGAAGACCGAUGGGGUGAAUGGCGCAGAGAACCGCUACCAAUUUUCAAAGUGAGAUGAAGGUUGAGAUGGAGGAAGGUAGUGGAUUGAAGAAGGCGUUAGGGUUUAGGGAAACUACCAAAGGGUAGGGAGAGCUCUACAUAGUGAGAGAGAGGACCCUACAUAAGGGAACAUGAAGAUUCGACAAAGAUGAUGAGGAACUCAUGGCUUUGCAAUGGUAUACAUUAGGAUUUAAAAUACUGACAGCCAUUAACCUUGAUACAAACCGAAACGUAGGUUUUUUUUUUUAACCAACAUAAAAUUAUAAAAGACUGAUUCUACCAAAGAUAUUGCUGCUUGACGUUAAAACACAUACAUCUUAUCAAAAAGGAGCUUAUUACUUUGUAAGGUUGUGACAUUUUGCUCAUAUUCGAAUUUGAACUCCGAAGUUUAAUCUCUAAUGAGGAUGAAUUGAGGAAAUAAAGAUUGAUACAAAAUAAGUACAUCAAUCUUACCAUUAAUACUUCCGCCAAGAUGAGCUCCUUCGAAUCACAAUAGCAGAUUAGAAAUGUGCAGAGUAGAAAAUUGUGGAAUUUCUAUUAUUUGAUGAAUCAUAAUGAAGUAUGGAGUUUGUUGAUAGGUUUUAUGAGAUAACUAUCUAAGAUAAUAUAUCAGGUUUACAUAAUCAAAUAAAGAUAUGUAGAAGCUCUUAGAUAUAUGUAUUAUUAUAAGAGAUGGAAAAUCAAGGAAAAAAUAUCGUCUAACCUACACGGAUGUGGCUGGAGAGAGAGAGAGAGAGAGAGAGAGAGAGGGGGGGCAGCGGCCAAUACGUGCCAUGCCGUGUGGGUGGCCACCAAAGCUCUCUCCUGGGCUGAUGCACGAAUACAACAAAUGGGCUUCAAAAUGAGGCCCGUUCUUCAUGGUGAAUUGGUGUGACAAACUUAAUGCGUCUUGAAAUAUAAAAUGAUCAGCGACCUUUCCCUUUUUUUAUUGUAUAUUUUUUAUUUUUAUAUUUGUUCUAAGUUAUUAUUCUUAUUUGUUAUUAUUUUUAUUUCAGUUAUGCCUAUGCCAUGCCGUAGCGAAAAUUUUAACAUCACAAUGUCCCUAAUCAUGAUGGGAUGUAGCGAGCAAUGUGCAUACUAAAUAAUACGGAAUCAAUUUUUGUGUUAGGGGGGCAAAUUUAUGUCAUAAAUUAGAUCCCUAAUAUUGAUAAAAAUGAAAUAGAGACCCAUAUAUGAAAAUUUCGGUGUCAACAAUACACUUUUCACUUAUUUUUGAGUCAUACUUGUAGAAAUUCAACCUAAACAUCUAAUCACAAAUUUAUGAAAAGCUCAAUAAUCAUUAAUUUUGUAGUUGCUUAGUCUAUUACAAACUAUGUUGGACUUGUAUAAUUUAUAAUGAACAAUUCCAACUUGAGUCAUUACUCUCUUGUAGAUACGAACUUUCGCAUGGACAAGCCGCAAGCGAUCUUGAGGGAGAUGAAAAAAUGGGUUUGGGAGGAAUUUGCAAGGCCUCAACACUUCCUUUUAGCAUCUCCACAACUUGGGUCAUACAUGGUCAAGCUCUUGGAUCGAUUUGAAUGCACCAUAGGCCUAUUAUAAUCAUCUUCUUCAUGAUUGCUUCAUCCUCCUCAUUUGUGAUCCCAAGCAGUCCAAGCUCUUCUUAAAGCUCUAGGCAUCGGUAGACCCAGUGAGGGAAGUAUGCUUCACCGGUUCAAUCUAUUGUGACUUCAAUAUUUUUUCUCUUACCGAUCAUCUCUAGAACCAUCAUAUCAUAGCUAUAGACAUCUGAUUUGUGAGACCCCUCCAAUGUUCCUUAUGAUCAGCUCUGGAGCAAUGUAUCCUACGGUGCCCCUAGCACAAAGCAAUGACACGAUGCUCUCUUCUCUUGGGCAUAUUUUGGCAAGACCAAAGUCAGAAAUCUUGGGACAAUAGUUUGUGUCAAGGAGAAUGUUACGAGGCUUUAUGUUGAAGUGCAAGAUUCUCGUUUUACAUCCUUUAUGCAAGCACUCUAGCCCGUGAGCUAUGUUGAGUGAAAUCUAGUACAAUGUGUCCCAACUCAAUUGUUGAUCUAGCUCCAAAGUGUUACUCUUGUUGAAUAUGAACUUCUCGAGUGAUCCAUUGGGCAUGAACUCAUAAAUCAAAGCUUUUUUGCUUCCUUCAAAACAGAACCCUAGGAGGGUGACAACAUUGACAUGAGAAGUCUUACUUAUGCUUGCAACUUCAUUGAAAAAUUCUUCUGCAUCACCUUUUAGCUUCUUUAGCAGCUUCACUGCCACAAGUUGACCAUCUUGAAGCUUGCCUUUGUACAUGGAGCCAUAGCCUCCCUAACCUAACUUUUCUUUAAAAGAGUUCGUCAUCGUCUUGAUGUCCUUAUAGGUGUAUCUUCCGGAAGAGAUGAGUCCCUUAAUUUUCAUUUCGCCAUCGAGAUAUUUGCUCCUCUGCUUCUUCAAAGUUUGCAUUAAGAUAAGGGUGACCACAAUUCCAGCUCCUAAUGCAGCCAUUCCUAAGAAAAUGAAGUGUGUUUUUGAACAGCAGUCUCACUUGAUAGAACAAUGAGGGAAGUAUACUAUCAAAAAUUGGAACAGAUUGCAGAGGAUAGCAUAGAGAAGUGGAAGAGAGAGUCUUGAAUUAAUUACCUAUUCCAACUUUAAGACCAAUCUUUUUGUUUCCUGGGACUGUCGUCAUCAAAAGUGAAAAAUGUGUCAAUGAAUUGCAAACAUAUGAUUUCAAAGUGUCUAAGAUAUAUAAAGAUCAGGGUACAUCAUGAGGUUAUAGCACAUUCCAUUUCAAGAAAGAAAAUCCAUAGCCAUUAGGGCUAGGGAAAUUGACAUUUACGUAAACAGGUAUGCUAACUGUAGAGUAGCAGGAGCUGGUGGCAGAAUAGUAAUCCAUUUCCUGCAAUUGCUUCCAUGGAAAAACUAGGAAGAAUAGAAGUCAUGGCUAUUCUAUCAGAUCGCUCUCAGUUCACGUAUCGUUUUAGGCAGAUAUUGUGAAAGCUAGUACGAGCACCUAGAGGGGGUGAAUAGGUGCGAAAACAAAUUUUGUAGAGUAAAGAUUAUAAUUUUACUUUUGAACCGACUCUGUUUAGUAAUAAAUUAUGAAGAGGAAAUUCUAACAAACGAAUAUUGAUACGAUCAAAACAAAUAGUUUAGAGAAGAGAAUAAGAACACAAAGAUUAUAGUGGUUCAGCUUAAUCCAAGCCUACAUCCACUCUUCCGCACUGAUAGCCCACCGGCUAGAUUUCACUAAAAAUCAAAAGAGUUAUUACAGUAUAGCUCUUCCUUGAAUCCACAGUGUAGAGACUCUGCUACACUUCCUCAAAGUCUCACAUAAAUAUAAACGCUCUUUUGAGUACAAGUUUUCGCUCAACAAUUGAAUUGACAAAUAACAAUGAGCUUCAGACUUUGGAAUUCUUCUAUCGCGCAUACACUCGAAUAACUGGAACGACUUCCUUAUAUACUACUCCAUGCCUUCAUACCCGAUGGCACUUACCAAAGGAGUUCUUCCAAUCUACCCGUUGAACAGAAUCAAUUAGGAAGAUUUCGAGUUAUUUAAGGAAUAUGACGAUAGCCCACCAAUCCUGCUCGCCCAUACAAUUAUGAUCUAGAUUUCCAUAAGUAGAACCUUCCAAGUAUGCUUCAUCAAUCAACGGAUCUAAAUUACCCGAAUUCAAAUCAAAAUGAAUAAUAGAUUCCAAGAUACUAUCUCUAGCCGAGAGAUCUUCUUCAGCCGAUAGAAUCAAAUCUUUAACAAGAUACUCAGUUCUGAAUAAGUCUUCUUCGACGGUCUAGAAACUGUCAAUGAGGAUAGACUCUGAAACUUGAGUUUGGCGGAUUAGCGAUCUUCAGACUUUGAUUAAAGAGACUGCAAGUCUUCAGACUAGAUUAAUGGAAACGUUUUGUCAUCUUCAAAACUCAUAAGGAAGUUCCCUCCAAUAGAUAUCCAAACAAAGCUUUUCGGGCAAUGUAGUGGAUGGUACGAACGAGACAUUCAGCACACUACAGAAGUUGAUGUUGAACCGUUUCGUGGUCACAUACCUACCCAAAAAGAGAGGCUAAGCUCUCAUGCUCAAUUUAGAAGAGAAAACAAAGACGAAAGUGUGCCAACUGCUAUGUCUCAUCCACGUAAUAUUCCCAUCUCAGUAAAGAUGCCCAGUAUGGAAGAAUAUGAUAACAAACAAAGGAAAAAUACCAUAAUGUGGUUGUCCUCUUUACCUCACUCAUGCACAUUACCUCAAUACUGUACAUAUCGAUAAUCUUCAGAAGAUCUCGUCUCCUGCAAUGGCAACCUAACCACUAGCAUUGGGUGUCGAAUCAUUGCUAACCCAUUUCGCCGCGACCGAAACCGGCGAAAAUGUUAAUGGAUUGUUCUUCAACAUAAUAGCAUCAUCUGAUAUAUUAUCCGUUUGGUCUGACUUCUCCAUGUUGUCUCCUCGGUUUUGUAUUUCCUUUAGUGUAUCCAAUGCCUCUUCCAUGGAUGGCCUCAUGUCGUGGCCUUCUUCCAAGCACCGGAACCCCAACUCUGCCACCGCAGUAAUCAUUUCUCUAGUCCUAUUGUCUGUAUCAAACCCAAGAUUUUGAUCUACAAGCUCGUGCAACGCGUGGCUUUGGAUCUUGUUAAUGGCCAGGGCGGAUAGAUUUAUCUCAUGGCGAUGACUCAUGAUAUCAACGGCUAGCAAGGAAGAUAUGAGCUCCAUUAAGACUACUCCAAAGCUAUAUACAUCGCUCUUCUCAGUCAACUAGUAGCAUUGGUGGUACUCUGGAUCGACAUAACCCGGUGUCCCUUGAGGAGCAGUUGAAACAUGAGUGGCAUUCAAUGGGAAGAGGCGCGACAAACCGAAAUCCGCAACCUUGACAGUGAAAUUCUCGUCCAGCAGGAUAUUGUUGGUCUUCACAUCUCGGUGGAUAACAUCAGAUGCGUGGAGAUACACCAAUGCGUUUGCAGUUUCUAUGGCUAUUUUCAAACGGGUGGACCACGGGGGCAAGCCGGGUUUAGCUAAAUCGCCAUGAAUAUGAUCAGCCACUGUGCCAUUUGGCACAUAUUCAUACACAAGCAGGAGUUUACGGCUCUGCCGGGAGGUGCAGCCAUACAAUGAGACCAGAUUUGGGUGGUGUAAGCAAGUAAGUAUUUCAACUUCGUUCACAAACUGCUCGACUGUUUUGUAGUUGCUUUCAUACAAUCUCUUGACUGCAACUACACGCCCAUCUCGGAGUUUGCCUGCAAAACUUGUUAAGGUUAUGGCAAAAUCUUUGAUGACGGGUUCACUAACUAUGGACAAUUUUAGUGUUGCUCUUACCUUUAAAAACAGUGCCAAAGCCUCCAUCACCAAGUUCUGCUACUGGAUCGAAAUCGUUGGUAGCCUCCUUAAGGUCGUUGUAGUCAAAGAUGGGUAGUCCAUGGUAGACACUGCCCUUCUCAAAAUCUGUCCUGGAGGAGUAAUUUGAGGAGGUGCUUCUCAAGGUGAAGGAUGACUGGCCAUACUUUUUUCUUUGGCGAGAUCGAUAGAUGUAGACACCAACAAUCAUCAACAGAGCUCCGCCUGCUGCUCCGCCUGCUGCGCUACCCAAACCAGAUUUUUAGGGGAGAGAGACCAUAUCAUUAGAUUCCAAUGAGCAAUGAGGGAAGUAUACUGUCAAAAUGGGAAAGAAAAGGUCUUGAAAUAAUUACCUAUUCCAACUUUGCGACCAAUCUUAUUCUUUCUUGAGACUGUAGUCAUCAAAAGUGAAAAAUGUAUCAACGGAUUGCAAACAGAUCAUUUCAAAGUGUCUAAGGGAUAUAAAGAUCAGGGUGCAUCAUGAGGUUAUAGUUCAUUCAGUUUCAAGAAAGAAAAAAUGCCACGAUCGAGUGGAAAGAUUACAAAUUCACCGGUUUGGCUCAGUCCUCAUCUUGAAAAUUCCACGGAUCAAUUAGUGACAUCUUACCAGAAGUAAUUGGAAGCACAUGCAAAUGGAUGUGUGGCUGAUGGACUAACGAGUAUAGACAUUAGCUAAAAUCCCGUAUUAAUAGAGCUAUCAGGGGAUGAACAGGAAGACAGGAAAUUUCUUUUUCUUGCUGGAAUAAAAGUAGCAAACACUCUGCAAUAUGGCAACAAUGUGCUAUCAGACAUGGAGAUAAAUAAAACUUUCUGUGCCACUAAUUGAAUAGGCGGUAUGUUUCUAGAUAUGUCUCAAAACUUUCAGCUUCUAAGCAGAACUACUGUUCCGCUGAUAAAAGAAGGGGGCAGCUCUUGUUCAGGCAAGAACUUUCAAGCUUCUUUAAUCAUGAACACCCAAUUGAUAACUAGAAAACUAUUGCAGUGAGAAAGAAACAUGAACAUUUCUGUUACUCUUCUUUCAAUUCCUCCAGGUUCGUGAAUGUCAAAAUCUACGAGGUUCUGAUAAUUUAUCUAGGAACCCAGGAGAUCAGAGAGUUUCAUUUGCAGCAGUAAGCAGAGUCUAGAAUCUAAGCUAUGGUGAAGAAAUUGAAGAACUUCCAGGACAUUAUCCAAGGCACAUAGAAACGAAAGAUCAAACAAAAUGGGCUCGAAAACUCAGUCAAGAAAAUAAAAGAAGAACCGAAUUACCCAUGCAUUUACCAUCAUUACAGGUUUGAGAAUGAGGGCCAUCUUGGCAAAAGCAAACAAAACUAUCGUUCUUGAAUCCACACCGUCCCUCACUUUCCUCACAGUUGCUGCAAUUAAU